RNAcentral lists this long non-coding RNA (119028 nucleotides) under Citrus x clementina. Its description in RNAcentral is "Citrus clementina (C. clementina) long non-coding RNA (CCLE_LNC002300)". Lineage: Eukaryota; Viridiplantae; Streptophyta; Magnoliopsida; Sapindales; Rutaceae. The record is from RNAcentral.
UGAUUGCAAUUAGUUUGUCUUUUAAUUAAAUUAUUGCCGACAAACACUAUCACGACCCACGUCCGCUACUUGUGUGAAUGUGUGUAUAAAUAUCCGCAGCAUAUUAUCAAACCUGAAGCGCGAUCAUCUUUAAAUUUUGGUUAGGGUUCAUCAGACGUUGGAAGAUAUCUUUUCUAAUUUGAAGAAGAUGGAAACUCCUUAUGCAGGUUCUUAGGCCAUGUUCAGUUGAAUGUCAUUUAUAAUUUUUAUUUUAAUAUUAUGUAUUUAUGAAUAUAAUUAUUGUUAUGAUUUUUUCAAGUAAGAACGGAUGGUCUGAGGGUAAUUCAAUAACUAUGUACAGUAUUAUUAAUGAUGAGAGCGUGAAUGACAAUUUGGAUUUUAUUCUCGUCUCUAAAUACGGAAAAAAUCUCGACUAUAGUGGUUAAGUGCUAUGUAACUCUUUCGUAUUAUAUUUAAUUAAAUAAAAUGAUUUGUUAUUAUUACUUGUCAAUUAUGUGAGUGUCUCUGCUUGAUUUAAUUCAACUUAUAAAAUCUCUUGAGAUAUAUAAGAGAUUUUCUUUAUUCACUUUCAUGUACAUCAUCUUCUUGUAAAAAGAAAUUAAUAAAAAAAAUAUCAUUGUGUGCAAAGUAUUGACUAAGUUAGUGUAUUCAUGUUAGCUUAAUUGUGCUCUCUCUUCUUAAUUUUUUUGUUUUUUUUGGUUAAAACAAACUCCACAUAUUGUUGGUUAGCUAAUUCUUGCAGCUAGCAAGUGAUCAUUUUCUUUCCCCUACUGCAGUAGCAUCAAAUCCUUACAAUUACAUAUCAAGUGGUAUUCGAGCCGUCAAAUGAUCCAUGGAAACACACAACAAAUCAAAUGCUGAAUUUUGCGAAGAUAUUCACGAAAUCCUUGCUAUACAUGAGUCUAGUUUAUUUCAAACUACGCGUGCAAUGUUCCCGUUAUUGUUUAGUAUGUCUUUUGUUGUUUGCAAUGUAGUUAGGGAUGCUAGCGGGUAGGAUUUGGUACGGGUUUGACAUUACCAAAAGCCGCAUCUGUAAAAAAAUUUUAAUUAUCAAAUUCAUUGUGGGUUUUAUUUAUUCGUUUUUUUUCUUUUAACAAAGCCCAUCAGCUGUGGGUUUAAAUGGUACCUGAUGGAUAUUUUGUGAGUUCCUACAUAUAAAAUCACACUUGCAACAAAACCUAAAAACUUAAAUUACGCAAUUCAAAAUAUAAAUUUAUAAUCAUAGUCUAAAAAACCACAUAAAAUACUUAAUUCUAGAUUUUAUUAAUGUAAAUGAGAAAUGAAAAUUUUAAUAUUAAAAUAAAUACACAAAAUAUAUCAAUUUAACACAAAUUUUCAAAGUUAAUUAUCAAAUACAGAAGUCUAUCGCAACUCAAAGUGCUUUCAAUUGAAAACGAAAAAAGAGAAAGAGAAAAAAAACAAAGAACUACAAAUCAAAGUAGCACCCAUGACCCAUUUUGCAGUCUCAUUCAAUACCACUAGCACCCAUCCAACACGAUUUUUCUAAAGAAAGUAUAAAGUACAAAAUUACAAUAAGCAUAUCAUACUCCAUGCUUUAAGUUAAAGAUCCUUAUAUAUUUUUAUGAAUAAUUUUUUAAUGACAUUUUAUGAUUAAAAUUAAAAAUACAAACAUUCAAAUAAGAAUGUCGGACACUUGCGCAACUAUUUACCAAAUUUUUUCUCUAUAAAAAUCGACCUGCAACUUUCAAUAGGUAUAAAUUUAUAAUAUCAAACUUGAUUGCAGAUCGCAAAAAUUAUCCGUUGCGGCCAAGACUUUGGAUUUGCGAUGAUUUUACCACCCUAAGUGUAGUUAGUAUUGUAUAUCAUGUGGCUCUUAUAAAAAGCCUAGAAGAUGUUUGAAUAACGGGGGAGACACAUAUCUCCCAAAGAUUUUCUCUUUUUCAAAUUAUUAUUUUUUCUCUAUUAUUGUAACUUCGAAUCCUUAUAAAUUACAGAUUGGAGACAUGAACACAAUGUUUUGACAUAGUGGACUUUUGGCUUGUCCAGAGAAAUUUAGGAUAGAUUUUUACGCACUAAGGCUUUAUUUACUAUUGAGGUUUUAGAACUUUUAAGCCACACUAGAAAUUUGUAUUGUUUUGAUAGAGUUGUAGUCUUUGAUAUGUGAUUGGUAGUAAUCAAGUGUUAUGUUUACAAUAGUUAAAGGCAUAUUGAAUCAAAAUCCACUUCUAAGGGCUUGAUUGAGUGAUUGUAAAGCAGGUUUUUAGUUUGCUAGCCACUCAAGUUCAAAUAUUGGAACCACAUAGCUUUAUAGCCAAGUGAGAGAACUUGUGCCCUAAAAAUUGAGGGGUGCAUAUCGAGUUUUACCACCAAUAAAAAUUGGUGUUAAAACUUUAAUUUCCGUCCUAUCAAUGGAUAGGGGUAAUUAGGAGUUUACAUCCCCUCCUAUUUAUAGACAGGGGCUAUUAGGAAUAUUAAAAAAAAGUUCAAAUAUUGAAAAUAUAGGUAUGUUUUAUAAAAUUCAUAAUAUAAAGACACAAAAUCAAGAUAAAUAUUUAAAAAUUUAGAACCAUGAGAGCAUGACUUGUAAGUUUCAAAGAAGUAUGUGCAAAUAUAUGCAUUAUCGAUGCCCAAUUAAGGAUAAGCAUUGAGAUCGGGUUAACCCGAACCGAACCGAACUUAAAAUUGAUUUUGGAUUCAAUUUCGUUAUGGUUGAAGCUUUCAACUGAGUUCAAAACUUAAAAAUGAUUGGGUUGUAUUUCUGUUUGAAUUUAACCCCAAAAGACUAAUCAAUCCAAUCGAGUUAAGUAAGCAAAUUAAGACAAAAUAUCCCAAAAAAUUAAAACUAACCCUAACUAAAAUAUUCGACCGCGGCCUCCUCGUUUUCUUUUCUUCUUCCUCCCCUCGCUCACCCCUAAUGCCCUUCAUGGAAAUCCAACAGCGCCAAACGCGUUUCGGCCGCUCGCACGUGUGAGAAAUUUUCCUUCUCGUAGGAUUAUUCGUUUCCUUCGCUUGCAUGCCAGCAGAAUAUUCAGGCCGAGGAUUUUUCCGGGCCUAGCCCAACUAUAAGCUCGCCCGAAACCCAAUCAUAAGUUCAUAACGUUUAGCGUUUGCUAUUACUAUAAUUUUUUUUAACCAAUUUUCACAUUCAUCAACAUAGGCUGACAUAUUUUGUAGAAAAAAAAUUAAAUAAAAAUACAAGCUCACGAAAUUCCUUUUCCGAUGUGGGAAUCUAUCUACACCUUUCACGUGCUUUUUUUUUUGGUGGUGGGGGAUUCACUUGCUUUUGUUUGCAUUGCCUUAUUGGAUAAAAGUUUGUAGAACAUCGUCUGUUUGGUUAAAGCCGAGCAUGAGUGAAGAAGCGAUCUAAAGUUUAAAUCUUACUCACACUUAAUUUAGGGUUGGGGAUUAAUUGACGUAAUAUGUAUUAACGAAUUCGAAAGACAAUUAAAAAUUAAAAGAAAAUAAAAAAGUGCUUUAUUUUUUAUGAUGGUAAUUUGUUUAGAUGAUGAAAACUCUUAGAGUGGUAUUAUCAAUACAUAGUUUUGAGCGUUGCCAACGUGAAUAAUAUUUAAUUUCCUUUAUAUAGUUAUAUCUCAACUAACAUUUAAACAGAAGUAAGUUGUAAAAAAAAUGAACCAUUGAGAUUUGAGAGAACGAAAAACUAAAAAAAAAAAGUUAAAAAAUUAGAUCUCAAUAAAUUUACUUGAGAGCUACUUUACUGAUUAGUGAAGAGAAAACACAAAGAAUAAUGAUGUAUCUCAAUUAAUAGGACAGUUUUUGUAUUUUUCGUUUAUUCAAGAAUCACGAAACUUCAUUUAAACUUGUUAUGUCAUUGAUAAUAUAUUAAUAUUGAACAAUUAAUGUAGGAGACAUUCCUUUCCAAUUAUGCCCAUAUAUUAAUUAAAGACCACCAAAAAGUUCAGGAAUACUAUAGUAAUUUAAGUCAACAAUUUAUGUGCUUGAAAUCAGCAGAUCAAACUCACUUUAGAAUAAACUGAGAAAUCAAUAUCAUAUUCUCUGAUUCUACGAUUUCAAUUCAUCUUAUUCUUCAACUGAAAACUUGGUUGUAUUUCGUUUUAUUUUAUUUUUAUUUUUAUAUAAAGAUAAAUAUAAAAUAUAAAUGACGAGGAGACUAUAAAAGUAAAAUUAAAAGAAGAGCACGAGUUUUAUUAAACAUGACUCUUUUCAUCAUUUUGCCAAAGUGAAUGUAUCUACAUAUAAACUAAAGAAACACAUUUGUUUGUAUUGGCUUUUUUAUUAUAUUUUUAAUAAUAAGUCAUUUGUCAAUGAACUUAUAUCAAUUUUUACGAAAAUAAUAGGUGUUAGUUAGAUUAUUCAAAUGGCAAAACCUCUUGGGAUAGAGCUUGUAAUUUAGUGGCUCAUGAAUUGUCUAAAUUGACACUACCGAAUUAUUGUAUUUGGUUAAAAAAGCUCCUACUCUGCUUCAACUUUAUUAUCCUAUGAUGUUUAUUAAUAAAUAACAAUUUUAUUGAAAAAAAAGACCUCUUGAAAUGAUACAAAAGAUUUGGGAUAUGAAUCUCACUCGAAUUUAGCUUGAGGUUGGCAUUGUUACCAAAAUAUUUGAAGAUAGAAUUUUUUUUAAUUAAAAAUCAAAAGAUUUUUUUUUUGGGGUUCAUACUAGUUAGUUUUAACUCAUAGUGAGAUUUAAACAAAAACGGAAUAAUAAAUCUUGAUAUCCUGACUCAUGGAUAACGUAUAGAUAAGAUAGUAAAAUUUAUUGUGUCGAAAAUAAGAGGUUUGAAGUUUGAAUUUCGCUCACAUAGGUAGUAAGAGAAUCAAAUUAUUGAUAGAUUAAAUUAAUUAAAAAAAUUUCUGAUACCCAAAACAACAUAUCAACAAAAUUGAAAUAAAAGAAAAUUGAAGAGAAAAACCAUUGAGAGAACGAAAAAUUAACACAAAAAAAUUUCUAUAACUAAUUGUAUCAGUGUGCGCCAACUUCACUUAUUAAAACAUGGUUAUUUCAUUUUAAUGGAUAAUCAUUUUGACACCGGUCAAAUUUAAAAGUGUUAAAAAAUAUGGGCGAUUUUUCUUUCCACCUAUGCCCAUUAACUAAUAAAAGAACCGCCGGAAGGGUUCGGGGAUAAUAUAGUAAUUUAAACUAACAGUUUCUGUGCUUCAAAUCAUCAAAUCAAACUCACACCUCACAAAAGCAGAGAAAUCAAAUGGUUUCCGACUCUACGCUUUAAAUUCAGCUUCAUUUCUUCAACUGAAGAAUCGGUCGUCUCUCAUUUUUUAUUUAUUAUAUAAAGAUAAAUAUCUAAAUUUAAAUGGCGAGAAGAGCGGACGAGGAAUACGAUUACUUGUUCAAAGUGGUAUUAAUCGGCGAUUCGGGAGUCGGCAAAUCGAACUUACUCUCCCGAUUUACUCGUAACGAGUUCUGUUUGGAGUCCAAAUCCACUAUUGGCGUCGAAUUCGCCACCCGCACUCUUCAAGUAACUAACUUUUCCUCUUUCACUUCUCUUCAUUUUUAUUAGUUAAUUAAGAUCCAGUUAAUGUAAUUAAUUUUAUUUAAUCUUUCAAAUAAAGUUCUAGAUUAGGUUAACUUAGAUUCAUGUGAAGUUGAAGUGAUUUACUUUCGAUCUCUUUUUCGUCCUAUGUUUAUUUGUACUUACUAUUACUUUUUUUUGGGUUAAAAUUUUCGUUUUUGAAGUGUUUACUGAAUAAAUUUCUGAGCUUUAUUUGUGUAUGCUGAUUGAUUUGUGAUUUUAAUUUGUGAUUUUUUUUUUUGGAAUUUAAAUUUGAAUGCUUUUUAAGUUGAAUCUGAAUGUGUUGGGCUGCGAUUUAAUUAAGUCAUCUGUGAGCGCCAAAUUGUGAUAGACUGAUAGCUAUAUAUUGGGGUGAAAAUUUGGGAUUUAAAGUUAUGUAUUUAAGAUGCAGUUAAUUCGCAAGUGACAAUUAUGGGCCGGCAGAUUUUGUCAUUGGAAGACUGUUCUCCACAUGUUGAAGUUAGUGAUGCAAGUUGAAACCAAUCUGUUUAAGCUUGGGGUUUCAUGUCUUGAAUCAAGGCUGUGACUUGGGGUGGGUUGAAAGUAUUAUAGCUUUAGCUAUUCCUGAAGUGAUCUGUUUAGACUCACCGUGAUGAGACCGAGUGCUGUACAGUAAAAUUAAAGGAAGUUGGAAAAUAUUUACUUAGCAUUUCGCGUUACUAAUGUUGAACUAAUAAAACCUAGCCCCUAUCCUAGUGAAUUUAUGUUAAAAAGCUAUGCACGCAUUAAGUUAGUGCGAGAGUCUGCUGAAGCAUACGUCAGCUGUGUGUUUGGAGCUGAGUAUUCUUCAUUCCACAUUUUGGGUUUUGGUUGACCUCCAGCAUGACUCAACCCACUUGAGUUAAAAGCCCUAGAGUUACAUUCUACCCAUGAUGUCUUAGGUUUGGAAAAGAUGGGGCACAGGUUACAAAAUUUUUUUGAGUUUUGGAUUGAAGGAACAAAAUUGUUGAUGUCUAGCUCACAAUAUUUGAAGUCACUCUGUGCUUCAUCAUGUAAAAUGGAUUGAAUUGCUGUAAGAUCAGGUCAAAUUAAAAUGUUUAAACUCAUUUUUAAGAAACGAAUUCUCAAUUGGACCAGCCUUUCACAGAAGCUGAUAUCACAGAAGCUUUGAGUCAGAUGCAUCCAACCAAAGCCCCUAGCCCAGAUGGUCUCCCAGUAGUAUUUUUCCAAAAGCUUUAGAAUUCAGUAAGCGAAGGAGUUAUAGCCACUUGUCUGCAUAUCCUCAAUGAUGGAGGUAAUAUUGCUCCUUUGAAUCAUACAUACAUUGCUUUAAUCCCCAAGAUAGCAAAACCUAGGACUCUGAUGGAGUAUAGACCAAUCAGCAUAUGUAAUGUAAUUUAUAGGAUCAUUGCAAAGACUGUAGCGAAUAGGCUGAAGCUAAUCUUAGAUCAUGUUAUUUCGCCAACUCAGAGUGCUUUUAUGCCAAAUAGGCUCAUAACUCAUAAUAUAAUUAUUGGGCAUGAGUGUCUUCAUAAGUGGACAAAGCUAUGUUCCAGAGGUGAGAUAGGAAAUUCUCCCGCACGACACAGCAGAAACAAACUUUCCCUUUCAUUUUCUUUUCUCUUUCUCGCUCUCCAAACAGAGCAAAAGGACCGUCGCAAGAUUCUUCACUUCCAUCCAAAAUCAUGAGCAACGAAUAGUGAGCCUCCCUGUUUCCUUCCUUUUUUUGAUAUUAACAUUGUUAACAUAUACUCAUUUUAAUUUGACAAUACUUCAACUUUUUUUAUUUUUUUGCCUUUUCAUUUUUUUUGUGGAAGCAAUUAUCUGUUCAAGCUGUUGCUUAUCGGAGACUCGUCUGUCGGAAAUUCCUGCCUGCUGCUCUGAUUUGCUGUCUGUUGACUUUUCCUUUCCCUUCUUAUUUUCUUUUUUUAUAUUAAUUACUUUCUAUUUUAGCUUUUUGUUCUCUGAAUUUGUGUUAUUAAAAUGAUAAUUUAGAUGAUAAAUAAUUGUUAUUCUUGUAAAUUUAGGUUUUCAUUACGUUAAUUGUUAGUUUUUAGGUUUAUUAAUGUAAUUUUUUUUGUUUUUUUUUUUCAAUUUUUCAGGAUGAUUCUUAUGUCACCGCUACAUCAGUACCAUUGGAGUUGAUUUUGUGAGUCUCUCUUCUAUAUAUAUGUAUAUAUGUGUAUCAGUUAUAAUAUGAGUCUAUGUACGUGUAUGUAUGUAUGUGUAUGUAUAUAUGGAAAGAAAUGUUGGCAGACUUCAGCAUUUUACUCUUUUUUUUUUUUUUUUGGGCAGAAAAUAAGAACUGUGGAGCUGGAUGGGAAGACGAUCAAACUGCAGAUUGUGAGUCAAAAUUUCCUUUUAUCUUGUAUUGAGAGAAAUUCGAUUUGUCUUAUUUAGUGAAGGUUAUGUUCAAGAACCUUGUCUUAUUUUCUUUGUUUGAAGAGUGAUAUGUUGAAAUGAGUGUAUUUGUCUUAUAAACAUCAUUUAGGUAAUGUCUGAUGUUUGAUUGUUUUUCAUCUGUUUAGUGGGACACUGCUGGACAGGAGCGAUUCAGGACUAUAACUAGCAGUUAUUACCGAGGAGCCCAUGGAAUCAUAGUAAGGAGCCUUCCCGCUUCUUGGUUUAAAUCAGAAAGUUUGUGAUUUACAUGUGACAUCUUAACAACAUUGUACUUUUCAAAAAAAAAAAUAAACAACAUUGUAUGUGUUUAUUAACUUAUUUUUCAUCUUUCGUUAAGCAGUACAUUUUCCAAUAAAUCUGUAUACAAGAUGAUGUAGUCCAAGAAUGGGAGCGAUAAUAUGAUGCAAAUUGUCUAAUAAAUUCUUAUGACAUAUGAUGUUGUCGGAAGUAAAAGUCUUGCAAUGCUCUCUUUUAAGAAAGAAUAAGUGGUAAUUUUGUUUUUCCAAUUUUUUAAUUGAGCAACUGUGUGAGAUUAAUUAAAUGUGUUGGGAUUUCAACAGAUUGUCUAUGAUGUAACUGAGAUGGAGAGCUUCAAUAAUGUCAAGCAGUGGUUGAAUGAGAUUGACAGAUACGCAAAUGACAGUGUAUGCAAACUUCUAGUUGGGAACAAAUGCGAUUUAGUUGUGAACAAGGUUGUGGACACACAGACAGCCAAGGUAUAUUCAUGACUUUUGUCGCCUGAACUUUGAAUAUAAUUUUAAACUCUUCUCAAGUGCAUUUGCUUGGUAAGUUUCUGCAUACCCAGGACACUCAAACUUUGGACAGUCUGUAUCUUGAGUUGGAAUCUUUUCUGUCAAUACGACAUGUUAAAAUAAGGGUUAUUAUCGUUUGAAUCAUUCAAGAAUUGCAAUAAAUCUAAAGUCCAUAAAAAAAUAUGAUUCCAUCAUUUUACUAUUAUAUCUAGACAAAACCCAUUAUUUUACUACAUUUCAUUGGCACCGAUAGUUGACCUGUUGGCUGACUGAUAAAAUAUCAAUUUUGCACUUUAUAUUAAUUCUUUUUUGGUUAAAAAAUAACACACAAAGUAUUACAAUAUUAUAAAUUCAAAAUAUAAAGUAGUUACAAAUAAUUCCUAUUAGCCUAUGAAUAUAAUAUUUGAUACCUCUAUUUGUGUAAUUUUUUUCCAAUGGUGAAAUUGUUAUUUUUUUUGUACUAAUGGAAAUGUAGUAAAAUCAUAAGUUUUGUAAAGAUAUAGUAGUAAAAUGAUAGACUAAAAUACUUCUUGUAGUUGUUUGAUAUAUUGUAAUUCUUAAAGUAGUCAAUUGAUAAUAUCCCCUAAAAUAAAUGUUCGUAAUAUGUUCUCAUUUUAAUGCAACUGAUUGUUUAAUAAAAUUGUAUUUCUUUGUUAAUCUUUUAUCAUGUGCAUGCUCAGUGAGAAUUUGACUUACUAGAACACAAGUUUGACUCUUCAUUUAAAUGUCUCUUGUAUCAUAUCCUUCAAUGUUGAGUGUGAUUCCAAUAAAAUUGAGUAGGGAGAUCCUUAAAUACCUUUUCCUUUUUUCCAAGGGCCUGCCAAAUUGCUCUAAGUGGUUCUACCCUUUAUCAAUGAAUAAUGAAAAUAAAAUUUUUAUUAAAGCAUUUUGUUCCUUAAAUGGUGACUAAUAGUACCCCUUUUUUUUGGGGAGGAAAGCCAAACAUGCCCAAAGAGAAUCAUUUACUUUCCUCUAAUGUAUUUUCUAAUUCGUUUUGAGCCUUGAAUGUCUGUUUUGGUGCGUAUUCUCAUUCCAUGUUGAAUCUUAUCCACAUGGACAACCCCACUUACAAAAAAGUCUAAUGAAUCUAUUGAAGUUCAUAUGAGGUUUGUGCUUUAGAUUUAGACCUCUCUCUCUCUCUCUCUCUCUCCACUUACAUGUCUUUCACUUACCUGUUUGCAUGCAUGCCCAUGCACACACUUUCAAGAUAAUACACAGUCACUCGUACUUGUGUUUUGGUUGAAUUACUGGCUGCUAACCUCUGUAAUUCAGUUUGAAACUUGCCACCCUUAGUGCUUCACUCAAAUGGUUGGUUAGGGUGAGAUCUGUAUCGUUUUCCUGGUCUCUUUCCAGGGUUAUCUAAAGGGUUUUGGCAGUCUGAUUCUUUAGGGAAUAUCAUUGCAUAAGAUAUCUAUUGUUUGUUAAUGAAUAAUUUCUAUUUAACUAGUUAUCUAUAUAAAUUGGUAAAUUUUAACUGCAUAAUUUGCAUGCAAUAAGAUUUUAUAAGAAUCUUGUUUUCAACUCAUGACUUAGACUAAUGUGAUAUGUUGAGCAUUAAGCUACAAGAUCUGCACAUCAAAGUGCUUCACAAUGUUAAGGAGAAAGCAUCUUUUUCUGCUUCUUCAUGUGAUUUAAAGUUUCCAAGGUACUUAUUCUAUAAAAUAUCUUUCAAGACUUUGGAAAUGCUUUUAUGUAUGACUGAGAGAAACUUGUUGGGUUGGUUUUUAGCAACAGACGGAGUUAUGGACUUUGUGUUGACUUGUUAUUGAUUAAGACAGUACAUCGGCUGAUCUAUUGGCAUCAAGCAGCAGAUGCAGAAAUUAUGGGUGGCAUACCAUUGUAUCCAAAUAACAUACUACAUUGAUUUUUCUGACUUUCUGUUGGUCUCCGAGUGAAAUGCAGGCAUUUGCAGAUGAACUGGGGAUUCCUUUCCUGGAGACGAGUGCCAAAGAUGCAAUCAAUGUGGAGCAGGCUUUCUUGACCAUGGCUGGCGAGAUUAAGAAAAAGUAAAAUCACUUAACUCUUUCCUUCUUGCCGACUGUUCUUAUUUAACAAUCACUAUUAUUGCUGGUUAUAUGCAUUGUGAUGAAAAUUCUGCAAUGAGUAACUUUUUACCUAAUGUUUUCUGUUGGAACAAAUUACUCUGGUAGAAAAGCCCUACAGGGUUUGAGAAAUCCCAUGAUGUGAUGAUUGUGAGCAUUUUAGACACCGUCUAUGGGUUUAUUUUGUGACUAUAAAAUGUUAAGAUUGUUUCUAGUUUUGGUUUGUAGUGCAUAAAAGGAUUCAAAAUUUGACAUCUGUCUAAAUCAGAUUAAUAACAUGAUAAUGUACAUAUGCAAGAUGUGAGGAAUUGUUUUAUCUCACCCCUAAACUUUAAGAAAUUGAAACAUUAUUAUUCAAAAUAUUUAACAUUUCCAGAAUUGAUAGUUGUCUAUUUGAGCAGUGACUGGUGGUUAUCAUGAACUGAUGUGCGGUUGUGGCUUCAAAUCUUGGUGAAACCUGUUGUCAUAUGCUGAUUAACAUAGCUAGUCUCUGAAACAAUUUGUUGAUUCACUAAUUAUGAGUUCAAAUUUGAUGCAGAAUGGGCAACCAGCCUACUGCAAACAAAUCUUCUGGAACAGUUCAGAUGAAGGGACAGCCAAUCCAGCAAAACAGCGACUGCUGUGGUUAGCCGAGCUUCUUAUUUUACUUCUACAUGUUAGCUGACUGAUUGUAGACAGUUUUAACUAUGUUGACUGCAUUAUCUUAUGAAUCUUUUAAUCUGUCAAAUAUUUAUUUCCUGCUUUAAGUUCUUUCCCGUUUAUAACAAAUUUAAUUUCUUGCUCUAUUGCAUUCCAAAUUCCUGUUAAUUUACGAGGGAAAAAGAAAAGAGACGAAAUGGGAGAAAAUGGUCAAAUUUGUUAGGGGGAGAGAGCUGUUGAAGUAGUUUUUGUUCUCGUUUAUCGUCGUGACCCUCUUGUCGCUUAUCUACGACCUGGAAGUCUGGUCAUAUCGGAUGGGUAAAGUUACCGAAACGGCAUCAUUUUGGGUGAAAUAUCAUAUUUAUGUAACACUUUUGAUAAUAUUUUUAUGCAACAAAAAAAUGUUUGCAGUACCCUUUUCACAUUGUGAAGCGCAUGAUCGGAUGAGAGCAGUCUGGAUUCUGGCAUCACAAGCUAAUGCUUUUUUUUUUUUUUGAUUACAUGAGACUAUUGCUCAUAUUACAGCUCAUAUUACAUGAGAAUAUAACUGAUAUGUACAAAUCAGCUAUAACUGGGACCAACAUACAUCAAAGCUAAUGGAGCGCUGUCCAGAUUUUAACCCUCUCAAAUAUUCGAGGGAUGUCUACUCCUCGCACUGGGACAAGGAAGCAGACUGUCUUCACUCAAUUUUAUUUGAGGAAGGAAACACCCCCACAUGCAUUGUGGGGGUUCGAACUGCUGCUCUCCAACUGCUCUCCAACUUGGAGAGCAGCAGCUCUCACCACUCGGCCAAAGGCCGAGUGGCUCACAAGCUAAUGCUUUGAUUUGCUUAGUUUGUUUUUUGUUUCUGAUAUUUUCUCGGCAUCGGGUGGGAAAUUGUUUCUCUUUUGAGUUUCUCUUUUUUUUUUUUUUUUUUUGGUUAUGGAAUUUGGAGAUAGUGUAAAUGUACGCAGAUGAAAUUGUUGGGUUGGUUUUGUUAUGGAAUUUGGUUUACUUCACUAACCAUUAAUGCGCAAAACCUCCUAAUGACCCUCAAAAAUCCCGUACAUAAUUAAAGAAUUUCAAUUUUAUAUGUACAUAAAUAAAUAACUCUCAAAUAUAUUAUUUGAUAAUCCCAAAAACAACAAUUCACUCUAAUAAAUCUCGUAGUCAAUACAUGGUCUAUAUUGCAAGUGUUUUCGAGACUAAUUGAAAAAGAAAAUACGUUGAGUGAUGUAAUUGACCUUUACUAGUUAUAAAGAACUCUAAAUAAAUUCAUAUAGGCAUAGCAGCUAAUUACAGCCUUGAUACUUCAUUUGGUUUUUGUUAAUUUUCUAUAGAGUUGUGCUGUGCAUAAAAGUUUUGUUAAAUGAAAUCGGUAGGUGAGAAUUAAUUAAUCAAUUAAUUAAGAUCCAGUUAAUGUAAUUAAUUUUAUUUGAUUUUUUUAAUUCGAGUUCUAAAUUAAUCAAUGAAUUUAGAUUCAUGUGAAAUUGAAGUGAAUUAGUUUUGAUCUGUUUUUCGUCCUAUGUUUGUCUGUGUUUACUCUUACUUUGUUUUUUUGUUUAAAUUUUUGUUUUCUUAUUGUUUACUGAAUAAAUUUCUGAGCUUUAUUUGAGUAUGAUGAUUGAUUUGUGAUUUUAAUCUAAAUGUGUUGGGCUGCGAUUUAAUUGAGUGAUGUGUGAGCGCCAAAUAUUCAAUAACUGAUAAAUUAUAUUUAUAAAUAUUAAUAGCGAUGGCACAUAAACAAUUAAUUCAAGAACUUGCCCAUAGUGAUUAAUUUAAAGAGUAUAAGUAACAUUGCAAUGCAGUUAGCCCUUGCGUGUUUAAUUAGCAAUUGAAAACUAAUGUUGCUGAUGAGGUAGAACAUUAUAACACUGUUGCUGAUGAGGCAGCUGGUAAUUCUUCUGGUGAAGAUAUUAAGACUAUUAAAGCUGAAAUGUAAUUAGAGAAAUAUAAUGCAUUCCCUUAGUUUGCUUUUUGUUUUUUAUAUUUGUUUGGCUAAUGCUUUGCUUAGAUUACUUUUUGUUUUUGAGAUUUUAUUGGCUUAGUCAUGGGGUAUUGUUUUCUCUUCUAAUUUCUAUUUUUGUUGUUAUGGGAUUUGAUUGUAGUGUACAUAUACGAAAAUUAUGUAAUCAAAUGCUUUCAAUAAAUCAUGAUUGAUUUACUAUUAAUUAAUUAAAUUAAAUUUACUCAAAUUACUCAUGUACACAAUCAAAAUAAUUUUAAUUCCAUGAUAUAUAUACACGCGAGCACACAAACAAAAUGUAAUUAACUUUGAAAUAUAAAAUAUUUAAAAUAAUCACCGUACUAACAAUUCACAAAUCGGAUUUUAUAUAAAUAGACGAAAUAAUGUUAAUCUAGCGAAUCCAGUCAUAAUAAUUUGAUUUUCAUUUAUAUUAAUUAUGUCAAACCAUGCUAUUUUAAUAAAUAGCACUUGAGAAUAUAUAUAUCCAACAAGUAAAAUUUCAAAACAAUAUUUGCCAAAAUCUAAUGAAGAGAAUAUACACGCACGCACAUAUAUAACCGUACAGCAGAACGAUAAAUAAAAGAAAAUGAAGUUUCAACGGCUGAAUAAUGCAAAUUCAUUUUUUUUAACAAGCAUUUUAUUGUUUAAUUAAAAAAAUUUGAAAACCCAUUAAAUACAUGUAAGGACUCACUGAUGCCGAACCAUAUUAAUUUAAAUUAGUUUUCAAUUGAGAUUUGAAUUUUAAAAUUACACACACAAACACACCCGAUUUAAAAAUAAUAAUAAUAAUGCUAACAAUAAAAUAUUUCAGCCGUCCUAUGUGUUAAUCGCCAAAAACGGAUUUCCAAUCUAUUACAACAUGAGGUAUAUGAGUUAACAAGUCCCAAUAUUGUCCUCCAUCCUUUCUGCACUUCUCUGCUAUCAACGGACAUCCUGCGAUCUGUAAUUGCAAAAGUGAGGAAGGCAGGCCCUUCUCCGGAAAGUAUUUGAGCUUGGGACAAUUAUGGAGUCGCAAUGCAGUGAGGUUUUGAAGAUCAACAAUUGAAGAAGAUAGGCGUUCCAGAUUUGGAAAAUUGAAAAUCUCCAGAGACGUUAGAGAGGCAGGAAUAGGAAGCGCGGUCCCUAAUCUUUUGUCCUCUAGUGGAAAUGACACCAUGUCCUCAUCACAUCCACUGAUUAAAAGAUAUCGCAGAGAGGAGAAUCUGUGAAAUCCCCGUCCCCGCUCAAUCAUUGACUUCCAAAUCUCCAUAUUACCCCAAAUAUUAAGUGACUGAAGGUUGGUGGGAAGGCCAUCUUCUUCUUCAAGGCUUGGAAGCACACCUCCUUUUCCUGCUGUUAAUUCUUGAAGAGAGCUCAGAUUGUGCAUUCCCUUGGGUAAGGCCUCUAGUCUCUUACAAUUAGAUAUCGCCAGCCUCCUGAGUUUCGCACAAGGCAAUCCCCCUUCGGGAAAGGACACCAGAUUUCCACAACUAUCUAUACUGAUUGUUUCAAGAGAUGUGUUGUUGUCCAACCUUUCUGCUAUUGACUCCAGCUUUGAACAUCCCCAAACAACGAGGGACUUAAGAGACGAAGGUAGAUUGCCAACUUCAAGGGACUCAAGCGUGGCAGGUAACUCGUUUUUUGAAAAUAUACAUGUCAGAGAUGGACAACUAAUAAUUUCUACGUGCUCGAGAAGAGAUGAGGUGUACCUUCUGCUGCUGCUGCUGCUACACAGGAUACCCUCUUCCACUGUCAAAGUCCUUAUAUUAUCGCAAUCGCUGAUGCUCAGCUGCUUGAGGCUCGGUGGCAGCUGGACAGCAGCAAUAUAUGUCAACGAACGGCAACCAUGAAUACUCAAGAUCUCGAGAGACGAAUUGGUGUCGCACAUCCAUGCCUCUGGUAACGAUUUCAGUGCAUCACAAUGCCUAAUCUGAAUUUUCUUCAACUUGGAAGGCAGAGCAACCUCAGGAAAGGAAACAAGGGAACUGCACUUGCAGAUUUCUAUCUCUCUCAAGGAACUGAGGCUGAACGAUGAUUGUGGCAGCUUCACAAGGCCUUCGCAAUUACUCAAUCUUAGAUAUUCAAGUCUGCAUGACAACUCGCAGAGCUGCUGUUGUUGGUCUUUCUUUUCCUCCGCCACCAAGGAUUGAAGUUUGGGACAGCUGUCAAUCGUCAGUCUUUUGAGAGAGUAAAUGUCUUGCAGUAAUUCGUUAUGACUCUUCCAUAUAUGUGUUUCAUUUUUAAUAUUUUUUAUCUCCAAUUCUUCCAGUUUUGGUAUUCGCGGCUUCAAUGGCCCUGCGAGAAACACUUGAUUUGAUGUAUCUCUACAAACCACUGAAUUCUGUGAGCCGAGAUGAUCAGUUGCACUACUCCACACAAUCUUUUUACAUCCACCAAUUUCAAAUUUGCAAAGAGCUGGAAGACUUGCAACUGAAACUAGCAAUUCUUCACAUCCUUCAAUUACAAGCAUCUCCAAUGCAGGAAGGUGUUCUGGAAAUGUUCCUUGCAGCUUAGAACAGCUUAUAAUAUGAAGCUCUCUCAAUUUAGGAAACCCUUCAACUCCCUGACCAGAUCUAAGAGGAAUCCAGUCUUCCCAUUCUUGCAUGUCUUGAAAACGAAGAGUCUCCAAGCAUGGAAAAGGAAUCGGGGAAUCAUUCCCAUAGAACUCUGAACCCAAACUCUUUACUCUACUCAUUCCACGCACUUCAAGAUGCUUUAAAGAGGGUAGUUGCCCGACUGACGGCAGGGCAGUACACAUGCCGCAAUCUUCAAAUUUAAGUGUUACUAAAUUUGAGAAUGAGGAAUCUCCUAACCAUGUUGGAAAUUUUGUACCUCCAUAACCACAGAUACCAAAUUGUUCCAGAUUUUUAUGGGGUUUGAGCAUGUCAAGCACACCCAUUUCAGUUUCUGCCUCCCUUGAAGAUGAACCAUCGGUACUGCGUGUCCAUCGAAGCAAUAAUUCUCUAAGAUUCUCCUUUACAUCCAAUUGAGCCUCCUUCGCAUUACCAACGUCUUUUACGUUCUCCAAUUUUGAAAUUUCAAGUGCCCCACGAAGAUGCAUCAACAACUUUAGCUCUGAUAACCCCGAACCACUGUCUUUUCCCACAACAAAAUUACACAACGUCUGAAGACUAGUCAAUCUACCAAUUCCUACUGGCAUUUCCUCCAACGACUUCGUAUUUGAAUUCUUAAGAUGAUGCAAUUUGGUGAGGUUUCCCAUGUCUGCACACAACUUCUUCAGCCGAUCACAAUCUUCCAAGAAAAGACUAUGCAAAUUGUAAAGCUUGUUGACUGAUUCAGGCAGAGUUCUAAUCAUAGUUCCAGAUAGGUUGAGGUACCUUAAAUACCUCAAAUCACCAAUUGAAUCCGUUAGCUCAUACAGGCAAUAUCCACGCAAAGAGAAGACCCUCAACCGUUGGAGUUUGAACAACUUGGGGAGAAUGCUACGAGCCAAGUAUCCAUGCCACCUAUUUGACAAUGCUACUGGUAAAAAAGUUCGCAAAUGGUGGAUAUCAUGCAAGUCCUCAAACCUUUGAACGCCAUCACAAUAUCCACGAAUGUAUGACAGGUGACGAAAAUUUUUGGAAAAACUUUGUUGCUUGUUAACCUCUGAGUUAUACUCCAUUGUGAAGUAUAUCUCCCCCGCAGCCCAUUGAGCAAGGUCGUUGACAAGGUCGUGCAUCACAAAUCGUGAUUUAUUGUUGCUUGAUUGCUGGAAAAAAGAUCUUGAACGUAGCUCUUGAAAGAACUUUCGACCUAGAUCUUCAUUAGGAUUCCCACUCUCUUUGUGAUCCAAGAAACCCGAGGCACACCAUAAUAAAAUCAUCUCCUCCUCUUCAAAUUCAUAAUCCUUUGGAAACAAUGAGCAGUAUGCAAAGCAUUGUUUCAAAGGUGCCGAAAGAUAAUAGUAGCUCACUGCAAGGGCUGGUAUAAUACCACAUCUCUCUUCUGGUAAUUCCCAUAUCUUGCUACUGAGCACAUCUUCCCACUCACUUCUGUCAUGAUUCCCACGUAAAAGUCCUCCAAGCGUUUGUGCUGCCAAGGGCAAGCCAUCGCAUUUGGUCACUAUCUUCUUGCCGAUUUCCUCCAGUGACUUAUGUGAACUGAAAUCUCUCGUCCCCAAUGAAUGUUGAACGAACACAGCUAGACAAUCAUUAUCUGACAACUUCUUUAAUUGAUAAGCCGGAACAGUACCCAUAAUUUUAGCAACCUCUUGAUUGCGAGUAGUGACAAUAAUUUUACUUCCCGGUGCGCCAAGUUCAAAGGGACGUCUGAGUUGAUCCCAAUCAUGGUAAUUCCGGUUCCACACGUCAUCUAAAAGAAGUAAAAACUUCUUUCCAGAUAGUUGCUUAUUCAGUUUCUCUUGAAGUGAAUUCAAGUUGAGAUUAUCUACGUUCUGGUCAGCAACAAUGGAUGUUAAGAUUGUUUUUGUUAGCCUGAUAACGUCGAAAUCAUCAGAGACACAAGUCCAUGCCUUGAGAUCAAAAUGAUCCACCACUUGCUUAUCAUUGUAGACAAGCUGAGCAAGAGUGGUUUUGCCCAGCCCACCCAUACCUACAAUAGGUAUAACGGAGAAUCCACCAUCGUUGCUUAAAUCAUCCCUCAACAGCAGUUCAACAACAUCCUUCUUUUCGAUUUCCCUGCCAUAUACUUUGGCUUCCUUCACCAAAGAGGUUGUCUCUCGCCUUUUCCUGUCUUUUGUGGUCCUCCCACCCGAACUUACAUUCAAACCCAGCGAGUCCUUCUGUGUUACAAUAUCUUGAAAUCUGCCAUUGAUCUCUUUGAUUUUGGACAUCAUGGCGUAAUCGAACUGAAUCGAUUGUGGAGUAAAAGUGGUGCAGCAAGUAGGAAUGAGCUUCCGAAACUUACUUGUUCUUGUACGACUGCAACUGGGUUGAUCAUGAGCCGCAGCUGGAUCUCCAUUUCCAAGCAGCAACUUCCUCCGGAAAGCCUCAGUUUGAAACUCAUCCAGCAAGUCUUCAACAUCAAAAGCCAAGUUCUGAAGCUCGCCAAGCCACAACUUUACAGACUGAUCAGUCUUCUUCUCCUCAGCAUCAGCAAGCACCGCCUUGAUUAUCAUCAACAUAUUCUUCCACUUCUUUAGGUCGGCUUGGAUUUGCUCUUGGCGUGCAAACAGCCGAAUCCCCUCCGAAGCUAACUUAUUGACCAGCAAAUCAACGGACGCCGUAAGAAUUGCCUCUCCGAUGAAUGACAUUUUUUUCUUCUUUUUCUUUUUUUUUGGUUUUGCAAAGAAAGAAAGGAGCAGAAUUAUGGGUUAUGGAAAGCAGAAUGAGAAAAUGGAUAAUUAAGCAGAAUGAGUUUGUGAUUGUGAAGGGUCUGGCCCAGCAAGCUUAGUAGAAAUCACGCGUUGAUACUUUAUUGACCAAUGACUAAUAAUUUGGCAAUUCACUCAUCACCACCACUUGGUAAGCAAAAUGAAAAUGCUUAGUAAUUAAGUGUCAAGGGUCAAGCAAAAUACGACGUAAAAUGUGUCAAGGGUCUCCCCACUUGUUGUUCCUUGCAGCUUAGAAAAGAAAAACAGAGCCCACGACCCAUUAAUAUUUAGCCGCCCACCAAUCAUCACCACUUGUUACGAAACCAUCUCAUAAACCAAGUUCGUAGGUCGAGCAGUUAAUCCAGUGUCUAUGUCCUAGAACCUUCAUCUCAUAAACCAAGUUCAAUCAAAACGUUCCUCUCUAUAUAUUUUUUUUUUCAAAACUCCUAAAACGUUUCUUUUUAGAGACAUUUUACUUUAUUCAUCUCAUAUGUUAUCUAACAAAUAGACACAAUUGAAAUCACUCUAAAGUGAAGAUGAAAGGGGAAACAAAUAACCUUCCGACCACCAGUAAUUUAGCAAGCUUCACUUUAUUCCACCAAAGUGUAAAUAAAGCCAGCCCCCACCACCAUCAAUAAUUUUGCAAGCUUCACACGCUUGUUGUCUUCUCCUUGACGAACUGGACAUGAGUGCACCAAGAAUCAAUGACAGAAUUUUAAAAAUAAUAAUAAGAGAAAAACCUACACAUUUUCGACUUAGAGUAGAACCUUAAUUAAUGCUAAAAUCUACUCAGCUAACAUUUUCAAAAUAUUGUUCUUUAUGAUUUUCAAAACUGUGAUUAAGGUUCAUCUCAAAUGUUUGAAGAGAGUCUAUCAGUUCUUCAAAUGUUGAAUAAUAAAAAAAAAAGUUGAAUAUGGAGGAAAAUAGAAUGCAUCCAUCUUCGCUGCUGUAGAAGUCUUCUACUUAUAAAAGUAAGUUAGAAUAAACAAUUUUAAUCUCUCUUUUUAUUCCUACAAGUGCACUACAUUUUUUUUUUAAUCUCAAUGCAAAGUCGUAUCGAAAUGUUAUAUUCCUAUUGUAAAACAAAAUUUUAGAUAAAACAAAUUCGACUCAUUUUUUAAAGAUAUAUAUUUAGUAGGUUACCAACAUAACUAACAAAACGUGAUUAUUACACUAAAUGAAAUAAAUGACAGUACUAUCACCAAUAAUUUAGCAAGUUUCGCAUGCAUGUGUUUCUAAACACAUUAUAUGGAAUCAAACAACAGUGAUACAAAGAGAAAAGUAGAAAUCCUCUGAUUAUAUUUUUUUUUUCUUUUUCAAAAGAAAUGGUGGGGUUGGUUUGUUUGCAAAGUUAUUAGCGAGGGUCUAUUUGUUUUUGUUUUAACUUUAUUAAUCAAUAAGCAAACAUGUAAUUAUUUGUAUAUAUCACUAGCAUCACAUUAUUGUGAGGUAUUGCGCUUAAUAUUCACAAUUUUUGUAAGAUGAAUUUGUAAGACUAAUUAAUUUUGAUGAAAAUGUAUCGUUACUAAGAUAUUAUUUAAUUCAUUAAGUUAACUUGAGGUAUUAAUAUUUACUAAUUGUGGUGCUGAUUAAUUUAUUUAACUUGUCACUAUUUGCAAUUAAGAAUGAAGUUCAAUCAAUUUAUUGAGUAAAAAAAAAACAAAGAUGCAUUUUUUUCUUUAGAUUUUAAUUCUUAGGAUUUGAUUUCACGCUCUUUUGUUUUUUUACGUUGCUAAAGAGGCAGUAAAAAGUUUGCUGAAUGUCAUCAAAUACUUGUAUCUCAUCUCACAAAUUGGUAAUAUUUGUUUGGUAUUUCAUCUCAACAGACGCAGUAAGGAUUACCUCUCCAAUGACUGACAUUUUUUUUUUUUUUGGGGACAAAGAAAGAAACAGAAUUUUGAGUUUCGAAAAGCAAAAUAAGAAAAUUGAGCAGUAAGUGUGAAGGGUCAAGCAAAAUGCAUGUAGCAAGUCUUCGACUUGUUGUUUAUCCCACUAAAGUGAAAAUAAAAACAGAGCCCACGACCCCUUAAUAAUUGAGCAAUUCACCAAUCACCAGUCACCACCACUCGUUACCAUGAAUAUAAUAAAUUGCACCUUGAUAUUUGCAGGGUCCAGCAACAUUGACCUAGUGUCCGGGUAAAUGCUGAAUAAAGAGGAAAAUGGAAUGUAUCCACUCCGAACCUUCGCUUUACAACAAUUUUUAAGAAUCACAAUGGUAAUUCCUACUAUCAUGUUAUCUUAAUGUCGUGUUAAAAUAAAUUAUAAUAUAUUUUUUAUAUGAACACUCUUUUCAUUUAUAAAUUUUUAAGUUUCUAAUAUUUUUCUCACUUUUUUAAUCUUAAUAUUUAUAUUCCUCUCUUCAAAUUUUUUUAUUAUUUAAUUUUUAAAGAAAAAUAUGAAAAAAAUAAGAAAAACAUUAUACUUAGAAAAUAAUUAAUAUUUUAUGGGUCUAAUGCAAUUUUGUCUCACCUAUAAAUUUUUUUGUUUAGCAAUUAGUUUGAGAAUCUUAAAAAAUUAUUUGCAGUAGGAUAAAAUUUUAUUUAAUUUAUUUUUUUACUGUAUUGUAUCUUAAUUAAUUAAGUUGUUAUGUUUAUUACAAGAAUUUUGUUUUGGCUUAGAGGAUUGCUUCUUAAAUUCAUAUUAUUUUAAUGAUAAUAAAAGAUAUUUAUAUUGUGCAAGCAAAAUAAAAUGAAGAGAGAAAGAAAAUAUAAAUGAUUUAAUUCUAUUUAUAUUUGUCCUCAAAUGUAAUUGUAGUAUAAUAGGAGUUUUAUAAGAUUAAUGAAGGGGUGCCAAUAGUCGUACUCUUAUAGAAAAUGACUGUAAUAAUAGUGGAAAUUUAGUGUAAUAAAAAGGAUAAACCGUAAGAAAUUAAUGUUUACUUCAAGAUACGUUAUAAAUAUUGUUUUUCUUAAGAUGUUAUUUGCCUCCACCAAUCGAAUGAUGCACAUGAAUUAAGCAAAUAUGCUUCCAUGAUACAAUAAAGCGCUUAUUUAUUUGUUUACGUUGUAUGUCGACGAAGCAAACUUAAAUACUUUUGAAUGUUGUAAACCUACCAAGAAUCAAUAUAUUAUUUCUACAAAAAGAAACAAUAUAUUAGAUAUUUAAAGCAUAAAAAAUAGACGUUAAUUGAUUAAAUUUGAUUUAGCAAAGACACCUAAGAAAAGAGGGGGGUAACGCCAUUUUUUUGGUGUUUAAAUAGUCUAAAUAUGCCCCCUUUUUGUCCAUCCCCUUUUCCCCUUUUAUUGGGAUUAUUUUUUUUUUUAUAAUCUCCACCCCUUCAUGGUUAUUAGACCAACCAAUUAAAUCCCUCCUAAAGCUACUUAACUUUUUGCCCCCCAACUUAAAGGAUCCCAUAGGGAUUGCUUUUCGGAUGUUUGCCUUUUUUUUUUUCACUUUUUUAUAUUUUUUUUGGGGGUGUUGGGGGGGGGGGGGGGGGGGGGAGUUUAUGAAAAUUAAAGCAAAUAAGAAAGUCAAUUACAGCAGAAUGAGUUUGUGAUUGUGAAAGGUCGAGCAAGUCUACAAAUCAAUUAGACAAAACCCACCACGAGAGUUAAAAUGGAAAAAUAGCGCCCACCACAAAUAUAAAAUUGGAGGAGCUCAAGAUCCUGCCUUUGCUUUACAUAUUAAAUUAAAUAAAAGCCAAACCAAUAACCUUGCCUUUGCUUAACAUGAUUAAUUAAGCACUACUUCAGAAAGAAUACAAAAGUAAUGAACCUUGUAUUAAUCUUAAAUUUUAGGAAUAAAGCUACAUUUUCUCCUCUUACCAUCUUUUCAUGUUCAUUUCAAAAGUUUGAAGAGAGUUUAUCCAUUCUUCUUCUAAACUAAGAAAAUCAACAUUCUUACUUUCUUCAAAUGUUGAAUAAAGAAAAAUAAAUUAUUGAAUAAGGAGGAAAUUAGAAUGUAUUUACCUUCGCUAACCUAAAAUAAAAAAAAUUAAUCUCUCUUUUAUUACUAAAGUACACUAUUUUUUUAAUAAUUGUAUUGAUAAUGACAAUAUAUAUCAUCGAUUAUAUUCUUGUUGUGUUGAAAUAAGGUAUAAAAAUUUUUGGAUCAACAGGAAUUCGACUCAUUUGUUAAAAGUACAUAUUUAAUAUACUAAAAACAAAAAUUAACAUAAACAUGAUUAUUACACUAAAGUGAAAUGAAAGCCAGUACCCGCCGGUUCACCAACAGUAAUUUAGCAAACUUUGCAUUCUAGGAAAUGGACAUUGGUGAAUUAACCAAAGAAGACUUCCUUUGAUAAUGCGGGUAACGCCGGUCUGUCAUGGAAUGGACAUUGGUGAAUUCGACUUCCUUUGACGUUUAGUUGACUAUUUUCACAUCUAGCAGCCCUUGGCGUUUUGUUUUCGUUCGCUCUGUCGUCUUCAUCGCUCUGUCGUCUUCGAUCUUUAUGGCGACAUGGGUAUAUGUGUAUGGUAAACUGUGCGGGUGAAGAGUGUCGACAUGAUGCUGUCACCUUGCUUUAAUUAAUUGCAGUGACGUUAUAAAGUAAGCCUCAAAAAUUUAAAAUCGUGGGUCAAGCCCUGGUGUACAAAUCAGAAGUUGUAACAAAGAAGAAUUUAAAAUUUUUCUUCUUUGUUUCUUUCAUGCAUUAGGCUCGUUAACAAUUCAACAUACCAGGGAUGAGGGAUGCAAGGAAACAAUUAUUUGGUUUGAGUGUUUGGUAUUUUCUCGAUUCGUUCAGAAUUUGAUGAGUUUUUCUGUUUAAAUUGUGCGUAUAAUUUUUAUUUUUAAUUUUCUGACGUCGAUAUCUUUAGCAUAGAUUUUGUCUAUGAUACAUUAAAAAAGUUUGAAUCGCACAUGAUUCACUGUGUUGUAAGAGUAAAAUUUCUUCUUAUUAUUUAGAAUUCAUAUUUUUCAACUAAACUUUUAAUACAAUAUAUCGAGACAGAUCCUCGUGAUGCACAUACAUUUUCGCUUUUAGCCGUGCUGCCUGCUCUCAAAUGUACACUUAUAAAUUCCAAAUGAAAAGAAAUUUUGAAAUUGCGCAGCUCUGGCCAGGGAUCACCUUUUUGCCUUGCUAUUAUCUACAAUAUUUAUUUUUGCAAUCCGCAUGCAUGCUCGGUUAUGAUCACCCACGUGAUCGGCAUUAAGUUGUUUUUUAUCUUCUUAUUAACAAAUUAUUUAGUGUGCGGACUCCAUUCAUGCUCCCACGUUAAUCUUUCCAAAUUUUGUGCAAUAAAAGUUCAGCCGAUCCGCUAUUCACUUUGCCACAGUCUGCUACUUCAUUCUAUUUGUUUACUGCAUAUGAUCAUUANNNNNNNNNNNNNNNNNNNNNNNNNNNNNNNNNNNNNNNNNNNNNNNNNNNNNNNNNNNNNNNNNNNNNNNNNNNNNNNNNNNNNNNNNNNNNNNNNNNNAGAAUUUAUGAUUUUCUAUUAAGAUCUGUAAUAACCCUUUCUUAAUUUUCAAUUGUCCUUAUGAGUAUAUGUCAAUUUGGAUUAUUAUUCCACAUAUACAUAAUGUAUAAAGAAAAGAGUAAUGAUACUGCCACAAACUCUUGUACAAAUUUAUUUUGUACAAACUGACGUGUCAUUAAUUCACUGGUUGAAUGAAAAUAUAAAUUAAUAAAAACAAAUUAUGUGGGCUAAGUGAUAUUUAAUUCAACCAAUCUUAUCAUGCCUCAUCAAUUUGUACAAAAUAAGUUUAUACAAGAGUUUGUGACUGUAUCAUUACUCUAAAGAAAAUUAUUGGCAUAGAAAUUUUUUGCACAAAAAAAAAAAUCCAAGAUGUUUUUGACUGUUGGCGGCACAAUACAUAAAGGUGAAAUUAGGUUAUCGUUUGGAUUUUUUCAUGAGACACCCUAAGGUUUGUUUAGUUUAUGCUUUUGGCCAAAGUUUAUAAUUUUGUUUCAUUUAAGUCCAAUUGAAUUUGCAACGGCCAUCACAUGCUGUCUUCAAGCCGAAAUUUAGGAGCAAUUGCAUGUGAAAUUGCAGUGUAGUCCCUGGUAUUCUAUUUUAUUAAAUUAAAGAUAUGAUUAAUUGGAUUUACUAUGAUAAAGCCGCCAACUUUAUGUGCAUCAAGCCUUAUAAGUUUUGUUCUCGUAAUUUUGAAGCCUCCGCUCAUUAAUUAAUGAUCUCCAAAAUUUCUUAAUGUUCCAAUUUUAAUGUUUGAAAUUUGAAUUGAUGUUUGUGGUUUUAUUUACUUUAUUAAAGAAAUUACUUUGUUAUAAAUGUUCAAUUUGACAUUCAUAUUAUGAUAAUUUGUUAGUUACUAAAGUAGCCAAAUUAGAAAGUUUUCAUAGAUGUCAAAUUAAAUUCAAUUUCAAGUUCUCAUAAUUAUUGUGAUGCGUAUUAUUUAAUGACAUGAUGAUCUUGUUGUAUGAGUAUAUUGAAAUUCACAGAUUAUAAAAUAUUUAGGAAUUGGUCAAAGGUUGAUUAAUUAAUUUUAUAAUAUAUGAUCAUGAUUUGUGGAUAAUUAAUAUGCUUGAUUAGAUAUGUUUAGUAUAUCCAAAGAUAGCAAGCGUGUCUAGUUUAUGUAUAGUUGAUUACUAAUUAUGUGAAAUUAAAGUUAAGCAUCAAUUAUGUUUAUUGCAGUGUAUUGUUGUAUCACCAAAUAAAUUAAGCUUCUUAAUUUUAUGUCAGUAAGUAUUAAUAAAUUAAUAUAGGUAACAUUAAAUAAUUUAAAUUAGCUGUAGAAAAUUUUAAAAUAUUUUAUUCAUAAUAAAAAAUUAGCGAUAUUAUAUCAUGAAUUAAUUAAUAUGUAAAUUAUUUAUUUAUCAAAAUCAUUUUCAUUUAAUUAAAUAUUAAUUGAGGUUUAAUUAUUAGUUAUCAAUAAAAAUUAACAUGGUAUUGUCUUUUUUAUGGUCCUGGCCCCCAUCUCCAAAUUAGAAGCAAUUCUCAAACCCGCCCCAUACCUAAAAGUUCACAUUUGGGGAGCAUCCCCAAUUUUGUGUAUGUAUAUAUGAUUUGGUGAGUUACAAGAAGCAUUACCAGCAAAAGCACAGAAAUGGUUUCGUUUCAGAAGCAAAUAUGAUGCUAAGGAAAGUUUCGUCUUCAGCAUAAUAACUAUAUAAUAUCAUAAUGAAUUGGUGUGCAUUAACCAUGCUCCAGGUUGAUUUGGAAAGUCAUGAUGCUGUUUCCAUUUCAAUUUAGACUCCUUGCUUAUCAGCCAAAUGAUUUAUAAGUAAUAGCCAGUAGAAGUUUUUCUCAAAAUGGAAAUAAGUUGUCUUACUGGGAGAGUCCACAUAUGGUAUCUAAUUUGUGGUGUUAUUAUUUCAAUUGUAAGUUCCCUAAUUCUGGCCAAUGCACAGAUUCAGAAAGUUAUAUUUGGUGAGUUUUUUUUUUUUUAAAGGUUUUGGAUACAACGGCAAGAGAUAGGGAAAAACAACAAAGGGAGAGUCAAAACUCCACAUUAAGCUAACAUUUGAAUUUCCAUUUAUACUUUGCUCCACUCAUUCUAAUGUUUACUGGCUAAUUGUAGUUUAUGGUGUAGCAUCCAAAAAAGAUGACUCAUAGAAUUUAUUCUUUCGGACCACUAAGUAGCUUAAACACACACACACACACACACACACACAAACACAUGUACAUAUGAAUGUGUGUGUAUGUAUAUGUAUAUAUAUAUGUAUGUGCGUAUAUAUAAUCCUUCCCUAAUAUAGACAUCUCUUUUCUUUUUUUUUCUACAUAGACACACUAUCACUAGUAGAAAAAUAGCCUUCUAUGAUACUAUUUUGGUAUCGGCAGCUUGUUUUAUUAACACCGAGUUUAGUGUCAUUAAUCACGGUGCAAGAAAUUUACUGACACAAAUUUUUUGUGUCAACAAUUCUGUGUUACCUUAGAAUCAAAGAAAUGCUGAUUCCAUAGUAUCAAAAUAAUUGCAAUUCUAUACAAUCAUGUAGAUAGUGAUUCUAUGGUAUGAAGCAAGUUUUGAUGCUCUAAUGUCAUUUAUGUUCUGAUUCAAUAAUAUUGGUAUUUACCAAUGCUAUAUUGGUGUCAGCAGUUUUAAAAGUAUUUAAAAAAAAUAAUGAAAUGGUCAUUAUUACAAUUGUCAAUAAGCUGGAAUCAAAACUUAAUAAUCAACAGUUUUGAACAAUGAUUAUGAAACAAAUGUUGGUAUCAAAAUCCAAUAAACUCCAUUUAACAAUUGCCAAUAGGCUCCAUUCAGUAUUCAAUAUUCAACUUUCAACAUUGAAUAACCAAAUUGGUUCUAUCCAAUAUUCAGUAACCAAAUUCAUCAACCACAGUUUCAAUAGCACAACAAUGCUAAAAACCACAGCUAGUUUCUAAUCUAAAAAAACUACAACUUAUUUGUCAUUACGGCAACCUGAGUGGCAGUACUAAACAAUAAAGGCAAAUGGAAUUGGUGUGCUACCGCUAUCAUUCUCCAUGAUCUUCAAUGGCGUGAAUAAUAGUACCAACAACAAGCAACGACAAUACUCAAUUCCAACAAAAUCCACCCAACAAAGGAAAAUGGUUCAUCAAAGUUUGAAAACCACAAAUUUGUUUUACUACACCACUGAGACUAUUCUUGAAACCUGGAAGUAGUUCCUACAUAUAAAACGAAAUCAAGAGUAGGCUCCAACUAAAAAAGGCUUCAACAACAGAGAAAGAAGUUCACUAUACAUACAGAUCAAAGUUAGAACUUUAGCCAACCUGUGGCUUCCUUGCAGUAAUAGAGCAAUCAUGAUCAAAAUGAUUCAAAUGGCCUUUGACAGCUGAGCACCCAUUUAAAGGCAGCAGUGGUUUCUUACGGGAUUUUGAAAGUUUUUGAGUUGUUUCUUCCAUGGGUGUUACAUUUUCAGUGGAAUUAUCCAGUUUCUCUCCUUCAGAAUUCGUACAUGAUGAAUACAUCCGCACAAUGUUAUAUACAUAUGACCACAUGUAGAUGGCUUCAAUCUGAAAUAUCAAUAAUAAUGAAAAAUCAAAAUAUUGAAAAAGAUCCCAAAUUAGUUUGCCUGAGAUGACUAAGGAACAUUCUUAAUAUGAUCCAUCCAAAUACACCAUAAAAAUUAUCCAAAACUAUUCAUAGAAGUAAAGCAAAGAAUUGAAUUGAGUUUAUUCUUAAUCCAUUUCAUUAAAAAAUACUGCUACUUCAGCAAGCAAACCAUUGGUUAAGAUUAUAAGGCAACAAAGGAACAUUUAUAACAUUUUUGCUCACCUAUCUUCAUUUGACUCAAAUAGAAAGAAGGAGAGCGAGAGAGGGAAAAGAACCUGCAGCACAGCAUCCUAAAACAAGGCCCCACAAAUCAUAAGGAGCUUUUGUAGUUUUUAGAACUAUCCAUCCAAGUGCUGAGCCAACGAUGAAUGUAACAAGGAUAUUUAACGGCAUAAACCACCUACAUAGUUUUAUUUUAUUUAUGAAAGCUACUUUCAAUGAAUUGACGGAAGAAAACGAGAAAACAUGGUAAGAAGACCAAAAGAAUAAUUAAAAAAAUAGAAGAAACUGCACAGGUUUCGUAAAGAAUGCAAACUCACAACAUGCCCAUGCCUUCAGCUGUCAUGUGCUCUGCAAGACUGCUACCAAUAAGUGCUGGAUUGCAGAAGUAAAACACAACCUGUACAACAUUAAAAGAACCAAAUCCUUUAACAGCUUGGCAGGCUUUAGUAAAUUUUUUUUUGAAGAAAAAAUAUAACAUCAUUUGAAUUUUUUUUACAGUUAAAUUGCAGUGAAAAUUACCUUGUUCAAAUGCUGGCGUACAAGUCCCCCAAUAUAUCUAUCCGAUCUAGUGCAAGAAAUAAGCCAAGAGCAGUAAGCAGAAGUACCUUUAAAACUGGUAUAAAUGCAGCAAUAAAGAGGUCCAGAAUCUUCAUAGUGGGGUCUUUAAGUCCUCAGAUUAUCUAUAGUACUUGCUGCAGAGGAAAAGGCAUGAUAUGCUACCACAUGAGCAAUAGCUUUUAUAGAAACAAGCCUAAAAUUACUUUAAAAAUCAAUUUAACAUUGUUCGUAAUAGCAAUUUUACCCAUUAAAAACCGAUCUUCAAGCAAGUUUGUAUUUUUCACCACAAAAAUUAAAUCUAGACAAAUGACCUAAAAUAAAAUUUUUCUAAAGCACAUUUCAUAUUUCAUUAAAUUACAAAAAAGGAUUGCGUAUGACUUGAGAGGAAAUUCUGAUUGAUUCACAGUUUUAGCAUAAUAAGAAUACAGAUCACAAAUUAAAAUCCCAGACAACAUACGUGCAAAAUCUUUUUCUUUUUCUUUAUUGGGAAAUUAUCAUUCGUAUACCCUAUAUUUGCUUUGUUAUAAAAAAUACUACAACACUUUGAGGGUGUAUCAAUCCUCCACCCUUAGUUGACAAAAUGUAUUAGCUGACCACCAAACCGUUAGUUGAUGUUUAAAAGUUAACGGAAUUACAAUGAAUUGACGAUUUUACCCUUGAAAAUUAUCACUUGUAUACCCUUAAAUUCUAUAUUUAUCACUUGUAUACCCUUAAAUUAUCACUUGUAUCAUAUGAAAAGACUAAAUUACCCUUCUGACAUCAUCAUACUUAAACGGCAACUAACAGUUUGGUGGUCAGCUGAUACAUUUUGUCAACUUAGGGUGGACGAUUGAUACACCCUCAAAGUGUUGUAGUAUUUUUGAUAAUUGAGUAAACUAAGGGUAUAUAAAUGAUAAUUUCUCUUCUUUAUUAAAAAAAAUACCAGCCAAAAGGAAAGAAAAGGAAAAAAAAAAAAAACAAAUAUAGUUAGGUGGAUAGAUAACGAGGAAGGAGUAAAUAAAUUAUUGCUUGGUUAGAUAUCAUCUCAUAGUAACGAAUGAAAAGCAGAGAUAAGAACAGAUGAACCUCGUCUCUCCACCAGUGGCUUGGGGUCUUGGGGCCCAUCACGCGUGGGAGAGGAUUUCAGUUGGAGGAAGAAGGCGGAGCAUCGGGUGGCAACCUGAAAAGCUGGUGGAGGUAAAGGGAGUGAAGGAGACGGGAGCCACCGACACCGAGAGCUAGAACCACGGAUCUGAGCUCUUGGGUAGCACACCCAAAGUUAGCGAAUUGGUGGAUGCAUGUCUACUCUCAAAGGCGCUCGUCUUGAGCCGUCUUGUGCCAUAUCUUGUUGACGCAGGCUGCCCGUGCCAAGGUCCCGCCGUCCGUGUGUUUCAACUUUCAACACCUCGAACAGGAAGUUCUCAUCUAGAUUUGUAAGGCCAGUUUCUUUGGGAGGCUGAGAGUUUCUGUUUUGUUAAGACUUAAGAGGCUGAGAUAGCAAGAUAAAAACAAAUAAGAUUAUAAUUAAAUUAAACGUGAGAAAUUACUUUUCUAGCAAAAGCUUAAUCCAACGCCUCCAUUACUUCUUUUUUAUGGAUAUAUUCUUUAAUUAUUUUUCGUUAUUUUACUUCCUGUUCAUCAAGUUUGCGAUGUUUACAACAAUUAUUCAUUUGAAAAGUUAUCCAAUAAUGUUAAUACGUGAAAAUUGAGAAUAUGUAUAGCGAAAAAAAUUUCUUCAAAAAUGAAUUAUAUAAUCUUGACUUUGGAAAAUGUGGCCAGAACUGCAAAAAUGAAGAUUAAUUAACCUUGGAUGACAAUGAUUAAUACCCGUCCAUUUCUCCUAAGCUCUGUUUCUUACUUUGAUGCGCACAUGACUUGACAGCUUCAUCUUCCUCUAGCUUCCUUUCGUGAAACGUACUAACAAUUAACAGUAGUCUACUAACAAAUUAAGAUAUAAUCCAAUAUCUUUAGUACAAAUUCAAAUAGUCUCAUUUUGACUUUGAGCAAGCUUUUUAAUUCCACACUCAGAAACAAAAUUUUGUGAAUUCACAUUAUUUAGCAAAAUAAUUAACAAAUUAAUUGUGAUUAUGGUUGACGAUCAUGUUGAUAAGCAUCAUAUACACUAUCGUUGCAUAUUUAGUGAAAUGAUGCAAGGACGAAGUAUCACUUGGCUGUAAGAAUUAGUUACCCAACAAUUUGUGGAGUUUGUUUUAGAUAAAAUAAAUAAAUAAAUAAUAGAGAGCAUAAUUAAGCCGACAUGGAUAGACUAACUUAAACAAUAUAUUGAACACAAUUAUUAUUUUUAUUAACUUCCUUUUUCAAGAAGACACUGUACACAAAAGUAAAUUAAAACAAAAAUCUCUUGUACAGUUCAAGAGAUUUUAUAAGUUGAACUGAGCCAAAUAAAGACAUUCACACAAUUGAUAGAUAAUGAUUGAAAAAAUAUUAUGCUCAAAAUAUUUUCUUUGUAUGUCAAAGAACGAGAGAGUUACAAGCUUAUAUACAACUAUUAAGGUCAGCCAAAUCUCUUAGAGUAAUGGCUAGACAGGCUGUCCUAUUUAUGACUACAUACAUUAAGGAAUGAAAUCAUUUGUACAUAAGGAAUAUUAAUAUUAUCAAGUGAUACUUGCUCAAAAUAAAGAUUGUGUCUAGAAUAAGGGAUUGCCGAUGCCAAAUCUUGCCGCUAAUAAUAUUCGGUGAGCUGUAGCUACUGAUUGUAUGGUUUAUCAAUGAUAACCCAUCAUUUUAUUUAAUUAAUAUAAUACGGAAAGAGUAACUCGCACUUAAGUAGUGUAGUUGAGAUUUCUUCCGUGUUGAGGGACAAUAAAGAGAUCCAGAUUGUCGCUCAUGCUCUCAUCAUUAACAAUACUUAUAAGAGAUAUUGGAUAACCCGCAGACCACUCGACCUUCCCUAAAAAUUCACAACAACAAUUGUAUUCAUUAAUACAUAUAUUAAAAUAAAAAUUAUAAAUGACAUUCAACUGAACAUGGCCUGAGAACCUGGAUAAGGAGCUUCCAUGUUCUUCAAAUUAGAAAAGAUAUCUUCUAACUUCUGGUGAACCGUAAUCGAAAUUGAAGUUGCUUUUGUUUCUGGUUUGAUAAUAUGAUGUUGAUGUAUUUAUAUACGAGUCUUCGUAUAGUAUAGUGCUGUAUGCAAUACAGCCCCUUCAACAGUAAAAAGGAAACUUGAACAACUAGUAUUUUACCAGUUGUACAUUUAAUAAAUUUUUAAAAAUUAUUUUUAAUGCAGAAAAAAUAAAAUAAAACUGAAAAAAUUAAGGAAAUUUUGUAAAUAUUUAACACAAACAAUAUUUGAGAGAGAAAAAUAUUUUUAAUUUCAACAAAAGUUAAAAAAAUUAAAAUAAGCAUGUCUCUACUCUUUUGUUUUAAUGUCAAUAUAUUAGGUGACAUUCCAAGUUAAUUUCACAUAUACCUAAUUUUGAUUAAACUUUUUCACUAAUUGGUUUGCUUAUCUCCACUUUCGGAUCCACUAGUUUUAUGUUUAAUAUUCCUACUAAACUCGUUAAAUAUUAAUAUUUUGGGUCAAAUUCCAAUUAAAUUUAUUUCUCGUUAGACAAGUAUCAAAAUUCCGUUAAACUUUCUCCACAUUUGGUUCAUGUGUUUCAACUAUUAUUCUACUAGUUUUUCAUUUAAUAUUUCAACUCGUUUAUCAACAUUCCAAUUAUAUGGGUUAGAUAUUGAUAUUACUUUUUUUGGUUUGAUCAGUUCUAAAUUUUGGUAAUGUUUUUCCAUCCAUAGGUUCACAUGUUUCAACUUAUUGGUCCACUAAUUUUACGUUUGAUAUUUCUACUAAAUUUGUCAAGUACCAAGAUUUAUUGUUAGCUAGCUUCCAAGUAAUUAACAUUAUUCGUUGGAUAAGUUUCAAGUUUUGGUUGUUCUUUCUCUCUUAAUGGUUCACGUGUUUCCUCUAAUUUUUUCCCUAAUUUUGCGUUGAAAAUUGCCAUUAAUUGGUUGAGAUUCCAAUUACUAAGGUUAGGUACUAGGUUUGUUUUCUAUAACUUUAUUUUUUAUUUUGUAGAUCUCUAAUUUUAGUUGUGCUUUCCCCAUUUUUGGUUGACGUAUUUCAAUUGUAAUUCCACAGGUUUUGUGUUCGUUAUUCCAACUAACUUGGUAAAAUUCUAAUUAUAUGGGUUAAAUAUCAAUAUCACUUUUGCUUGGUUUGAUUAGUCUCAAGUUUUGGUUAUACUUUUUUAUCUUUUGGUUCACAUGUUUCAACUUAUUGGUCCACUGGUUUUGCGUUUCAUAUUCCUAUAAAGUUCGUUAGGUACAGUAUUAUGGGUUAGAUUCCAAGUAAAUAUCAUUUUUCGUUAAAUGAGUUUCUAAUUUUCGUCAAACUUUUUCUCUUAAUGGUUCACGUGUUUCAUCUAAUUUUUUCCCUAAUUUUGUGUUGAAUAUUCCCAUUAGCUAGUUGAGAUUCCCAUUACUGAGGUUAGGUACCAAGUUUGUUUUCUAUAACUUUAUUUUUGGUUUUGUAGUUCUCUAAUUUUGGUUGUGCUUUCUCUAUUUUUUGUUGACGUAUUUCAAUUGUAAUUCCACAAGUUUUGUGUUCGUUAUUCCAACUAACUCCACAUGUUUUGCGUUCAUUAUUAGAAUAAAAGCAACAAGUUCUAUCAAAAUUUAAGAAUGAUUACUAGCGCUUUCAUGCUCGUGGAGGUGAGAAUGGGAGACGCUUGUUGUCUUAAGUGACUAUUCUUACCCCACUAAAUUUAUAAAUUUAAUCAUUCCUUCUCUAUAUGGUGUUUCCACUCCUAACAAUAAUUUUCUUAAUAUUAAAAUUGUCAAUAAUAAUAAUUACAAUUAUUAUAACAAAUAGUAAUAAUGAUAAUAAUUGAUUGAGGAUAAAUUAAUAAUUUAUAAUAACUCAUUCUAAUUUAUGUUCACAAAGUAAACAUAUUAAUAGCAAUAUAGAAUAUUCCAAUUGUGUUUCAUUCAUCCAACAAAUAUCAUAUUUUGUUUGUUAUUCUUCAUUUUUAUUGUAGCCCAUUCUAAUUUUUUUUUAAUUUUUGUAAAUUUCAAUUAUUUAUUAGUGAGCACAUAAAAAAUUUAAUAAAAAUUAAAUUUCACAUUAGAAAGAGCAUGCAAGGUAGACUUUUGUAGGGUUUGCAAAUCAUAUUGUAGGUAUUUGGAAGUUCACAAAAAGUAAAUAAUGUUAUGUACAGAAAUAAGUUCUUGUUUAUAACGUUUUGCUGUAUUUCAGUGACACUUUGUUAUAUAAGGUGUUGGAUGCUAGGAUUAAGUAUGGGAUUGAACUAAUUUUGGAAUUAAAUAUUUAUCCAAUGUUUGUCAAGCUUAGUUGGAUUGUAUUAAGGGGGUAGUAAUUUAAAUUUAAUUCUAAAAUCAUGGGAUUAAUAAUGGUAAUUUACGCAUGGGUUUAGUUGGGAUAAGAUUAAUGAAAAAAGUUGUCCAUUUAUGAGAUUUUUAUUUAUAUCAUUUUUUAUUUGCACCUAAUAUUAAUUAAUUUUUAUUAUGAUUUACUUAAAACUUAUUUAUAUUUAUUAUCUAUGAUCUAAUUAAAUUAAUAUAUUUACUUGUAUUAACUCCGGAGAUUAAAUGUUCACCACUAGUAUAUUUAGUAAUUUAUCGAUAAAAUUAAAUGUUUAAUUAUUUAUUUCGCAAACACACCAAUAUUACAUUAUUUCCCUAUUAUUGCCAUCGGUUCCCAAACAUCCAAGAGCUGGUUGGCAACAAGAGAAAAAAUAGGGGUGACUAAUAACGACGACUAUGUAAUCGUGGCCAAUAAAUUAUUUCACAGUACCUAAUUAUAGCAACGAUUAAAUGCAACCUGAAACAUGCUGUUGAAGUCAUAGUUAUGGAAAAUUUUACAAACUUCAAAUAAGACCAAAAAAUUACAAAGAGUAAUGUUAAAUAUCCCAAUUAAAAUUGUGCCACUAUUCAAUCACAAAUGUAGGAUAGGUGACUAUAAUUUUUCUAUAAGUAAUGCUUCGGUACUUUUAACAGUGUGAUGAGUAAACGUUAAUUUUUAUAUUUUAACUCAUGAUCGUUAAGAGAAAUUAAAUUUGGAGUGUGUUUUUCAAAUAAUGUGACACUUCAAAAAUAUAUAUCUCAUCCUUCUCCCCGUUCCUCAUCAAAAACCACUUUUUCCAAUUUUCUCCCACAGGAUGCAGGAAUGAAGAAUGCAUGGAAGGAGAAAUUACCUAUCCAAACAUCCAUACUUGGAAAUCAUCAACACAAACCACAAAAUUAAGCUAUCUUAUGAAAAAUGUCCAUAAUGCAUAAUCAAAACAUAACAAGUAUUGACAAAUUUGAAAACAAAAUACAUAAUAAUCAUAAUUUCUGGGCAUAAAACCAUGGGAUAAUCACUGAGGAGGUGGCGGAGAUGAAGAUGAGGAUGGCGGCGAAAUCCCGAGAGUCCGGCAGAUGAGCUGCUGGUCAUCUAGAAUCUGCUGCUGCUGUGAAAAAAGACGUUGCUGCUCAGAAUGGAAGUGAUAGUGGAACGCUGCAAACCGUGUCUGAAGCUCGUUCUGUUGUAUAGAUAUGGAACAAAUUAAAACUGUCCAUUUAUAUGGGUAAUGAGUAACUACCUUAUCUUUUUAAUAAUUAAAAGAAAAGUAUUCCUUUAAUUAUUGGUAGAAUUUAUUUUCCAAUUCACUAUAAAAAAUAAAUACUCCUAGGGUGAAGAAUAUAAGUAUAAAUUGAAAUACAAAUUUUUUUUCACUUAAAGUGUUUUCUCAAAUUUUUUUCCAUAAGAAACUCAAAAAUGUAUUAAUGAAUAAGUUGUAAAAUAGAAAGUGGACAAGCCGUCCACUUAAAAAACAAAGCCUAGCACUAUUUGUGCUAUACGAAAGUGUACCCAAUCACCCCUAAAGUAUUUUUCCAACUUUUUCUCGUAUUUUUUUAAAGAAUACUUAAUAGAUUAGAUAUUGUAAUAUAAAAAUUGAAGACAAACAAACAUGAAUGAUGUAUCAAUAAAUUAAUGGAGAUCUAUUACUAUAUUUGGAGUAAAAUUAUGAAUAAAUUAACAUAGAUAAUGAAUUUAUACCUUUACUCUAUAAUGCAAAUGGUAUUAUGUUUUUAAUUCAAUUUAGCACCGUACAAGAAAAGAUUACCUUAUCGCUUCCAAUCCCUCCUUUAGAUCUAAGCCACUUCAUGAACUUCUUGAUCCUUGAUUUGCUCCAGAAUGUGAUAGGAAGUAUAAUCCUAUAAGGCUGAAUGUUGUCAUAUGCAACAUUAUGGAGAUAAAAGAUCUGCAUGAGCAACUUAUAAUUAAGAAGAAUAAUAUUAUUCAUGGUAAGCAUAUGCUCAGCUUUAGUUGCAGAAACUAUGUCACCUGUAGGAAGUGCUAACAAAUUCCAAUGUAUGCUGCUUGUUGUUUCCACUAUUUCAUUGUCACCAGAAUGUGAGUUUGAAUUACCCAUCCUUUUAUCUCUCUUUUUGUACCUUGCCUUUUGUUCGGGAGGAAGGUCUUUGUAGGUUUUCCCAAUAUGUUUUUGUAACUGUCAAAAUGAUAAUGAAUAUGUCUUAAAACAUAAAAAACCCACAAAAUAAUAUCUAUACAUGCUACAUUUAAUGAAUAUAUACUAACCCCAAUCGUAACGGACAAAUCUAAAUUUUCACUUCUCAAACGCUUAACUUCUUCAUUGCUGCAAAAGCAUAACAUCUAAUUACUGUUAUUUGGUAUGGGCGUGUUUCUUUCCCGAUAGGUAAAUCACAACGACUACUUACAAGUAAGAGACAAAUCCAUAAGUUGAAGACAUUGGAAUUGCAUCCUGACCAUUUGCUUUUAGAAUAGGAGCACUUUUUUCUGUAAGCCCCCUGGUAGUUGUUUACGCUUUCGUCGGUGACUGUCCAAGAAAAAUUUUAAAUAAUUAAGUGAAGGAUAAUUAUUCCAUCAAUAUGUAUUAAUUUUUUUUUAAAAGAUGAGUUCCCCCACCUGCUAUUCAAAGUCACUGUGUACUCCUUACUUUUUAAUCUAUUAAACAUUCCAUAUAUGGUGGAAUUCAAGCACAAAUUAUAAUUUUAUUUUAUUUUUUUCCUCAUUUAUACCAAUGAAGAAAAAGAUGACAAGAAUAACAAAGGAAAGAUCUUUAUUUUUGCCCAAGACUAUGACCUCUCACAAACUCACAAUAAAUGAAUGACAGAGUGAAAAAAAAUUGUAUAUAAUAAAGGGAUGGGAUCAAGAGCUCUCAUUUCUUACUACAAAAUUUACGAAAUCUAAAUAUUUCAACAACAUAAAAUUUAAUGGAUAAUGAUCUUUGCUGCAUACAUUAAAAUCAUGACUAUUACCGUGCCCUCAACUUUGCGUCAUACAAACAAAUUUCAUCAUAAAACAAAGUACAGUGCUUUUUUUUUAAUAAAAAAAUACAUUAAAGGCUGCUGGGAAUGAGUAGGGGAUGAUGGGUUGUAACCAAGAUCAAAAUUAAUGCAUUGAAACCAAUAUGACAAAAUCCAUACUAUGAAUUAUUAUAAACACCUAAUAAAGGGUUAGUAUAUCAGAGGGAUUGAUACCUGGAAUGUACUUCAGCAAAACAGGACCCCUGAAAAUAAGAAAGAAAAGUUUUGCUCAACAUUCCAAAAAAAAAAGAAGGCCUGCUCUUUUUAAAAAAUUAUAUCGUUGUAACUUACACAAAAUUCCACUUAGCACAAUCGUAAGGACCAAUCGUAAGAUUAAGAUGAAGGCCUGCUUGCUGCACCAGCUUGAUAAACUUCAGCAGAUCAGAAUUCCCCUCCAAGUAAUACUAAAACUAAUUAAAACAAAAACAAAAAACAAAAAUAGCAAAACAUUUACUGAAGAACUUAUUUAAAAUAUUACCCUAGAUUUGAGACUACAAGCAAACAGUGCCUUCUGAUAAAAACAAAUUACAUGCCAUAAAUAAAAUUAUUACGAGCCCACCAAAGAAAUUGUCAGGGUUAUAGUGAUUACAAACCUUCCCUAACUUUAUUUAUCUUCACCAAUGAAAAUAGGUCAACAUUUAACAUUCUUUUACAACCAAGUACACCAAGUCUUACAAUUAAAGGUUUAAGGUUACAAAGCAUAGUUACUUAAGACUCUUAGCUUUAUCGUAAGGCACCUUAGACAAUUCUAUUACCACACAAAGACCUGGGCCUAUUUCUUAUAAACACGGCAAGAAUCACAUCCAAGGUCAAGCAAAUUCAACAACAAGGUCAUACGGCAUAUACCCAGCACAUACCCAACUCAUUGGCCGAUUUGAGGCACAAAACAAUAGAAUAUUAUCAUAAAACCACCACAAUAUCACUGGAUUCGAAUAUAAGAAUAAUAUAAAUAUAAUUGUUCAAUUCAAUCAUUACCCCAAAUCACGAAUACUAGCGAGACUAUAUUAAUUCAUGCCACUGGCAGCAGCACAUUCUUUAAUAAAAUCCUUCAAAUAUAAAAAAUCAGCUACAUGCGAAUCUAGAAUUUAAAAGGAAAUAUACAAUAAUUUUUUGGAGAGAAGAAAUCCCUUUCCACUUAUAUUGAAGAUAAUUCAAGAAAAUGACAGGCCCCAAUUCGCAGAUCAUCAAAACAAACCCCAUUACUUGCAGUUGCUUGAUGCUCGAUAACGUUACCUCUUUUUUUUUUUCAAUUUAUAAUUUUUUCCUUUUUGUGAAUAACAGAAUCUCAAGAUAAAAUAUUGCAGUAUGACUUAAUUGUAACUCUAUCGGUUCAAAAACAAAAAAUGACAAGCCCUAUCAAUUAUCAUUCAAUUAUCAAUCCCUAGAAAUCAUCUCAAUAUUUCAAGUAAUAAUUUCUCAAUUGCAAAAUCAAAUUAUUGAAACUGAAAUUUCAAGUAAUAUUCAUAAACUAAACUGAAACGUCCUGCAUAUUUAAAUGACAUGAUAAGAUUUUUAAUCAUAUAUUAAAUUAGAGAGAGAGAGCUCACCGAAAUUAUUGGAAGACAUAAGAGAGAGAUACAGCAAGAGUGAUAGAUUGAAGCUGACGAAUUGAAGCUAUGAGUGACGAACUGAAGCUGAGAGUGAUAGAUUGAAGCUGACGAAUUGAAGCGAGAGUAACAGAUCGAGUAAGCCUGAGUAAAUGGCACUCUUUCGACUACAUCUUUGCUCUUUGCUGUGAUGGGUGGUGAAUAUUCUUGAAUACCAAUUUCAUUGAUCCAAAAUUCUAGAUGUAGGAGAAAACAAUAGCAGAGAGAAUAUGAAGGCUGUUACUUUGAGGGAGAGAGAGGCAUCACAAUCCAACGGCUGUGAUUUUUUAGAUAAGUCAAGUGAUGACAUAAUGACUGGCAUAUCUGGUCGCCAAAAUGAGUAAUCAAACAUAUUAACCAUUGGAUGUUUCUACUUCUAUAUAACGGUUGCCCUUUCUUUUAAAGUUAUUGUUACGUUCGGAAAACGUGACCACACAAUCAAAUGUUCUUCUAUUGUCAAAAACAAUAAAUACAUGAGUUUCUUUUUUUAGGUUAUGUCAAUUCAGCAGUUAAGCAGUUAGUGGUUUGUUUACUUAUGAGACCGAAUAAUUAAAAUAUAAAACAAAAAUGAUUAAUAACGUUUACUUGUUAAAAUAUAAGAGAAAUAAAAAUGAAAUAUAUAAAUUCACAUACUAUUUAAAUUAAAGAAUAAUAAUAGAGUCAUAACUUUUUUUCCAGUCAUCACUUUAUUUAAAAAAGAGUUGAACUAUAGGCACUCCUCUGAAAUUCUUAAAAAAAACCCUCUCAUGUUAUAAUUACAUUAAAGGAUAAAUUAAUCUAAUUAUACCGCUAUAUUUGUCUCGCUAAAUCUUUACAUCCACACAACUAUAUCAAAGUGUUUUACAUUUUUUUUUGUUUUCUUUUGCAUUCUAUUUUUUUAAUUUAAAAAAAUUACAUAAUAGCUAUUUGAGUCACUUCUUAAUUCAUACAUAUACAAGAAAUUUAAUAAUUCAAAAAUUUGUAUAAAAAAAAAUUUAGUUGGAGUUGUUUGGAAGAAACUAAAUUUUCUUUUGAAAUCAGAAAGAAACAGAAAAAAAAAAACAAAACAAAAAAAAGAAGACAUUUUGGGAAUUAAAGUAGGUAGAAAAGCAGCUUGAAACGUAAAUUACAAGGGUGCUAAUAGUCUUACUCUUUGAAAAAUGCGGCCUGAACUGACAAAAUGCCGACCUAACCAAUUUUUUAUGACGAUGAUUAAUACUUGUUCGUUUCUCCUUAGCUCUGUUUCUUACAUUGAUGCAUACAUGACUUAAAAGCUUCAUCUUCCUCUAGCUUCCUUUCGUGAAAUCCAAUAUCUUCUGUAGAAAUUCGAAUAAUCUCAUUUUGACUUUGAGUAAGCUUUUCAGUUCAAUUAUCUUGCUGUAGUUUAUUUUUGUAUUUGCACAAAAUAAUGCAGUCAGAACAAAAUAAUUAUGUAACCCGAAGCAAUUCCUUCCAUCUCUACGAUAUUAACAAAAGCCAAAAUUUUCAACCAUAAUUACAAUUAAUUUGCUACUUAAACAACGUGAAGUUACAAAAUUUUGGUUUCUAAAUGCGGAGCUAAAAACCUCUAGCAUCAAUAUAUUGGGAAUUGCGCCCUCAUCGUCUUAAGAUUAUUUGUUAAUAAUUAUGUAGAAAGGAAAAAAGAUGGAUGAUUUCAAUUUCCACCAAUCGAUAUGCAUGCACGAGUCUGAACUGAGACUGAGAAGACUAUUAGUACAGUGACGGAGGAAAAUAAUCUACUGAAGCACCGAGUUGCCCAUUUGGAUUUUUCGGAGAAGGUUGAUCUUUAAAGUUCAUUGUUUAUUCAACCAACCACAAAAAAAUUUAUUAUUUAUUCAACCAAUCAUAAACAAUCUUUUGUAUAUUAAAUUUUUUUUUAAAAGUUCCAGAUGAAAUGAUAUUUUGAAUAUUAUCUGCAAUAUUCACGUGAUUGGUACCACAUUUUUUAUUUUCUUAUUAACAAAAUUAUUUAUUUCGUAGGGACCGUAUUCACGCUUCCAAGUUUCUCAUACAUAUGCAAUUUAACCAUUGCGGUUGAUUAGCAUUUGAGUUUUGACAUGGGAAGCGGUAGGGAUGGGAAUAAAAUCCGGAUCCGCAUGUUAAAUAAUGCAGAUUUACAUGUAAGAAAUUAAAAUCUGCACGGAUCCGAAUCCAAAUUUAAAUAUAAGUGCAUUCAAAAAAUCAGAUAUUCUGCUAAUUUUUAUAUUAAAUUAAAAAAAUAUAUAUUAACUUUAACUUAAAAACAAAUUUAACCCAACUCUCACAUUCACACGCGCUCACAACACUUUUCCAGCAGCCACAACCCACAAACCCCUAACACCCAAAUCCCCCUAAUUCCGUAGGAUGUCGCCGUCUGCCUCACGGCCUCGCCUAAGCCUUGUGUCCAAGCCUCGAUCUAAGUCGGUCGCUGUCGUUGCGCGCUGCACGCCUCGAUCUGAGUCGGUCGCUGCCGCUGCACGCUGCACGCCUCGAUCUGAGUAAGUUGCUGCCGCUACACGCUCGAUCUGAGUCAGUUGCUGUCGAAUCCUCGCCAUCGAAGAAGCCUCUCGCUGUCGAAUCCUCGCCCUCGGAGAAGCCUCGUCUAAGCACUUUAAUUAAAAUGGUCUUGGCAAGCCUUGUUGAAUCCUUUGGCCUUUGUUGAUUCAAUUUAGUUUAAUUUUGAAUAAAUUUCUUUGCUGAUUCGUUUCAUCACUUUAAUUAAAUGCAUUAAUUUUCAAUAUAAUGUAAAUGUUUAAUAGGUUUUGGGAUUAGGUUUUAAUUUGGAAAAUUGUUGAAUUUUUAAAUUAAAAAUUUAAAUGAAAUCUUGGUGAAACCUGUUGUCAUCUGCCGGUUAACAUAGCUAGUCUCUGAAAUAAUUUCUUGAUUCACUAAUUAUGAGUUCAAAUUUGAUGCAGAAUGGGCAACCAGCCUACUGCAAACAAAUCUUCUGGAACAGUUCAGAUGAAGGGACAGCCAAUCCAGCAAAACAGUUAUAAACAACUCUAAAUAAAUUCAUAUACGCAUAGCAGCUAAUUACAGUCUUGAUACUUCAUUAGGUUUUUGUUAAUUUUCUAUACAGUUGUGCUGUGCAUUAAAGUUUUGUUAAAUGAAAUCGGUAGGUGAGGAUUAAUUAAUCAAUUAAUUAAGAUCCAGUUAAUGUAAUUAAUUUUAUUUGAUUUUUUUAAUUCGAGUUCUAAAUUAAUCAAUUAAUUUAGAUUCAUGUGAAAUUGAAGUGAAUUAGUUUCGAUCUGUUUUUCGUCCUAUGUUUGUCUGUGUUUACUCUUACUUUUUUUUUGUUUAAAUUUUCGUUUUCUUAUUGUUUACUGAAUAAAUUUCUGAGCUGUAUUUGAGUAUGAUUGAUUUGUGAUUUUAAUUUGUGACUUUUUUUUUUGGAAUUUAAAUCUGAAUGCUUUUUAAGUUGAAUCUGAUUGUGUUGGGCUGCGAUUUAAUUGAGUGAUGAGGGAGCGCCAAAUUGUGAGAGCCAAAUAUUCAAUAACCGAUAAAUUAUAUUUAUAAAUAUUAAUAGCGAUGGCACAUAAACAAUUAAUUCAAGAACUUGCCCAUAGUGAUUAAUUUAAAGAGUAUAAGUAACAUUGCAGUACAGUUAGCCCUUGCGUGUUUAAUUAGCAAUUGAAAACUAAUGUUGCUGAUGAGGUAGAACAUUAUAACACUGUUGCUGAUGAGGCAGCUGGUAAUUCUUCUGGUGAAGAUAUUAAGACUAUUAAAGCUGAAAUGUAAUUAGAGAAAUAUAAUGCAUUCCCUUAGUUUGCUUUUUGUUUUUGAUAUUUGUUUGGCUAAUGCUUUGCUUAGAUUACUUUUUGUUUUUGAGAUUUUAUUGGCUUAGUCAUGGGGUAUUGUUUUCUCUUCUAAUUUCUAUUUUUGUUGUUAUGGGAUUUUAUUGGCUUACUUUUUGUUUUUGAGAUUUAUCCAGUGCUUUCAAUAAAUCAUGGUCGAUUUACUGUUAAUUAAUCAAAUUUAAUUUACCCAAAUUACUCAUGUACACGAUCAAAAUAAUUAUAAUUCCAUGAUAUAUAUACACGCGCGCACACAAACAAAAUGUAAUUAACUUUGAAAUAUAAAAUAUUUAAAAUAAUCACCGUACUAACAAUUCACAAAUCAGAUUUUAUAUAAAUAGACGCAAUAAUGUUAAUCUAGCGAAUCCAGUCAUAAUAAUUUGAUUUUCAUUUAUAUUAAUUAUGUCAAACCAUGCUAUUUUAAUAAAUAGCACUUGAGAAUAUAUAUAUCCAACAUGUAAAAUUUCAAAACAAUAUUUGCCAAAAUCUGAUGAAGAGAAUAUACACGCACGCACAUAUAUAAUCGUACAGCAGAAGGAUAAAUAAAAGAAAAUGAAGUUUCAACAGUUGAAUAAUGCAAAUUCAUUUUUUUUUAACAAGCAUUUUAUUGUUUAAUUAAAAAAUUCGAAAACCGAUUGGUCUUAUAUACAUGAUAAAAACUCACCGACGCCGAACCAUAUUCAUUUAAAUUAGUUUUCAACUGAGAUUUGAAUUUUAAAAUUAUAUAAACAAGCACGCCCAAUUUUUUUUUUUAAAAAGUAGUAAUUAUAAAAUAUUUAUGUCGUCCUCUAAAAAACCAAUUUACAAUCUAUAAAACCAAUUUACAAUCUAUUUCAACAUAAGGUAUAUGGGUUAACAAGUCCCAAUAUUGUCCUCCAUCCUUUCUGCACUUCUCUUCUAUCAACCGACAUCUCCAGAUGUCUAAUUGCAAAAGUGAGGAAGGCAGGCCCUUCUCCGGAAAGUAUUUGAGCUUGGGACAUUCCCAGAGAUACAAUUCAGUGAGGUUUUGAAGAUCAACAAUUGAAGAAGAUAGGCGUUCCAGAUUUGGAAAUUUAUAAAUGCUCAGAGAUGUUAGAGAGGCAGGAAGAGGAAGCGCGGUCCCUAAUCUUUUGUCCUCUAGUGGAAAUGACGCCAUGUCGUCAUCGCAUCCUCUGAUUUCAAGACGUCGCAGAGAGGAGAAUCUGUGAAAUCCCCGUCCCCGCUCAAUCAUUGACUUCCAAAUCUCCAUAUUACCCCAAAUAUCAAGUGACUGAAGGUUGGUGGGGAGGCCAUCUUCUUCUUCAAGGCUUGGAAGCGCACCUCCUUUUCCUAUUGUUAAUUCUUGAAGAGAGCUCAGAUUGUGCAUUCCCUUGGGUAAGGCCUCUAGUCUCUUACAAUUAGAUAUCGCCAGCCUCCUGAGUUUCGCACAAGGCAAUCCCCCUUCGGGAAAGGACACCAGAUUUUUACAACUAUCUAUGCUGAUUGUUUCAAGAGAUGUGUUGUUGUCCAACCUUUCUGCUAUUGACUUCAACUUUGAACAACUCCAAACAACGAGGGACUUAAGAGACGAAGGUGGAUUGCCAACUUCAAGGGACUCAAGCGUGGCAGGUAACUCGUUUUUUGAAAAUAUACAUGUCAGAGAUGGACAACUAAUAAUUUCUAAGUGCUCGAGAAGAGAUGAGGUGUACCUUCUGCUGCUGCUGCUACACUGGAUGCCCUCUUCCACUGUCAAAGUCCUUAUAUUAUCACAAUCUCUGAUGCUCAACUUCUUAAGGCUCGGUGGCAGCUGGACAGCAGCAACAUAUGUCAACGAAUGGCAAUUCAGAAUAUUCAAGAUCUCGAGAGACGAAUUGGUGUCGCACAUCCAUGCCUCUGGUAACGAUUUCAGUGCACCACAAUACCUAAUCUCAAUUUCCUUCAACUUGGAAGGCAGAGCAACCUCAGGAAAGGAAACAAGGGAACUGCACUUCCAGAUUUCUAUCUCUCUCAAGGAACUGAGGCUGAACGAUGAUUGUGGCAGCUUCACAAGGCCUUCGCAAUUACUCAAUCUUAGAUAUUCAAGUCUGCAUGACAACUCGCAGAGCUGCUGUUGUUGGUCUUUCUUUUCCUCCGCCACCAAGGAUUGAAGUUUGGGACAGCUUGUAAUCGUCAGUCUUUUGAGAGAGCAAAUGUCUUGCAGUAAUUCGUUAUGACUCUUCCAUAUAUGUGUUUCAUUUUUAAUAUUUUUUAUCUCCAAUUCUUCCAGUUUUGGUAUUCGCGGCUUCAAUGGCCCUGCGAGAAACACUUGAUUUGAUGUAUCUCUACAAACCACUGCAUUCUGUGAGCCGAGAUGAUCAAUUGCACUUCUCCACACAACCUUUUUACAUCCACGAAUUACCAAUUUGCAAAGAGCUGGAAGACUCCUAAUUGAAAUUGACAAUUCUUCGCAUUGUUCAAUAACAAGCAUCUCCAAUGCAGGAAGCUGCUCUGGAAAUGUUCCUUGCAGUUUAGAACAUCUUAAAAUGUGAAGCUCUCUCAAUUUAGGAAACCCUUCAACUCCCUGACUGGAUCCAUGAGGAAACCACUCUUCCCACUCUUGCAGGUCUUCAAAAUGAAGAGUCUCCAAGCAUGUAAAUGGAAUUUGAGAGUCAUCCCCAUAGAACUCUGAACCCAAUCUCUUUACUCUACUCAUUCCACGCACUGUAAGAUGCUUCAGAGAGGGCAGUUGGCCGACUGACGGCAGGGCAGUACACAUGCCGCAAUCUUCAAAUUUAAGUGUUACUAAAUUUAAGAAUGAGGAAUCUCCUAACCAUGUUGGAAAUUUUGUACCUCCAUAGCCACAGAUGCCAAAUUGUUCCAGAUUUUUAUGGGGUUUGAGCAUGUCAAGCACACCCAUUUCAGUUUCUGCCUCCCUUGAAGAUGAACCAUCGGUGCUGCAAGUCCAAUUAAGCGAUAAUUCUCUAAGAUUCUUCUUUCCAUCCAACCGAGCCUCCUUUGCAUCACCAAUGUCUUUUACAUUCUCUAAUUUUGAAAUUUUAAGUGUCCCCUGAAGAUGUAUCAAUGACUUUAGCUCUCGUAACCCAGAACCAUUGUCUUUUCCCACAGCAAAAUUACCCAGCGUUUGAAGACAAGUCAGCUUACCAAUUCCUAGUGGCAUUUCCUCCAAGGAAUCUGUAUUUGAAUUAUUGAGAUGAUGCAAUUUGAUGAGAUUUCCCAUGUCUGCACACAACUUCUUCAGUCGUCGACAGCCCUCCAAAAGAAGGGUGUGCAAGUUGUAAAGCUUGCUGACUGAUUCAGGCAGAGUUUUAAUCUCAGUUCCAGACAGGUUAAGGUGCCUUAAAUACCUCAAAUCACCAACUGAAUCCGGCAGCUCGGCGAUGCAAUAUCCACGCAGAGAGAAGACCCUUAAGCUUUGGAGUUUGAACAACUUAGGAAGAAUGCUAUGAGCCAAGUAUCCAUGCCGACUAUUUAACAUCACUGGUAAAAAAGUUCUCAAAUGUUGGAUAUCAUACAAUUUCUCAAACCUUUGAACGCCAUCAUAAUCUCCACGAAUGUACGACAGAUAACGAAGAUUUCUAGAAAAACAUUGUUGCUUGUUAACCUCCGAGGUAUACUCCAGUGUGAAGUAUGUCUCCCCUGCAGCCCAACGGGCAAGGUCGUUGAUAAGAUCGUGCAUAACAAAUCGUGAUAUACUGUUGCUCGAUUGCUGGAAAAAAGAUCUUCCACGUAGCUCUUGAAAGAACUUUCGACCGAGAUCUUCACUAGGAUUCCCACUCUCUCCGUGAUUCAAGAAACCCACAGCACUCCAUAAUAAAAUUAUCUCCCCCUCUUCAAAUUCAUAAUCCUUUGGAAACAAUGAGCAAUACGCAAAGCAUUGUUUCAAAGGUGCCGAAAGAUAAUAGUAGCUCACUCUAAGCGCCGGCAUAAUGUCACAUCUCUCUUCUUGCAAUUCCCAUAUCUUGGUACUGAGCACUCUCUCCCAAUCACAUCUGUCAUCUUUUCCUCGCAAAAGUCCUCCAAGUGUUUGCGCUGCCAAGGGCAAGCCAUCGCAUUUGGCCACUAUCUUCUUGCCAAUUUCCUCCAAUAACUUAUCUGACCCCAAAGAGUGUUGAGCGAACACAGACAGACAAUCAUCAUUUGACAACUUUUUCAAUUGAUAAGCCCGAACAGUCCCCAUGAUGGCUGCAACCUCUUGAUUACGAGCUGUGACAAUAAUCUUACUUCCCGGUGCGCCAGCUUCAAAUGGAGGUCUGAGUCGAUCCCAAUCAUUGUAAUUCUCAUUCCAAACGUCAUCUAAAACAAGCAAAAAUUUUUUUCCAGAUAACUUCUUCUUCAGCUCCUCUUGAAGCUUAUUCAAGUUGUGAUUAUCCACGUUCUGGUCAGGAACAAUGGAUAUCAAGAUUGUUUUUGUUAGCCUGAAAACAUCGAAAUCAUCAGAGACACAAGUCCAUGCCUUGAGAUCAAAAUGAUCCUGCACUUGCUUAUCAUUGUAGACAAGCUGAGCAAGAGUGGUUUUGCCCAGCCCGCCCAUACCUAUGAUAGGAAUAACAGAGAAUUCACCAUCGUUGCUUAAAUCAUCCCUCAAAAGCAGUUCUACAACAUCCUUCUUUUCUGUUUCUCUGCCAUAUGCUUUGGCUUCCUUCACCAAAGAAGUUGUCUCUCGCCUUUGCCUGUCUUUUAUGGUCCUCCCACCUGAACUUACGUUCAAACCCAGCGAAUCCUUCUGAGUUACAAUUUCUUGAAAUCUGCCGUUGAUCUCUUUGAUUUUGGACAUUAUGGCGUAAUCGAACUGAAUCGAUUGUGGAGCAAAAGUGGUGCAGCAAGUGGGAAUGAGCUUCCGAAACUUACUUGUUCUUGUACGACUGCUACUGGGUUGAUCAAGAGCAGCAGCAGGUUCUCCAUUUCCAAGCAGCAACUUCCUCCGGAAAACCUCAGUUUGAAACUCAUCCAACAGGUCCUCAACAUCAUAAGCCAAGUUCUGAAGCUCGCCAAGCCACAACUUCACAGACUGAUCAGUCGUUUUCUUCUCCUCAGCAUCAGCAAGCACCGCCUUGAUCAUCACCAACAUAUUCUUCCACUUCUUUAGGUCGGCCUGGAUUUGCUCUUGGCGUGCAAACAACCGAAUCCCCUCUGAAGCUAACUUAUUGACCAGCAAAUCAACGGAAGCCGUAAGGAUUGCCUCUCCGAUGAUUGACAUUUUUUUUUUGUUUUUGUUUUGCAAAGAAAGAAACAGAAUUUUGAGUUUUGAAAAGCAAAAUGAGAAAAUUGAACAGUAAGUGUGGAGGGUCAAGCAAAAUGCGCGUAACAAGUCUUCCGCUUGUUGUUUAUUCCAGUAAAGCUAGAAUAAAAACAGAGCCCACCACCCAUUAAUAAUAAUUGAGCAAUUCACCAACCACCAAUCACCAGUCACCACUACUCGUUACCAUGAAUAUAAUAAAUUGCAACUUGAUAUUUGCAGGGUCCAGCAACAUUGACCCAGUGUCCGGGUAAAUGCUGAUAAAUCAAAACGUUUAUCUCUCUCUCUCUUUUCCAUAAAAUUACUUUAUUUAUUGAAUUAAUUUCCAUGCUAAAACGAAGACUUAAAAGUGCACUACAAUUUUUUAUAAUCACAAUGAUAAUUCUUACUAUCAUGUUAUCUUAAUGUCGUGUCAAAAUAAAUUAUAACAAAGUUUUUUCUAUAUGAAUACUCUUUUCAUUUAUAAAUUUUUCAGUUUUUAAUAUUUUUCUCACUCUUUUAGUCUUAAUAUUUGUAUUCCUCUCUUCAAACUUUCUUAAUUAUUUAAUUUUUAAAGAAAAAUCUAAAAAAAAGUAAGAAAAACAUUAUACUUAGAAAAUAAUGAAUAUUUUAUGGGUAUAAUACAAUUUUGUCUCACCUAUAAAUUUGUUGUUUAGCAAUUAGUUUGAGAAUUUUAAAAAAUUAUUUACAGUAGGAUAAAUUUUUAUUUAAUUUAUUUUUUCACAAUAUUGUAUCUUAAUUAAUUAAGUUGUUAUGUUUAUUACAAAAAUUUUGUUUUGGCUUAGAGGAUUACUUCUUAAAUUCAAAUUAUUUUAAUGAUAAUAAAAGAUAUUUAUAUUGUGUAAACAAAAUAAAAUUGAAGAGAGAAAGAAAAUAUAAAUGACUUAAUUCUAUUUAUAUUUGUCCUUAAAAUGUAAUUGUAAUAGAAUAAGGGUUUUAUAAGAUUAAUGAAGGGAUACCGAUAGUCCUACUCUUAUGGAAAAUGGCAGUAAAAAUGGAAUGUAUCCACUACAAACCUUCGCUUUACAAGUCUUCAAUCAAACAUGUAUUGAUUUGUAAAAGGAUCACUAGCAUCCGAUUAUUGGGAGGUAUUAUGGAGAAGUCACGCUUAGUAUUUACAAUUCAUGUAAGAUGAAUUUGUAAGACUUAUUAAUUUCGAUGAAAAUAUAGAUUUAUUAAGUUACUAAUUCAUUAAGUUAACAUGAGAUAUUAAUAUUUACUAAUUGUGGCGAUUAAUUUAUUUAACUUGUCAUGAUUUUCAAUUAAGAAGGAAGUUCAGUCAAUUUAUGGAAAGAAGGAUAAUUUUUUUUUUCAGAAUUUUAAUUUCUAGGAUUUUAUUUCACUUUGUUUCGAUUGUUGAUGUUGCUAAAGAGGCAGUGAAAGUUUGCUGAAUGCCAUCAGAUGCUUGUAUCUUAUCUCACAAAAUGUCAAUAUCGGUUUGUUUCCCUAUAGGCGCAGCCAUCAUGAAUUGAAAGUAACAACGUGAUGAGCAUAUAACAUAUACAUAUUUUACCAUUAAUUAUAUAAUUGUUAGUUAUUUUUAUUUGUUAUUUUUAAUUAAUUAAAUUAUUUUGUUGAAUAAAAAAUUAAUUAGAGAUUCUAGAUAAAAAGGGCAUGAAGAAGUUUAAUUUGGGAAGCAAAAAAAAAUAAAUUGAAAGAUAAAAAUACAGACAAGGAUUAAUGGAAUCCAAGCCGAAAAAAUCAAAGCACAAGGAUUUUCUUAAUGUCAUUAUUUAGGCAAGGGUUUUGAUGCAGCGGAAGUUUAAGAGAAUCAAAUCUGAAGAAUUUAUUAAGAGAAUCAAAUUGGAAGUUUUGAUGCAGCAAAAAAAAACUGAAGUUUGAAUUUCACUCACAUAGGUAAUAAGAGAAUUAAAUUAUUGUUAGAUUAAAUUGAUUAAAAAAAAUUAUCUGAUAUCCAAAACAGCAUAUCAACAAAAUUGAAAUAAAAGAAAAUUGAAGAGAAAAACCAUCGAGAGAACGAAAAUUAACACACGAAAAUUUCGAUAACUUCACUUAUUAAAACUUGGUUAUUUCAUUUUCAUUGAUAAUCAUUUUGACACCGGUCAAAUUUAAAAGUUUAAAUAAUGGGGGCGCUAUUUCUUUCCAGCUAUGCCCAUCGACUAAUUAAAAUACCGCCGAAACAGUUCAGGGAUAGUAUAGUAAUUUCAUUUAACAGUUUUCGUGCUUCAAAUCAUCAAAUCAAACUCACGGUUUCCGACUUGUAAUGGGUGCAACUCAUGUUUUUCAAACAUUAAGAUCUUUUGCCAUUCUGUUACUAUCCCAUGGUUAUUUAAGUUACAAGAGACAGUAAAAAACAUCAUCAUAUUUUAACGUCCUUUGAAUAUUUGAAGAGGUUAAAAUUUAGGCAGUGUUAUAUAAAAUAUAAUGUAAAUUAGUCUCAGUAAUUGUGUAGUUGUAUGUGAGAAAACAUACAAUGUAAAAGUGUGUGUGAGAAAACAAAAAAUAUGAAUCACCUUUGAUGUAGUUGUAUGGUUGUAAAGAAUUAGAUGGAGAAAUAUAGUAUAUAAUUAAAUUUAUUUUGUUCUUUAAAACGGAUAGGUUUUAUGCAAAUUUUUCAGAGGAGUGCCAAUAUUUCAACUCUAUCAUUGCUAUUAGUUUGUCUUGUAAUUCAAUCAUUGCCGACAAGUAUUAAUUGUGACUAUUAUUAUUUUAAAAAUAUUAUUAUUAUUAUCGUCGUUAUUCUUAACAGCAAUGACUAGAAUUAUAAUAAUAACAAUAACGUCAAUACAAUAAUAUAACAACAUAAUAAUAUUUUAAUUGGGGUCUUCCACCUGGGUAUGCAUGAUUCCUUGUGACAUGAUAUAGGGUGCGUUUGGGAUUGAGGUUAGGCAGCUGUAGCUUAAAAGCUACAGCACUAAAGUGUUUGAUAAACACUAACUGCUGUAGCUUUUAAGCUAUAUUGAUAUGAUUUUUCACUUGUAUAAUACAAAAUCUAUUAUAUCUUUAAAAAUUUUAUCAAAAUUAUUAUUUAAAAUUUAUAUUUACUAUAUAUUAUUAAAUUUUGUUUCAUAAUUACAGUUUUUUUUUCACAGCAGCUGUAGCUUAAAAGCUACAACACCUCAAUCCCAAACGCACCCAUAGAGCCAAUUAAAUUCUGAAAUGCGUGCAAUAAAGACUGUAAAGUGACCAGUUAUUCCGGUUGAAUUCACAAGAGCUCUUGUUUGUGUGUUUAUGUUUCAAGUUGUGUACUCUGUGUUACGAGUUCUCUAAUUAGUCUGAUAUUAUCGCAAUUAUUGCUCAAUAAUGUUACAAGUAUUAUAAUAUAUGUCACUAGUACGGUCGUUGUCUCGAGUGGUACACAUUAAGGCACAAAUUUAGAACGAAAAGCUUCCCAGUAAAAUAAGUUAUUUAAUUAAUUAAAUAAGAAUAAAAUGAAUUUGUGAAAGAAAUUUAAAUUUUAUUUUGAAUUAUUUUGACCAAAAUUUAAGUUUUUUUUUUUUAAAUUUGUUUAAGAAAAUGCAUUGUAAUUGUCUUGUUUUAAUUGGAAAAUCAAUAAAAAAAAUUAUGUAACAGAAAAAAAAAAAAAAAAAAGCAAAACGGUUUGUUUUGGAUGGAGUCCAUAGAUUCCAAUAUUUCCUUCACGAAAACUACAAAAAAUUAUCAAAGCCAUCAAUUUCUACACUCUCACCGAGCAAAUACUCUCAACCUAGAUGAAAGUGUAUAAAUCAACCCCAAUCAGUCCAUCAAUGUCGUCAACCUCAUACAGCAUAAAAAAAUCUGUGUCCAUUAAACCGCCAUCUUGCCAUCUCGUUGUAGUAUUUUACUGUUCAAAUCUAGUUAUCAAUUGGGCAAAAUGGGGACCAAUCUGCAAGUCUUUAAAAUAGAAAGAAACUUUAAUUGAGCACUAUGUUCACGGUGGUGGACCCGGCGGCAGUAAUCUUUAGGGUGGAGUUAUUUAUAUUUUAAAAAUUAUUUUAAACACUCUAAUUUUAAUAAGAAUAUGUAUUACAAAAAUAUUUAUCAUAUAAGUUACUAUUAAGAAUAAUAUAAUAUAUUAUAAGUCAACAUUAUAUAAUUAUUGUGAACACUUGUAUAGCACAAUCCUUAUUUAUUUUAUUAUUCUCAUGACUUAAAUAUAAAAAUUUUUAUUUCCAACAUCUUAAUUAAUAUGUAGAUGAAUAAUAAGGAAAUUAACUUUGAGAAAAAAUUAAAUACAAAAUAUGUGUAAUACUUUUAAAAAAUAAAAUAAAACAAAAGUAUUGCACAAGAUUUUUUUUUGGGAGGGAUUUUGCCAUUCUUCUUCUUCUUCUUCUCCUUCUCUCUCUCUCUCUCUCUCUCUCUCUCUCUCUCUCUCUCUCUCUUUUGGUAGUAUUUAUGGAACAUUUUCUCUUGUUAUGUUCUCAUUGCAAGUUAUUUUGGGUGCAAAAGUCAAUAUUAAAAAUAAAUUAAAUAAAAAAUUAGUAACUAAAAUUAUGUUAAAUUAUUUUUUUACAACUUAAUUUUUAAUUAUAUUUUGUGAGUAUAUGCUAAAUCUCUUAAAAAUAGAGUGUUGAAUAAUUUUAUUAGUUUUUUUAAAUAAAUGAAGCUAAGUAACUUAAAAAGUUUAGUAAGGAUAUUUUUGAAUUUUAAAUAAUGUACAAAGUAAAAUUUAAUUUUUUUAUAAUUAAGCUACGAGCGUGCAAAGUAAUAUUUAGAGUGCUAAUAGUCCUACCCUAAUCUUUAUCAUCACAUUAUUUUCCAUAAAAAGUUUACAAUUAUCUCUUUAUUGGAUAAUUUUGUUCCCUCUCUUACCGUUAUGUUCCCCUACAUUCUCAUAUCUGCAUCACCAUUUAAAUUGUAAUCAUAACGUUAAUCUUUAUCAUUUCACAUAUUUUGCCAAAUUUAUACGCACUGCAAAGCUCUUUCCUUUUUUUUUUUUUUCCCGUUAAGUUUGCUAUAAUGUACAUGAAGAAUAGUUAAAGAGCUCUUUCGAGUCCUUAUCCUUUCUUUCGAGUUUACUUUUGCUUUUUUUUUUUUUUAACGUUUCUCUGGAAUUCACUUCAACAUCACUGGCGCGUUUUCUUCUUUCUCACUGCAACAUCAACUGGGCCACCACCUCUUGCCUCUCCCGGUUCCCCUCAAUUUUCGUAUUCAAUGUCCACCGUUGAUUGUACAUUUAUUAAAAUUCUGUGGUUAUUAUUUUUUGCAUAUAUUUAAUUCCACACGGUCUAGAUCGUAGUUGUGUCCUUUUAAUUGAGGAUGAGAAUGAAAUUAUGAAAUUUAAGUUGGGUAAAAAUGGUGAGUAUGAGGAAAUUAAAUUACAAUUCUUUAAGAUAAAUAAUUUGUAAAUCCCACAUAUUUCAUUUUUAUUUCUCUAGUUAAAUUAUAUUUUAAUAAAUAAAUAUAAUCAAUUAUUUUAAUAUUUUAAUUAAUAAACACGACAUUAACUACGGAACUAAAAAAUCCAAAAAAAAAAAAACAGAGGCGUGUGUGUAUUGCUUGUGACAAAUGUCACCCAUGGAAAACCUUGUGAAAGGCAUUUGAAUGUGUGGCCACAUUUAAUGAACGAAACGAUAACUUUAAAAGAAAGUAUGUACUGUGUUAAUUAUUAGGCUUUAGCUUAAUGAUUUCAAUUAGUUUGUCUUUUAAUUAAAUUAUUGCCGACAAACACUAUCACGACCCACGUCCGCUACUUGUGUGAAUGUGUGUAUAAAUAUCCGCAGCAUAUUAUCAAACUUGAUGCGUGAUCAUCUUUAAGUUUUGGUUACGGUUCAUCAGACGUUAGAAGACAUCUUUUUUAAUUUGAAGAAGAUGGAAACUCCGCAGGUUCUUAUGCCAUGUUCAAUUGAAUGUCAUUUAUAAUUUUUAUUUUAAUAUUAUGUAUUUAUGAAUAUAAUUAUUAUUAUGAUUUUUUCAAAUAAAAACGGAUGGUCUAAGGGUAAUUCAAUAACUAUGUACAGUAUUAUUAAUGAUGAGAGCGUGAAUGAUAAUUUAGAUUUUAUUCUCUUCUCUCAAUACAGAAGAAAUCUCGACUGUAGUAGUUAAGUGUUAUGUAACUCUUUCGUAUUAUGUUCAAUUAAUAAUAAAAUGAUGAGUUAUUAUUACCUGUCAAUUAUGUGAGUGUCUUUGUUUGAUUUAGUUCAACUUAUAAAAUCUCUUGAGAUAUAUAAGAGAUUUUCUUUGUUUACUUUCAUGUACCGCGUCUUCUUGUAAAAAGUAAUUAAUAAAAAAAAUAUCAUUGUGUGCCAUGUAUUGACUAAGUUAGUGUAUUCAUGUUAGGUUAAUUGUGCUCUCUCUUCUUGAUUUUUUUUUAUUAAAAAAAACUCCACGUAUUCUUGGUUAGCUAAUUCUUGCAGGUAGCAAGUGAUCGAUCCUUUUCUUUCCCCUACUGCUGUACCACCAAAUCCUUACAAUUACAUAUCAAGUGGUAUUCGAGCCGUCAAAGGAUCCAUGGAAACACGCAACAAAUCAAAUGCUGAAUUUUGCGAAGAGAUUCACGAAAUCCUUGCUAUACAUGAGUCUAGUUUUGACCAAGUUCACGUCACGCAUCAGCUGCGGGUUUGAAUGGUACCUAGUGGAUAUUUUGUGAGUUCCCACUAAUAAAAUCACACUUGCACAAAACUUAAAAAUUUAAAUUACGUAAUUCAAAUUAUAAAUUUAUAAUGGUAGCCUAAAAAAUCACAUAAAAUACUUAAUUCUAGAUUUUAUCAAUGUAAAUGAGAAAUGACAGUUUUAACAUUAAAAUAAAUACACAAAAUAUAUCAAUUUAACAUAAAUUUUUAAAUUUAAUUACCAAAUACAUAAGUCUAUCGCAACUCAAAGUGCUUUCAAUUGAAAACGAAAAAAGAGAAAGAAAAAAAAAACAAAGAACUACAAAUCAAAAUAGCAGCCAUGACCCAUUUUACAGUCUCAUUCAAUACCACUAGCACCCAUCAAACACGAUUUUUCUAAACAAAGUAUAAAGUACAAAAUUACAAUAAGCAUAUCAUACUCCAUGCUUUAAGUUAAAGAUCCUUAUAUCUUUUUAUGAAUAAUUUUUUAAUGAAAUUUUAUGAUUAAAAUUAAAAAUACAAACAUUCAAAUAAGAAUGUCGGACACUUGCGCAACUAUUCACCAAAUUUUUUCUCUAUAAAAAUCGACCUGCAACUUUCAAUAGGUUUAAAUUUAUAAUAUCAAACCUGAUUGCAGCUCGCAAAAAUUAUCCGUUGCGGCCAAGACUUUGGAUUUGCGAUGAUUUUGCCACCCUAAGUGUAGUUAGUAUUGUAUAUCAUGUGGCUCUUAUAAAAAGCCUAGAAGUUGUUUGAAUAACGGGGUAGACACAUAUCUCCCAAAGAUUUUCUCUUUUUCAAAUUAUUAUUUUUUCUCUAUUAUUGUAACUUCGAAUCCUUAUAAAUUACAGAUUGGAGACAUGAACACAAUGUUUUGACAUAGUGGACUUUUGGCUUGUCCAAAGAAAUUUAGGAUAGAUUUUUACGCACUAAGGUUCUAUUUACUAUUGAAGUUUUAGAACUUUUAAGCCACACCAGAAAUUUUUAUUGUUUUGAUAGAGUUGUAGUCUUUGAUAUGUGAUUAGUAUUAAUUAAGUGUUAUGUUUACAAUAGUUAAAGGCAUAUUGAAUCAAAAUCCACUUCUAAGGGCUUGAUUGAGUGAUUGUAAAGUAGGUUUUUAGUUUGCUAGCCACUCAAGUUCAAAUAUUGGAACCACAUAGCUUUAUAGCCAAGUGAGAGAACUUGUGCCCUAAAAAUUGAGGGGUGCAUAUCGAGUUUUACCACCAAUAAAAGUUGGUGUUAAAACUUUAAUUUCCCUCCUAUUAAUGGAUAUGGGUGAUUAGGAGUUUACAUCCCCUCCUAUUAAUAGACAGGGAUUAUUAGGAAUAUUAAAAAAAAGUUCAAAUAUUGAAAAUGUAGGUAUGGGUUAUAAAAUUCAUAAUAUAAAGACACAAAAUCAAGAUAAAGAUUUAAAAAUUUAGAACCAUGAGAGCGUGACUUGUAAGUUUCAAAGAAGCAUGUGCAAAUAUAUGCAUUAUCGAUGCCCAAUUAAGGGUGGGCAUUAAGAUCGGGUUAACCCGAACCGAACCGAAUCAAACUUAAAAUUUAUUUUGGAUUUAAUUUGGUUAUAGUUGAAGCUUUCAACUGAGUUCAAAACUUAAAAAUGAUUGGGUUGUAUUUCUGUUCGAAUUUAACUCCAGAAGACUAAUCAAUCCAAUCGAGUUAAGUAAGCAAAUUAAGAAAAAAAAUCCCAAAAAAUUAAAACUAACCCUAACUAAAAUAUUCGACCGGGGCCUCCUCGUUUUCUUUUCUUCUUCCUCCUCUCGCUCACCCCUAAUGCCCAUUCAUGGAAAUCCAACAGCUCCAAACGCGUUUCAGCCGCUCGCACGUGUGAGAAAUUUUCCUUCUCAUAGGAUUAUUCGUUUCCUUCGCUUGCAUGCCAGCAGAAUAUUCAGGCCGAGGAUUUUUCCGGGCCUAGCCCAACUAUAAGCUCUCCCAAAACCCAAUCAUAAGUUCAUAACGUUUAGCGUUUGCUAUUACUAUAAUAUUUUUUAACGAAUUUUCACAUUCAUCAACAUAGGCUGACAGAUUUUGUAGAAAAUAAAAUUAAAUAAAAAUACAAGCUCACGAAAUUCCUUUUCCGAUGUGGGAAUCUAUCUACACCUUUCACGUGCUUUUUUUUUUUUGGUGGUGGGGGAUUCCCUUGCUUUUGUUUGCAUUGCCUUAUUGGAUAAAAGUUUGUACAACAUCGUCUGUUUGGUUAAAGCCGAGCAUGAGUGAAGAAAUUUUUUUUAAAAAAAAUUUCCCAUUAAUUUGCAACAAGUAUUAAUAAAGUGCAUGAGAAAAGACACCGGGAUAUGCCUUUUUUAAAAUGAAAAUAAAUGUGUUAAUUAGUCAAUUUAAAUGGUAUGACAUUUUGAAAUGAUAGAAGUGAUCUAAAGUUUAAAUCUUACACUUAAUUUAGGGGUGGGGAUUAAUUGAUGUAAUAUAUAAUAACGAAUUCGAAAGAUAAUUAAAAAUUAAAAGAAAAUAAAAAAGUGCUUUCUUUUUUAUGAUGGUAAUUUGUUUAGAUGAUGAAAACUCUUAGAGUGGUAUUAUCAAUACAUAGUAUUUAUUUUAUUAUAUUUUUAAAUUAAUAAUAAUUAUUAAUAUUCUUAACUAUGUAAAUCACAAUUAUUUUAUUAAUUUUAAUUUAAAUUAUAUAAAUAAAAAAUUAAUAACAACAACACAAAUGAAACAUUAUUAUUGAUAAUAUAGUACAAAUUAAUUUUUUUAGAAUAAAAUAUUUAUUAUUAUUAAUUACUAAUAUUAAAUAAAUAUAAUAGUAUUAUUUUUAAAUAAGUAUAAUAAUAUUAUAUUUUCAAAUAAAAAUAGAAUAUAGUAAUAUUAUUAAUUCUUUAUGAAUAUAAUAAUAUUAUUUUUAAGUAAUUUUAACUUAGAAUCAAUAUAAAUUAUUAUUUUUAACCAAAAAAUUAAUAUUAUUUUAAAUAUGUUUAAUAUUAUUAUUUUUAAUAAAUUUAAUUUAUAAAAUAAUAAAAUAUUAUUAUUUAAAUAAAUAGGAUUUUACUUAUUUUAUUAAAUUUAAUAAAAUAAAUAUGUUUAAUAUUAUUAUUUUUAAUAAAUGUAAUUUAUAAAAUAAUAUAAUAAUAUAAUUUAAAUAAAUAUGAUAUUAUUUAUUUUAUUUUAUUAAAUAUAAGGGUAAAAAAUGAAGAGAGGCGAGUGAAUUCCCACUCCCACCUUCCUCCAUGGGAGUGGGAAUCCUACUCCCCACUCCAAAAUUAGGUGGGAUCCACACAGUGGAAUUCUCACUCCUCCUUUGAAAAUUAUAAGUAAACAUUGGAGUAAAAGUAAUCCACACUCCUCACUCUCACUCCUUAAAAUAAACACUACAUUAAAGAAGCCACUGACUCAUAAGAAAACCAUGAUUAAGUACACGACGAAACAUGUGAGCUCGUUUUUCAAUUUCUUUGAUCACUCAUAAGCUUUUCUAUACCACUCACUAUAUCAUCCUUUUAAGUCAAUUUUGACUGAUCAUAAGAGAUUAUGCACCCCACCUUGAGAUGAUUGAUCACCAAUUUGGCAUUGUAACGUUGAUCACCUCUAAUUGGCCAUGCUAAAAUUGGGACCCCAUUGCCAAUUACUUCUACAGUUAAAUUUUAUCUACAGUGAGAUAAAAAUCCACCUAUUAAUUGAUAACUUAGUAUCAAUAAUUAUGGCGCCGUUCCAUCUAUUAUCAAACCCUUUUUACCGGCUCUACUAUCUAAACCACUACGAAAAUAAGCUGGUUAAAAAUAAAAAAUCCCCAGUUACUCUGCUCAAACUCGUUAAUAUUUGUUUCCACCACCAAAGCAGCCACUCGUAUCUUUUAUUAAGCAUAAUGUUUUUAAACAAAUAUGAUGAAAACUCUUAGGGCCAGUUUGGUAAUGCUGCAGCUUUUAAAAUAAUUGCUGUUAGCUGUGCUGUAGAAAUAAUCAGCUGUGAAGAGAAUCAGUUAAGUGUUUGGUAAAUUUUAUUUUCAAAAGUACUGUGAAUUUUGAAAGCAGUUAUGGGUGUUUGGUAAAUUUUAUUGUUAAACUGCUGUAAGAAAAUAAAUGACCAAAAUGUACAUAAUGUAAGAUGAAAUUUACCUAUACAUAUAAAAAUGUUGUAAGAAAAUAAAUUUACUUGCACUAGAGAAGUUUUGAUAGAACACAAAAUAUGAAGAAAUAGGGUAAACGAAAGGUGUGCGUUAAUUAUAAUAAAAAUUUAUUAAAAUAUUGAUUUUAUUUCUAAUUUAACUAAGGAUAAUUUCGGGUUUAAGUAAUAAUUGUAAGGAUAUUUAUGAAAUUAUAUUAAAGGAUAAAAUUGAUUCUCAAAAUCAGAAUCUAAAAGUUACUAUUUCCCUGCUUUUCAAAAUCAGUUGUAGGAGGAGCUGAUUCUGGCAAAAGUGAUUUUGAUUUUCUUUUACCAAACACCAAAAUUAGCUUUUAGAUUUUUAAAAUCACUUUUAACCCUCCCAAAAGCAAUCCCAAACGGGGCCUUAGAGUGGUAUUAUCCCAUGUUUACUCCAAUGAUUUGGUAUACGCACAUGUAUUUUGGUAUACGCACAUGCACGCUAUAAAUUUAGUCAAGAAAAGUGAAUGUAUCUACAUACAAAUACUUAUCCCAUAUAACUUCAUUUCUUCAACUGAAGAAUCGGUCGUCUCUCAUUUUUUAUUUAUUAUAUAAAGAUAAAUAUAUAAAUUUAAAUGGCGAGAAGAGCGGACGAGGAAUACGAUUACUUGUUCAAAGUGGUAUUAAUCGGCGAUUCGGGAGUCGGCAAAUCGAACUUACUCUCCCGAUUUACUCGUAACGAGUUCUGUUUGGAGUCCAAAUCCACUAUUGGCGUCGAAUUCACCACCCGCACUCUUCAAGUAACUAACUUUUCCUCUUUCACUUCUCUUCAUUUUUAUUAGUUAAUUAAGAUCCAGUUAAUGUAAUUAAUUUUAUUUAAUCUUUUAAAUAAAGUUCUAGAUUAGGCUAACUUAGAUUCAUGUCAAGUUGAAGUGAUUUACUUUCGAUCUCUUUUUCGUCCUAUGUUUAUUUGUACUUACUAUUACUUUUUUUUUGGGUAUUUUCGUUUUUGAAGUGUUUACUGAAUAAAUUUCUGAGCUUUAUUUGUGUAUGCUGAUUGAUUUGUGAUUUUAAUUUGUGAUUUUUUUUUUGGCAUUUAAAUUUGAAUGCUUUUUAAUUUGAAUCUGAAUGUGUUGGGCUGCGAUUUAAUUAAGUCAUGUGUGAGCACCAAAUUGUGAUAGCUAUAUAUUGGGGUGAAAAUUUGGGAUUUAAAGCUAUGUAUUUAAGAUGCAGUUAAUUGGCAAGUGAAAAUUAUGGGCCGGCAGAUUUUGUCAUUGGAAGACUGUUCUCCACAUGUUGAAGUUAGUGAUGCAAGUUGAAACCAAUCUGUUUAAGCUUGGGGUUUCAUGUCUUGAAUCAAGGCUGUGACUUGGGGUGGGUUGAAAGUAUUAUAGCUUUAGCUAUUCCUGAAGUGAUCUGUUUAGACUCACCGUGAUGAGACCGAGUGCUGUACAGUAAAAUGAAAGGAAGUUGGAAAAUAUUUACUUAGCAUUUCGCGUUACUAAUGUUGAACUAAUAAAACCUAGCCCCUAUCCUAGUGAAUUUAUGUUAAAAAGCUAUGCACGCAUUAAGUUAGUGCGAGAGUCUGCUGAAGCAUAUGUCAGCUGUGUGUUUGGAGCUGAGUAUUCUUCAUUCCACAUUUUGGGUUUUGGUUGACCUCCAGCAUGACUCAACCCACUUGAGUUAAAAGCCCUAGAGUUACAUUCUACCCAUGAUAUUUGAGUUUAUCAAGUCACCUUAUUUUAAUACUUCUCUGGAAAACAAAUAUAUAUGUUAAAUCAGGUAGGAAAAAUAAAAAGUUAAUUAUUUUAAUACUAAGGUUUUGAAACAUUAAGAUCUUUAGCCAUUAUGUUACUAUCCCGUAGUUAUUUAAGUUACAAGAGAUAGUAAAAAAUAACAUCAUAUUUUAAUUACUUACACUAAUCCUACAAGUGCUGAUGGUCUAAAGUUGCUGCUGCUUGCACUGAAUCAGUGGUCAUGGGCCAGCCAAGGUUAGGUGAGGCCAACUCAUUAGCUUGUGAAACUUAAAGAAGUCUUAGGUUUGGAAAAGAUGGGGCACAGGUUACAAAAAUUUUUUGAGUUUUGGAUUGAAGGAACAAAAUUGUUGAUGUCUAGCUCACAAUAUUUGAAGUCACUCUGUGCUUCAUCAUGUCAAAUGGAUUGAAUUGCUGUAAGAUCAGGUCAAAUUAAAAUGUUUAAACUCAUUUUUAAGAAACGAAUUCUCAAUUGGACCAGCCUUUCACAGAAGCUGAUAUCACAGAAGCUUUGAGUCAGAUGCAUCCAACCAAAGCCCUUGGCCCAGAUGGUCUCCCAGUAGUAUUUUUCCAAAAGCUUUAGAAUUCAGUAAGCGAAGGAGUUAUAGCCACUUGUCUGCAUAUCCUCAAUGAUGGAGGUAAUAUUGCUCCUUUGAAUCAUACAUACAUUGCUUUAAUCCCCAAGAUAGCAAAACCUAGGACUCUGAUGGAGUAUAGACCAAUCAGCAUAUGUAAUGUAAUUUAUAGGAUCAUUGCAAAGACUAUAGGGAAUAGGCUGAAGCUAAUCUUAGAUCAUGUUAUUUCGCCAACUCAGAGUGCUUUUAUGCCAAAUAGGUUCAUAACUGAUAAUAUAAUUAUUGGGCAUGAGUGUCUUCAUAAGUGGACAAAGCUAUGUUCCAGAGGUGAGAUAGGAAAUUCUCCCGCACGACACAGCAGAAACAAACUUUCCCUUUCAUUUUCUUUUCUCUUUCUCGCUCUCCAAACAGAGCAAAAGGACCGUCGGAAGAUUCUUCACUUCCAUCCAAAAUCAUGAGCAACGAAUAGUGAGCCUCCCUGUUUCCUUCCUUUUUUUGAUAUUAACAUUGUUAACAUAUACUCAUUUUAAUUUGACAAUACUUCAACUUUUUUUAUUUUUUUGCCUUUUCAUUUUUUUUGUUGAAGCAAUUAUCUGUUCAAGCUGUUGCUUAUCGAAGACUCGUCCUUCGGAAAGUCCUGCCUGCUGCUCCGAUUUGCUGUCUGUUGACUUUUCCUUUCCCUUCUUAUUUUCUUUUUUUAUAUUAAUUACUUUCUAUUUUAGCUUUUUGUUCUCUGAAUUUGUGUUAUUAAAAUGAUAAUUUAGAUGACAAAUAAUUGUUAUUCUUGUAAAUUUAGGUUUUCAUUACGUUAAUUGUUAGUUUUUAGGUUUAUUAAUGUAAUUUUUUUUGUUUUUUUUUUUUCAAUUUUUCAGGAUGAUUCUUAUGUCACCGCUACAUCAGUACCAUUGGAGUUGAUUUUGUGAGUCUCUCUUCUAUAUAUAUGUAUAUAUGUGUAUAAGUUAUAAUAUGAGUCUAUGUACGUGUAUGUAUGUAUGUGCAUGUAUAUGUGGAAAGAAAUGUUGGCAGACUUCAGCAUUUUACUCUUUUUUUUUUUUUUUUUUUGGGAGAAAAUAAGAACUGUGGAGUUGGAUGGGAAGACGAUCAAACUGCAGAUUGUGAGUCAAAAUUUCCUUUUAUCUUGUAUUGAGAGAAAUUCGAUUUGUCUUAUUUAGUGAAGGUUAUGUUCAAGAACCUUGUCUUAUUUUCUUUGUUUGAAGAGUGAUAUGUUGAAAUGAGUGUAUUUGUCUUAUAAACAUCAUUUAGGUAAUGUCUUAUGUGUGAUUGUUUUGCAUCUGUUGAGUGGGACACUGCUGGACAGGAGCGAUUCAGGACUAUAACUAGCAGUUAUUACCGAGGAGCCCAUGGAAUCAUAGUAAGGAGCCUUUCCGGUUCUUGGUUUAAAUCAGAAAGUUUGUGAUUUACAUGUGACAUCUUAACAGCAUUGUAUGUGUUUAUUAACUUAUUUUUCAUCUUUCGUUAAGCAGUACAUUUUCCAAUAAAUCUGUAUACAAGAUGAUGUAGUCCAAGAAUGGGAGCGAUAAUAUGAUGCAAAUUGUCUAAUAAAUUCUUAUGACAUAUGAUGUUGUCGGAAGUAAAAGUCUUGCAAUGCUGUAUUCUCUUUUAAGAAAGAAUAAGUGGUAAUCUUAUUUUUCCAAUUUUUUAAUUGAGCAACUGUGUGAGAUUAAUUAAAUGUGUUGGGAUUUCAACAGAUUGUCUAUGAUGUAACUGAGAUGGAGAGCUUCAAUAAUGUCAAGCAGUGGUUGAAUGAGAUUGACAGAUACGCAAAUGACAGUGUAUGCAAGCUUCUAGUGGGGAACAAAUGCGAUUUAGUUGAGAACAAGGUUGUGGACACACAGACAGCCAAGGUAUAUUCGUGACUUCUGUCGCCUGAACUUUGAAUAUAAUUUUAAACUCUUCUCAAGUGCAUUUGCUUGAUAAGUUUCUGCAUACCCAGGACACUCAAACUUUGGACAGUUUGUAUCUCAAGCUGGAAUCUUUUUUGUCAAUACGACUUGUUAAAAUAAGGGUUAUUAUCGUUUGAAUCCUUCAAGAAUUGCAAUAAAUCUAAAGUCCAUAAAAAAAUAUGAUUCCAUCUUUUUACUAUUAUAUCUAGACAAAACCCAUUAUUUUACUACAUUUCAUUGGCACGGAUAGUUGACCUGUUGGCUGACUGAUAAAAUAUCAAUUUUGCACUUUAUAUUAAUUCUUUUUUGGUUAAAAAAUAACACACAAAGUAUUACAAUAUUAUAAAUUCAAAAUAUAAAGUAGUUACAAAUAAUUCCUAUUAGCCUAUGAAUAUAAUAUUUGAUACCUCUAUUUGUGUAAUUUUUUUCCAAUGGUGAAAUUGUUAUUUUUUUUUGUACUAACGGAAAUGUAGUAAAAUCAUAAGUUUUGUAAAGAUAUAGUAGUAAAAUGAUAGACUAAAAUACUUCUUGUAGUUGUUUGAUAUAUUGUAAUUCUUAAAGUAGUCAAUUGAUAAUAUCCCCUAAAAUAAAUGUUCGUAAUAUGUUCUCAUUUUAAUGCAACUGAUUGUUUAAUAAAAUUGUAUUUCUUUGUUAAUCUUUUAUCAUGUGCAUGCUCAGUGAGAAUUUGACUUACUAGAACACAAGUUUGACUCUUCAUUUAAAUGUCUCUUGUAUCAUAUCCUUUAAUGUUGAGUGUGAUUCCAAUAAAAUUGAGUAGGGAGAUCCUUAAAUACCUUUUCCUUUUUUCCAAGGGCCUGCCAAAUUGCUCUAAGUGGUUCUACCCUUUAUCAAUGAAUAAUGAAAAUAAAAUUUUUAUUAAAGCAUUUUGUUCCUUAAAUGGUGACUAAUAGUACCCCUUUUUUUUGGAGAGGAAAGCCAAACAUGCCCAAAGAGAAUCAUUUACUUUCCUCUAAUGUAUUUUCUAAUUCGUUUUGAGCCUUGAAUGUCUGUUUUGGUGCGUAUUCUCAUUCCAUGUUGAAUCUUAUCCAUAUGGACAACCCCACUUACAAAAAAGUCUAAUGAAUCUAUUGAAGUUCAUAUGAGGUUUGUGCUUUAGAUUUAGACCUCUCUCUCUCUCUCUCUCUCUCCACUUACAUGUCUUUCACUUACCUGUCUUUCACUUACCUGUUUGCAUGCAUGCCCAUGCACACACUUUCACGAUAAUACUGUAGGGGAAAAAUCAUGUUUUUAAAUUUUAUAAAACCUUUUGAAGAUCGCUCUCAUAUAAUAUAUAAGAAUUCGUAUUCUAGAAAUCGUACCUUGAAAAUCCGAGUUGGCUUUUCCACUGAAGUGAUUUAGGCUCCUAGAUCACGAUCUGCCACCACCACUCCUGUUAGAUCACGAUCCGUCAUCACCACGCUUGUUAGAUCACGAACUGUCGCCAAUGAUCUUCCAGGUUAUGACUCAGGUUCGAUCUGCACUUGACGUGUGGGCGCCUUUAUCACUGCCAAAGCAACUAGCACGAGAAAAUUUUUCUCUCAAUCAUGGAGAGAAAAAUCUUAUUCUCUGAUUUGUAUAAAGUGGCUUCUUCCUUUUUCUUUUGAGAAAAUAAGCCUUAUAUAUCUCCCUUUAGUGAAAACCCUAGGCUCCAAAUAAUGCCCUAAAUAAAACUCACGUUAUUUUCUUUUUCAAUAGGGAACCCACCUUGUAAAAUAACAUAAGGCCCCUUAUACAAAAGCUAAUUAAAUGGAGCCUCCCACUAAAUGAUAUAUUUAGGCUUUUGACCCAAAUAGCUAGUUAUCUUACUUAUUAGUCCAGUGGUGGUGCAGUCAAUUAAAUGAGCUAACCCGGGGAUCAUUUGGGAACAUACAAUAGUGGCUACAAUAAUUAGGCCUGUAAUUAAACUAGCCUAAUUAUUUAAUUCCAAAUCUACUCCACUAAAAGAUUGGAACUGACUUCCAUAAUUGUAUGCUCGAAUAAUAAUUCGUCCCAAGCCACAUUGAUUUCUUUAGUGCACAAUCCUUUGUACCACAUCGUUAAUUAAAUUGAUAUCUCAACUGUCCAAUCAAUUUAAUAACAUCUUAUUCCUUGAUCCUUACUGGUUUUCUCUAAUGAUCAUUUUCAACAUACUAAAUAUGUUGACACACUCUGGCCAGAGAAUUCUAUGAUCAAGUGCCGAAAACCCAUCAAGAGAUGUGUUGUACAAAUUCUAUAUUGUUAAUCCAUAACUCCAAUACUCAUAAUUGCUCCCACCAAGAUACCGGGUAAUCUUGACCACAAGUAUGUGUUGUGUCCAUUGGUAACUCAAAUGGAAUAACAAUUACAAUCAUGAAAUCAUAAUUAACUCAAGAUUAAGAUUACAGUAAAAUCAACGCCUAUGAGAUUUAAUAAGUCUGACAGUUAUUACAAAGUUAAUUAAAUCUCACAUGUGAUCCUGUUCAAUGUAGUCGUACUACAUCAAUAAAUUCAUACAUGAUUAAGACAAAUCAUUCAAUGAAUUUAUUACAGUCUAUACCUAAAUAAAGUGCCCAACUUUAUUUAUCAACUGCGAACUAAAUUUAUUUAAUCAUAAGAUAACUUGUAUUUAUGUCUUCUGUGAAUCCACAUGGUGAUCACAUAAAUACAUAUAAUAUGAUUAAAUGGACUUUAAUACAAAUAUUAAUGCAAUUAAGAUAUUUGAAUAAAAUACCUCAUUUAUUUUAUUAAUCAGAAAAACUGUUUAUUACAAUUAAAUAAACACAUAUGCUUUUAAAGAGCAUAUUUUCCCAACAAAUACACGGUCACUCGUACUUGUGUUUUGGUUGAAUUACUGGCUGCUAACCUCUGUAAUUCAGUUUGAAACUUGCCACCCUUAGUGCUUCACUCAAAUGGUUGGUUAGGGUGAGAUCUGUAUCGUUUUCUUGGUCUCUUUCCAAGGUUAUCUAAAGGGAUUUGGCAGUCUGAUUCUUUAGGGAAUAUCAUUGCAUAAGAUAUCUAUUGUUUGUUAAUGAAUAAUUUCUAUUUAACUAGUUAUCUAUAUAAAUUGGUAAAUUUUAACUGCAUAAUUUGCAUGCAAUAAGAUUUUAUAAGAAUCUUGUUUUCAACUCAUGACUUAGACUAAUGUGAUAUGUUGAGCAUUAAGCUACAAGAUCUGCACAUCAAAGUGCUUCACAAUGUUAAGGAGAAAGCAUCUUUUUCUGCUUCUUCAUGUGAUUUAAAGUUUCCAAGGUACUUAUCCAAUAAAAUAUCUUUCAAGACUUUGGAAAUGCUUUUAUAUAUGACUGAGAGAAACUUGUUGGGUUGGUUUUUAGCAACAGACGGAGUUAUGGACUUUGUGUUGACUUGUUAUUGAUUAAGACAGUACAUCGGCUGAUCUAUUGGCAUCAAGCAGCAGAUGCAGAAAUUAUGGGUGGCAUACCAUUGUAUCCAAAUAACAUACUACAUUGAUUUUUCUGACUUUCUGUUGGUCUCCGAGUGAAAUGCAGGCAUUUGCAGAUGAACUGGGGAUUCCUUUCCCGGAGACGAGUGCCAAAGAUGCAAUCAAUGUGGAGCAGGCUUUCUUGACCAUGGCUGGCGAGAUUAAGAAAAAGUAAAAUCACUUAACUCUUUCCUUCUUGCCGACUGUUCUUAUUUAACAAUCACUAUUAUUGCUGGUUAUAUGCAUUGUGAUGAAAAUUCUGCAAUGAGUAACUUUUUACCUAAUGUUUUCUGUUGGAACAAAUUACUCUGGUAGAAAAGCCCUACAGGGUUUGAGAAAUCCCAUGAUGUGAUGAUUGUGAGCAUUUUAGACACCGUCUAUGGGUUUAUUUUGUGACUAUAAAAUGUUAAGAUUGUUUCUAGUUUUGGUUUGUAGUGCAUAAAAGGAUUCAAAAUUUGACAUCUGUCUAAAUCAGAUUAAUAACAUGAUAAUGUACAUAUGCAAGAUGUGAGGAAUUGUUUUAUCUCACCCCUAAACUUUAAGAAAUUGAAACAGUAUUAUUCAAAAUAUUUAACAUUUCCAGAAUUGAUAGUUGUCUAUUUGAGCAGUGACUGGUGGUUAUCAUGAACUGAUGUGCGGUUGUGGUUUCAAAUCUUGGUGAAACCUGUUGUCCUAUGCUGAUUAACAUAGUUAGUCUCUGAAACAAUUUGUUGAUUCACUAAUUAUGAGUUAAAAUUUGAUGCAGAAUGGGCAACCAGCCUACUGCAAACAAAUCUUCUGGAACAGUUCAGAUGAAGCGAAUGCCAAUCCAGCAAAACAGCGACUGUUGUGGUUAGCCGAGCAUCUUAUUUUACUUCUACAUGUUAGCUGACUGAUUGUAGACAGUUUUAACUAUGUUGACUGCAUUAUCUUAUGAAUCUUUUAAUCUGUCAAAUAUUUAUUUCCUGCUUUAAGUUCUUUCCCGUUUAUAACAAAUUUAAUUUCUUGCUCCAUUGGAUUCCAAAUUCCUGUCAAUUUACGAGGGAAAAAGAAAAGAGAGACGAAAUGGGAGAAAAUGGUCAAAUUUGUUAGGCGGAGAGAGCUGUUUAAGUAGUUUUUGUUCUCGUUUAUUGUCGUGACCCUCAUGUCGCUUAUCGAUUACCUGGAAGUCCGGUCGUAUCGGAUGGGUAAAGUUACCGAAUCGGCAUCAUUUUGGGUGAAAUAUCAUAUUUAUGUGACACUUUUGAUAAUAUUUUUAUGUGUUACAGAGUAUGAUAAUAUGGUACAGCUGAGAGCAUCUGAUUAAAUGGAGCUGCUGAUGCUUACGUGUGUUGUUGAGUUAGUUAUCCAGCUCAGCAGUAAAGAUAACGAACUGGACUGCAUGCAUAUUAGAUUCAACAAACUGACAAGCUACGAGAUGCCUCUGAUCUUUUACUAUAAAUAACAAGUUGUAAUCAUCAGUCAAAUAAUAAGAAUAUGAUCAUUUUCAGAUCUGAUUCUUUAUGAUUUUCUUUCAUUUUCUUGUUAGUUUCUCUUAAACCAAACACUAUAUACAAACUCUUUCAUGGUAUCAGAGCAAACAAAUGGCAAAUUCGAAUCAAAAUUCUGGAUCCUAUAGUUUUAUUACUCCGAUAAAACUAGAUCAUAAUAACUUCAUUGUUUGGCGAACUCAGAUUCUCACAUCCAUUAAAGGAAAUGGUUUAGAAGAUUUCAUCAAUGGAAAUCAAGUCUGUCCGGAAAAAUUUUUCUCUGCUACAAGCUCUGCUGCUGGUUUCUCAUCUGGAACAGAUAAUCAAGAGAUCAAUCCAGCUUACACAAUGUGGAUAAAGACGGAUCAAUUGAUUCUGAGCUGGAUGCUCUCAUCUAUUCAACCGAAUUUGCUGACAACUGUGAUCCACUGCUCAACUGCAAAGGAACUGCUGGAUACACUUACAAGUAUGUUUGUUUCCCAGUCACAAGCUAGAAUAAUGCCUCUAAAAAUGCGAAUCCAAACUCUUAAAAAAGGCUCGAUGUCCAUAACUGAUUAUUUUGCAAAAAUGAAAAGGAUAUCUGAUAGCUUAGCUUUAGCUGGAAAACCUGUUGAAGUGAAUGAUUUCGUUCAACAUGUUUUGACUGGAUUGGAUUCUUCUGAUUAUGAGUCACUAGUUACUACUGUGUUAGCUAGAGGAGAUAAUAUCAGUCUUGAUGAGUUUUAUUCAUUGUUAUUGAGUCAUGAAAAUCGUGUGGAACAAAAGAGAGGAAAAAUUGCAAGUGAUGUUACACAUAACUUGUCAGCUAAUGUUGCUCAAAAGCAGUUCAAUCCUGGUAAAAACACUAGUGGUAAUCAGAAGUUUAACACUGGAUCGUAUGGAGGAGGUUAUAAUUCUGGAGCUGGAUCUAGUGAUGGUAACUUCUCACAAAUUGUAUGCCAGAUCUGCUUCAUUCCUGGUCAUGGUGCCAAUAAAUGCAGGAAUAUGUUUAACUCAGCUUUUGUUCCUUCAAGAAAUCAAGGAAGAGGUAGUUUUAAUGGAAAUUUUAGGCCUGGUCAGAGGCAGUAUGGUAGAGGUUUUGGCUAUGCUAAUGGAAAUAGGUCUUCUAUGGCUUAUGGAAAUUUUGGUAAUUUUGGUAGAAAUCUUAAUCCUCAAUAUGGUGCUGGAAUUGGUAACUCUCAGUUUGGUAAUUUCAACAUACCAAGAGCACCUGGUUAUCAAGGUCAUUUGAUGUAUUCAGAUCCAACUGCUUUCAAUGUUUAUCAACCAUCUAACUCUCAUGGUGGUUACUCUCCUGCUCAUGUUUUUGUUCCUACUGGAGAUUACUCUGGAUCUCCUUCAGUCCCUGUUCCAACUCAUGCACCUGAGAUGAUUGAAGAUCCAGCUUGGUACAUUGACAGUGGUGCUACUAACCACAUCACAAAUGACUCAGGUAAAUUACUGGAUCUCAAGCCAUAUGUUGGCACUGACAAAUUGCUUGUUGGGAAUGGUUCUGCAUUGCAUAUUAAACAUAUUGGAUCAGUAUUGCUAGCUACUACUGCAAAUAAACCCUUGUGUUUAAACCAUGUUCUUCAUGUUCCAAAUAUUAAGAAAAAUUUACUCAGUGUUUCAAAGCUCUUAGUAGAUAACAAUGUGACACUUGAGUUUUUUGCAAAUGUCUGUGUUGUCAAGGCCAGGAACUCAGGGAUCACUUUGCUUAGAGGAAUUGCAACAGGGGGAUUGUAUCAAGUCCAAUCUGCAACUCAAGUCUCUGAAACUAGCUCAGCCUUGUCAUGUCAACUUUCUUCCAAUAAACCUCAGUCUUUGUUUGCUUUUCAUUCUCCUUUGUCUAGUGAUAUUUCUCCUGAAAUAAGUAAGAGUACUUUGUCUCAUCAUUUGCUGUGUAAAUCAGCCUUGGCUGUCAAUACUAGCUCAGUCGAUGUCAAUGUUUUCCAUAAAAGGCUAGGACAUCCUGCCUUACACACACUCAAAUCUGUAUUGAAAGCUUGUAAUAGUUUCAAUGUACUCAAUAAAACUCCAAACUUUUGCAAUGCCUGUCAACAUGGUAAAAGUCAUCUUUUACAUUUUGGAUCUGUUCCAACAAAAACAACUGCACCAUUACAACUUAUAUAUGCUGAUUUGUGGGGACCAUCACAUGUUGCAUCCACUCAAGGCUAUAUAUACUAUCUGUCCAUUUUAGAUGAUUUUAGCAGAUUCACAUGGAUUUUUCCUUUGACUGCUAAAUCAGAUGCUCUCCAAGUCUUCACAGAAUUCAAAUCCUUUAUUGAAAAACACUUACAACAACUCAUCAAAAUAGUUCAAACAGAUUGGGGAGGGGAGUUUAGAACCUUUGCAUCAUAUCUCACUCAAUUUGGAAUUCAGUUCAGGCACCCUUGUCCACAUAUCCAUCAUCAAAAUGGAAGAAUUGAGAGAAAACAUAGACACAUAGUUGACAUUGGCCUCACUCUGUUAGCUCAAGCUAAUUUACCACUUAAGUUCUGGUGGAAUGCCUUUCAUACUGCUGUAUUCCUUAUCAACAGACUACCCACACCAACUUUGAAUAACAUUUCACCUUAUCAAAAACUUUUUCAGCAAGUACCAGAUUAUGCCUCUCUUAGGGUCUUUGGUUGUGCUUGCUUUCCUUAUCUCAGACCUUAUAACAGACACAAGCUCAGUUUUAGAUCAAACAGAUGUGUUUUCAUUGGGUAUAGCUCUUCUCAUAAAGGGUAUCAGUGUCUUCAUUCAUCUGGUCGUGUGUAUGUGUCCAAUCAUGUCAUCUUUGAUGAACAAUCCUUUCCAUAUGUAUCUGGAUCAGACUUCUCUUCCAUUGCUCAGUCUUGCAGUCCCUUAGAUAUUUCUUCAGAGUCCAAAGUUACUCUUGUUCCAAUCCCACAAGUACAAUCCCCCCUGCAAGAAUCUCCAGCAAGUGAUUACCUACCUGCUGACACUCCACAGGUAUUCUCUCCAUCUUCAACCUCCUCUUCAUCAUCUACUUCAACAUCACAUACACAUCCUAUACAUCAUACACAAUCUCCUCCUCAUAUAUUACCUGCUGCACCACCUAUAGGUCAUCCCAUGAUAACCAGAUCCAAGGCUGGUAUCUUUAAGCCUAAAUCUUUUUUAGCUGCUUUACUAGCCAUACCUUCAGAACCUACUUCUGUUUCAGCUGCUUUAUCUGAUCCAAAAUGGUUUAAGGCAAUGCAAGAAGAAUUUCAAGCACUUCAGAACAAUCAUACAUGGGAUCUGGUCUUGCCAAGUGAACCAGUUAAGGUAGUUGGAAACAAAUGGAUAUUCAAGAUAAAAUAUCAUGCUGAUGGAACCAUUUCUAGAUACAAAGCCAGGUUAGUGGCUAAGGGGUUUCAUCAGACACAAGGAGUUGAUUACACAGAAACAUUCAGUCCAGUUGUUAAAGCAUCCACAGUCAGAGUUAUUUUAAGUUUAGCAGUUCUGAAUAAAUGGGAGCUCAGACAAGUGGAUGUGAAUAAUGCUUUUUUGAAUGGCAUAUUAGUUGAAGAUGUGUACAUGGGGCAGCCAGAGGGCUUCAUUGAUCCAUCUCGACCUCUUCAUGUCUGUAAGUUGAAAAAGGCUCUCUAUGGUUUAAAACAAGCCCCCAGGGCAUGGUUUGAGAGACUGAAAGAUGCUAUGGUUGUGAAAUGGGGUUUCCAAAAUUCAAGGUCAGACAACUCCCUUUUCUACAAGUGGAUAGGUGAUCAAGUAAUUUUUGUUCUUGUCUAUGUGGAUGAUAUAAUCAUAACAGGCUCAAGUGAUAAAAUGGUGCAGCAAGUGAUCACAAAUAUGCAAAAUGCUUUUGCUUUGAAGGAUCUGGGAAAAUUGAGUUAUUUUCUUGGGAUAGAAGUUACCAAAACAGCAUCUGGAAUUUAUCUAUCUCAAUCUAAAUACAUAGCUGAUAUUCUAACCAAACACAAUAUGGCUGACUGCAGUCCAGUUCCUACUCCCAUGGCCACUGGUCAUUAUCUUACAAAGGGGUCAGGAAGUGUUAUUUCAAAUAGUUCUCAAUAUAGAAGUGCAGUUGGAGCCUUACAGUAUGUGACUCUCACUAGGCCAGAAAUAGCUUUCUCUGUAAACAAACUUAGUCAGUUUUUAGCUUCACCAACAGCAGAGCACUGGGAGGCUUGUAAGAGGCUUCUUAGAUAUUUGAAAGGAACAAUUCAUUUUGGAUUACAUUUUUAUCAUUACGGCACUAUGCAGAUAAAUUGUUUUAGUGACUCAGAUUGGGCAUGUGAUAAGGAUGAUCGCAAAUCAGUGGCUGGUCAUGCUGUUUAUCUUGGUUCAAAUUUGGUUUCUUGGUCGUCUAAGAAACAGGCAGUAGUUUCCAGAUCAAGCACUGAAGCUGAAUAUAGAGCUUUGGCUCAAGCUACAGCUGAGGUUACUUGGAUUCAGUCCUUACUGAAAGAGCUACAUAUUCAUCUUGUCACAGCCCCCAUAAUGUGGUGUGAUAAUCAAAGUGCCAUAGCUUUAGCUCACAAUCCUGUUUAUCAUGCUAAAACUAAGCAUGUUGAGCUUGAUAUUCACUUCAUCAGAGACAAAGUAACAGCUAAGCAAAUUACAUUUCAGUUCAUUCCCAGUGAAGACCAAAAUGCCGAUGUUCUUACCAAGGCAUUAACUUUUAAUCAGUUUCACUAUCUAAGAAGCAAGCUGAAUGUCCAUCCAGGUCAGUUCAGCUUGAGGGAGGAUGUUACAGAGUAUGAUAAUAUGGUACAGCUGAGAGCAUCUGAUUAAAUGGAGCUGCUGAUGCUUACGUGUGUUGUUGAGUUAGUUAUCCAGCUCAGCAGCAAAGAUAACGAACUGGACUGCAUGCAUAUUAGAUUCAACAAACUGACAAGCUACGAGAUGCCUCUGAUCUUUUACUAUAAAUAACAAGUUGUAAUCAUCAGUCAAAUAAUAAGAAUAUGAUCAUUUUCAGAUCUGAUUCUUUAUGAUUUUCUUUCAUUUUCUUGUUAGUUUCUCUUAAACCAAACACUAUAUACAAACUCUUUCAUUAUGCAAUAAAAAAAUGCUCAUGGUACCCGUUUCACAUUGUGAAGCGCAUGAUCAGAUCAGAGCAGUCUGGAUUCUGGCAUCACAAGCGGAUGCUUUGACUUGCUUAGUUUGUUUUUUGUUUCUGAUAAUUUCUCGACAUUGGGUGGGAUAUUGUUUCUCUUUUGAGUUUCUCUUUUUAUUUUUUAUCUUAUGGAAUUUGGAGAUAGUGUAAAUGUAUGAAGAUGACGUAAUCAAGUUGUUUUGAUAAAUUCCCCUGGUCGGUUUACUUCACUAACCAUUAAUGCGCAAAACCUCCUAAUGACCCUCAAAAAUCCCGUACAUAAUUAAAGAAUUUCAAUUUUAUAUGUACAAAAAUAAAUAACUCUCAAAUAUAUUAUUUGAUAAUUCUCAAAACAACAAUUCGCUCUAAUAAAUCUCGUAGGAAAUACAUAGUCUAUAUUGUAAGUCUUUUCGAGACUAAUUCAAAGAGAAAAUACGAAGGAUAUAUAAUUGACCUUUAUCUGUCAUAAAGAACUCUAAAUAAAUUCAUAUACGCAUCGCAACUAAUUACAGUUUUGAUACUUCAUUUGGUUUUUGUUAAUUUUCUAUACGGUUGUGCUGUGCAUAAAAGUUUUGUUAAAUGAAAUCGGUGAGGGUUAAUUAAUCAAUUAAUUAAGAUCCAGUUAAUGUAAUUAAUUUUAUUUGAUUUUUUUAAUUCGAGUUCUAAAUUAAUCAAUUAAUUUAGAUUCAUGUGAAAUUGAAGUGAAUUAGUUUUGAUCUGUUUUUCGUCCUAUGUUUGUCUGUGUUUACUCUUACUUUUUUUUUGUUUAAAUUUUUGUUUUCUUAUUGUUUACUGAAUAAAUUUAUGAGCUUUAUUUGAGUAUGAUGAUUGAUUUGUGAUUCUAAUCUAAAUGUGUUGGGCUGCGAUUUAAUUGAGUGAUGUGUGAGCGCCAAAUAUUCAAUAACUGAUAAAUUAUAUUUAUAAAUAUUAAUAGCGAUGGCACAUAAACAAUUAAUUCAAGAACUUGCCCAUAGUGAUUAAUUUAAAGAGUAUAAGUAACAUUGCAGUACAGUUAGCCCUUACGUGUUUAAUUAGCAAUUGAAAACUACUGUUGCUGAUGAGGUAGAACAUUAUAACACUGUUGCUGAUGAGGCAGCUGGUAAUUCUUUUGGUGAAGAUAUUAAGACUAUUAAAGCUGAAAUGUAAUUAGAGAAAUAUAAUGAUUAAAGAGGUGAGCUUUGAUAACCAUCUCUUUAACUAUAUCACUUAAAUAACUAACUUUUUAAUAUUAAAGCUGAAAUUUAAUUUCCACUAUUUUUGAUAUUUGUUUGGCUAAUGCUUUGCUUAGAUUACUUUUUGUUUUUGAGAUUUUAUUGGCUUAGUCAUGGGAUAUUGUUUUCUCUUCUAAUUUCUAUCUUUAUUGUUAUGGGAUUUGAUUGUAGUGUUCAUAUACGAAAAUUAUGUAAUCAAGUGCUUUCAAUAAAUCAUGAUCGAAUUACUAUUAAUUAAUUAAAUUAAAUUUACUCAAAUUACUCAUGUACACGAUCAAAAUAAUUUUAAUUCUAUGAUAUAUAUACACGCGCGCACACACAAACAAAAUGUAAUUAAUUUUGAAAUACAAAAUAUUUAAAAUAAUCACCGUACUAACAAUUCACAAGUUAGAUUUUAUAUGAAUAGACAGAAAUAAUGUUAAUCUAGCAAAUCCAAUCAUAAUAAAUUGAUUUUUAUUUAUAUUAAUUAUGUCGAACCAUGCUAUUUUAAUAAAGAACACUCCGGUGUUUAUAUAUCCAACAGGUAAAAUUUCAAAACAAUAUUUGCCAAAGUCCGAUGAAAAGAAUAUACACGCACACACAUAUAUAAUCAUACAACAGAAGGAUAAAUAAAAAAAAAAAUGAAGUUUCAACAACUGAAUAAUGCAAACUCAUUUUUUUUAAACAAGCAUUUUAUUGUUUAAUUAAAAAAUUCGAAAACCCAUUAGCCUUAUAUACAUGAUAAAGACUCACCGACGCCGAACCAUAUUAAUUUAACUUAGUUUUCAACUGAAAUUUAAAUUUUGAAAUCACAUACACAAACACGCCCAAUUUGAAAAAAAAAAGUAGUAAUCAUAAAAUAUUUCAAUCGUCCAUUGUUCAGUCACCAAAAACCAAUUUACGAUCUAUUUCAACGCCUAAUUUGAAAAAAGAAAAUACUAAUAAUAAAAUAUUACAGUCGUCCAUCCUUUCACAAAUAAAAAAUAUCACCAUAAACAUCGGGUAUAUGGGCUAACAAGUCCCAAUAUUGUCCUCCAUCCUUUCUGCACUUCUCUUCUAUCAACGGACACUGAUUGAUACUUAAUUGCAAAAGUGAGGAAGGCAGGCCCUUCUCCGGAAAGUAUUUGAGCUUGGGACAAUUCUGGAGUCGCAAUGAAGUGAGGUUUUGAAGAUCAACAAUUGAAGAAGAUAGGCGUUCCAGAUUUGGAAAAUUGAAAAUCUCCAGAGAUGUUAGAGAGGGAGGAAGAGGAAGCGCGGUCCCUAAUCUUUUGUCCUCUAGUGGAAAUGACACCAUGUCGUCAUCGCAUCCUUCGAUACGUAGACGUCGCAGAGAGGAGAAUCUGUGAAAUCCCCGGCCCCGCUCAAUCAUUGACUUCCAAAUCUCCAUAUUACCCCGAAUAUCAAGUGAAUGAAGGUUGGUGGGAAGGCCAUCAUCUUCUUCAAGGCUUGGAAGCGCACCUCCUAUUCUUAAUUCUUGAAGAGAGGUCAGAUUGUGCAAUCCCUUGGGUAAGGCCUCUAGUCUCUUACAAUCAGUUAUCUCCAGCCUCGUGAGUUUCGCACAAGGCAAUCCCCCUUCGGGAAAGGACACCAGAUUUCCACACCUCAUUAUCCGUAUGUCUCGAAGCUGGCGGAGAUUAUGUAAACCACUCGGUAAACUUUUCAGAUUUUCACAAUCAGGAAUGUAGAUUGUUUCAAGAGAUGAGUUGUUGUCCAACAUUUCUGCUAUUGACUCCAGCUUUGAACAUCCCCGAACUAAAAGGGACUUAAGAGACGGAGGUAGAUUGCCAACUUCAAGGGACUCAAGCGUGGCAGGUAACUCGUUUUUUGAAAAUAUACAUGUCAGAGACGAACAACUCUCAAUGUGUAAGUGCUCAAGAAGAGAUGACGUGUACCUUCUGCUGCUUCUGCUGCUGCUACACUGGAUGCCCUCUUCCACUGUCAAAGUCCUUAUAUUAUGGCAACCGCAGAUCUUCAAAUUCUUAAGGCUCGAUGGUAGCCUGACAGCAGCAAUAUAUGUCAACGAACAACAAUAGUGAAUAUUCAAGAUCUCGAGAGACGAAUUGGUGUCGCACAUCCAUGCCUCUGGUAACGAUUUCAGUGCAUCACAUGCUCCAAUAUGAAUUUUCUUCAACUUGGAAGGCAGAGCAACCUCAGGAAAGGAAACAAGGGAACUGCACUUGUAGAUUGCUAUCUCUCUCAAGGAACUGAGGCUGAACGAUGAUUGUGGCAGCUUCACAAGGCUUUCGCAAUCACUCAAUUCUAGAUAUUCAAGUCUGCAUGACAAUUCGCAGAGCUGCUGUUGUUGGUCUUUCUUUUCCUCCGCCACCAAGGAUUGAAGUUUGGGACAGCUGUCAAUCGUCAGUCUUUUGAGAGAGCAAAUGUCUUGCAGUAAUUCGUUAUGACUCUUCCAUAUAUGUGUUUCAUUUUUAAUAUUUUUUAUCUCCAAUUCUUCCAGUUUUGGUAUUCGCAGCUUCAAUGGCCCUGCGAGAAACACUUGAUUUGAUGUAUCUCUACAAACCACUGAAUUCUGUGAGCCGAGAUGAUCAAUUGCACUUCUCCACACAACCUUUUUACAUCCAUCAAUCUCUAAUUUGCAAAGAGCUGGAAGACUCGUAACUGAAACUGACAAUUCUUCACAUCCUCGAAUAACAAGCAUCUCCAAUGCAGGAAGGCAUUCUGGCAAUGUUCCUUGCAGUUUAGAACAUCUUAAAAUGCUAAGCUCUCUCAAUUUAGGAAACCCUUCAACUCCCUGACCAGAUCUAAGAGGAAUCCAGUCUUCCCAUUCUCGCAGGUCUUCAAAAUGAAGAGUCUCCAAGCAUGGAAAAGGAAUCCGAGAAUCAUUCCCAUAGAACUCUGAACCCAAACUCUUUACUCUACUCAUUCCACCCACUUCAAGAUGCUUUAGAGAGGGUAGUUGCCCGACUGACGGCAGGGUAGUACACACGCCACAAUCUUCAAAUUUAAGUGUUACUAAAUUUGACAAUGAGGAAUCUCCUAACCAUGUUGGAAAUUUUGUACCUCCAUAGCCACAGACACAAAAUUGUUCCAGAUUUUCAUGGGGUUUGAGCAUGUCAAGCACGCCCAUUUCAGUUUCUGCCUCCCUUGAAGAUGAACCAUCGGUGCUGCAAGUCCAAUUAAGCGAUAAUUCUCUAAGAUUCUCCUUUACAUCCAACCGAGCCUCCUUUGCAUCACCAAUGUCUUUUACAUUCCCUAAAUUUGAAAUUUUAAGUGUCCCCUGAAGAUGUAUCAAUGACUUUAGCUCUCGUAACCCAGAACCAUUGUCUUUUCCCACAGCAAAAUUACUCAAAGUCUGAAGACAAGUCAGCUUACCAAUUCCUACUGGCAUUUCCUCCAACGAAUCUGUAUUUGAAUUAUUGAGAUGAUGCAAUUUGAUGAGGUUUCCCAUGGCUGCACACAACUUCUUCAGUCGCCGACAGUCUUCCAACAGAAGGGUGUGCAAAUUGUAAAGCUUGCUGACUGAUUCAGGCAGAGUUUUAAUCUCAGUUCCAGACAGGUUAAGGUGCCUUAAAUACCUCAAAUCACCAACUGAAUCCGGCAGCUCGGAGAUGUGAUAUCCACGCAAAGAGAAGACCCUCAACCGUUGGAGUUUGAACAACUUAGGAAGAAUGCUACGAGCCAAGUAUCCACGCGAACUCUUUGUCAACAUUACUGGUAAAAAAGUUCGCAAAUGUUGGAUAUCGUACAAGCCCUCAAACCUUUGAACGCCAUCACAAAAUCCGCGAAUGUAUGACAGGUGACGAAUAUUUUUGGAAAAACUUUGUUGCUUGUUAACCUCUGAGGUAUACUCCAUUGUGAAGUAUAUCUCCCCCGCAGCCCAUUGAGCAAGGUCGUUGACAAGGUCGUGCAUCACAAAUCGUGAUUUAUUGUUGCUUGAUUGCUGGAAAAAAGAUCUUGAACGUAGCUCUUGAAAGAACUUUCGACCUAGAUCUUCAAUAGGAUUCCCACUCUCUUUGUGAUCCAAGAAACCCGAAGCACACCAUAAUAAAAUUAUCUCCUCCUCUUCAAAUUCAUAAUCCUUUGGAAACAAUGAGCAGUAUUCAAAGCAUUGUUUCAAAGGUGCCGCAAGAUAAUAGUAGCUCACUCUAAGCGCCGGUAUAAUGUCACAUCUCUCUUCGGGUAAAUCCCAUAUCUUGCAACUGAGCACACCUUCCCAAUCACUCCGGUCAAGUUUACCACGUAAGAGACCACCAAGAGUUUUCGCAGCUAAGGGCAAGCCGUUGCAUUUGAUCACUAUCUUCUUGCCAAUUUCCUCCAAUGACUUGUUUGAACUGAAAUCUCUUGUCCCCAAAGAGUGUUGAGCGAACACAGACAGACAAUCAUCAUUUGACAGCUUUUUCAAUUGAUAAGCCGGAGCAGUCCCCAUGAUGGCUGCAACCCCUUGAUUACGAGCUGUGACAAUAAUCUUACUUCCCGGUGCGCCAGCUUCAAAUGGAGGUCUGAGUCGAUCCCAAUCAUUGUAAUUCUCAUUCCAAACGUCAUCUAAAACAAGCAAAAAUUUCUUUUGAGAUAACUUCUUCUUCAGCUCCUCUUGAAGCUUAUUCAAGUCGUGAUUAUCCACAUUCUGGUCACUAGCAAUUGAAAGUAGGAUUGAUUUUGUAAGCCUGAUAACAUCAAAAUCAUCAGAGACGCAAGUCCAUGCCUUGAGAUCAAAAUGAUCCUGCACUUGCUUAUCAUUGUAGACAAGCUGAGCGAGAGUGGUUUUGCCCAGCCCGCCCAUACCAAUGAUAGGAAUAACAGAGAAUUCACCAUCAUUUCUCAAAUCAUCCCUCAACAACAAUUCAACAAUUUCCUUCUUUUCUGUUUCCCUCCCAUAUACCUUGGCUUCAUUCACCAAAGAGGUUGUGGGUAGUCUUUGCCUAUCUUUUUUGGACCUCCCAACUGAACUUACGUUCAAACCCAGCGAGUCUUUCUGUGUUACAAUAUCUUGAAAUCUGUCGUUGAUCUCUUUGAUUUUGGACAUUAUGGCGUAAUCGAACUGAAUCGAUUGUGGAGUAAAAGUGGUGCAGCAGGUAGGAAUGAGCUUCCGAAACUUACUUGUUCUUGUACGACUGCUACUGGGUUGAUCAAGAGCAGCAGCUGGAUCUCGAUUUCCAAGCAGCAACUUCCUCCGGAAAGCCUCAGUUUGAAACUCAUCCAGCAAGUCUUCAACAUCAAAAGCCAAGUUCUGAAGCUCGCCAAGCCACAACUUCACAGACUGAUCAGUCUUCUUCUCCUCAGCAUCAGCAAGCACCGCCUUGAUCAUCACCAACAUAUUCUUCCACUUCUUUAGGUCGGCUUGGAUUUGCUCUUGGCGUGCAAACAGCCGAAUACCCUCUGAAGCUAACUUAUUGACCAGCAAAUCAACGGACGCCGUAAGGAUUGCCUCUCCGAUGAAUGACAUUUUUUUUCUUUUUCUUUUUUUUUUUGGUUUUGCAAAGAAAGAAAGGAGCAGAAUUAUGGGUUAUGGAAAGCAGAAUGAGAAAAUGGAACAGGUGAGAAAAUGGAUAAUUAAUCAGAACGAGUUUGUGAUUGUGAAGGGUCUGGCCCAGCAAGCUUAGUAGAAAUCACGCGUUUAUACUUUAUUGACCAAUGACUAAUAAUUUGGCAAUUCACUCAUCACCAUUCACCGCCACUUGGUAAGCAAAAUGAAAAUGCUUGGUAAUUAAGUGUGGUCAAGCAAAAUACGACGUAAAAUGUGUCAAGGGUCUCCCCACUUGUUGUUCCUUGCAGCUUAGAAAAGAAAAACAGAGCCCACCACCCAUUAAUAAUUUAGCAAUUCACCAAUCAUCACCACUUGUUACGAAACCAUCUCAUAAACCAAGUUCGUAGGUCGAGCGGUUAAUCCAGUGUCUAUUUCCUAGAACCUUCAUCUCAUAAACCAAGUUCAAUCAAAACGUUCCUCUCUCUAUUUUUUUUUUUUUAAAAAACUCCUAAAACGUUUCUUUUUAGAAAUAUUUUACUUUAUUCAACUAAUAUGAUAUCUAACAAAUAGACACAAUUGAAUCACUCUAAAGUGAAGAUGAAAGGGGAAAAAAAUAACCUUCCAACUACCAGUAAUUUAGCAAGCUUCACUUUAUUCCACCAAAGUGUAAAUAAAGCCAGCCCCCACCACCAUCAAUAAUUUUGCAAGCUUCACACGCUUGUUGUCUUCUCCUUGACGAACUGGACAUGAGUGGACCAAGAACCAAUGACAGAAUUUUAAAAAUAAUAAUAAGAGAAAAACCUACACAUUUUCGACUUAGAGUAGAACCAUAAUUAAUGCUAAAAUCUACUCAGCUAACAUUUUCAAAAUAUUGUUCUUUAUGAUUUUCAAAACCUUGAUUAAGGUUCAUCUCAAAUGUUUGAAGAGAGUCUAUCAAUUCUUCUAUGCUAAAAAUAUCAAAAUUCUUACUUUUUCUUCAAACAUUGAAUAAUAAAAAAAAAAGUUGAAUAUGGAGGAAAGUAGAAUGCAUCCAUCUUCGCUGUAGAAGUCUUCUACUUAUUAAAGCAAGUUAGAAUAAAAGAUUUUAAUCUCUCUUUUUAUUCCUGUAAGUGCACUACAUUUUUUUUUAAUCUCAAUGCGAAGUCGUAUCAUAAUGUUAUAUUCCUAUUGUAAAACAAAAUUUUAGAUAAAACAAAUUCGACUCAUUUUUUAAAGGUAUAUAUUUAGUAGGUUACUAACAAAACUAACAAAACGUGAUUAUUACACUAAAUGAAAUAAAAGACAGUACUAUCACCAAUAAUUUAGCAAGUUUCGCAUGCAUGUGUUUCUAAAAACAUUAUAUGGAAUCAAACAACAGUGAUACAAAGAGAAAAGUGGAAAUCCUCUGAUUGUAUUUUUCUUUUUCUUUUUCAAAAGAAAUGGUGGGGUUGGUUUGUUUGCAAAGUUAUUAGCGUGGGUCUAUUUGUUUUUGUUUUAACUUUAUUAAUCAAUAAGCAAACGUGUAAUGAUUUGUAUAUAUCACUAGCAUCACAUUAUUGGGAGGUAUUGCGCUUAGUAUUCACAAUUUUUAUAAGAUGAAUUUGUAAGACUAAUUAAUUUUGAUGAAAAUGUAUUGUUACUAAGAUAUUAUUUAAUUCAUUAAGUUAACUUGAGGUAUUAAUAUUCACUAAUUGUGGUGCUGAUUAAUUUACUUAACUUGUCACCAUUUGCAAUUAAGAAUGAAGUUCAAUCAAUUUAUUGAGAAAAAAAAAUAAAGAUACCUUUUUUUCUUUAGAUUUUAAUUCUUAGGAUUUGAUUUCACGCUCUUUUAUUUUUUUACGUUGCUAAAGAGGCAGUAAAAAACUUGCUGAAUGUCAUCAAAUACUUUUAUCUCAUCUCACAAAUUGGUAAUAUUUGUUUGGUAUUUCAUCUCAACAGACGCAGUAAGGAUUACCUCUCCAAUGACUGACAUUUUUUUUUUUUUUUGGGGCAAAGAAAGAAACAGAAUUUUGAGUUUCGAAAAGCAAACUAAGAAAAUUGAGCAGCAAGUGUGAAGGGCAAGCAAAAUGCAUGUAGCAAGUCUUCCACUUGUUGUUUAUUCCAGUAAAGUGAAAAUAAAAACAGAGCCCACCACCCAUUAAUAAUUGAGCAAUUCACCAAUCACCAGUCACCACCACCCGUUACCGUAGGAUAAAAUUUUAUUUAAUUUAUUUUUUCACUGUAUUUUAUCUUAAAAAAUUAUUUACAGUAUGAUAAAAUUUUAUUUAAUUUAUUUUUUCAUUGUAUUGUAUCUUAAUUAAUUAAGUUGUUAUAUUUAUUGCAAAAAAUUUAUUUUGGCUUAGAGGAUUACUUCUUAAAUUCAGAUUAUUUUAAUGAUAAUAAAAGAUAUUUAUUUUGUGGAAGCAAAAUAAAUUGAAGAGAGAAAGAAAAUAUAAAUGACUUAACUCUAUUUAUAUUUGUCCUUAAAUAUAAUUGUAGUAUAAUAGGGGUUUUAUAAGAUUAAUGAAGGGGUGCCAAUAGUCCUACUCUUAUAGAAAAUGGCAAUAAAAAUAGUGGAAAUUUAGUGUAAUAAAAAGGAUAAACCAUAAGAAAUUAAUGUUUACAUCAAGAUACGUUAUAAAUAUUGUUUUUCUUAAGAUGUUAUUUGCCUCCACCAAUCGAAUAAUACACAUGAAUUAAACAAAUAUGACUCCAUGAUACAAUAAAGCGCUUAUUUAUUUGUUUAAGUUAUAUGUCGACGAAGCAAAUUUGAAUACUUUUGAAUGUUGUAAGCAUGUCAAGAAUCAAUAUAUUAUUUCUACAAAAAGAAACAAUAUAUUAGAUAUUUAAAGCAUAAAAAAUAGAUGUUAAUUGAUUAAAUUUGAUUUAGGAAAGAAGGCUACGAAAAGAGUGGUGUAAGGUCAUUUUAUUCAUGUCUACAUAGCCCUAUUAUUUGGGUUGUCAUUUUUUUAUAAUACUCCUUCAUGGCCAUUAGAUCAAACACUCAAAUCCCUACUAUAGCUAAUUAGCUUAUUGACCAGUAACUUACAGGAUGCCAUAAGGAUUACAUCUAUGAUGAUUGACCUUUUUUUUUUUUGGGUGGGGGUAGGGGGGAAGAAACCGAAUUAUGAGUUUAUGGAAAUUAGAGCAAAUAAGAAAGUGAAUUACAACAGAAUGAGUUUGUGAUUGUGAUAGGUCGAACAAGUCUAGAAAUCAAUUAGGCAAAAACCACCACGAAAGUUAAAAAGGAAAAAUAGCGCCCACCACAAAUAUAAAAUUGGAGGAGCUUAGGAUCAUGCCUUUGCUUUACAAAUUAAAUUAAAUAAAAGCCAAACCAAGAACCUUGCUUUUGCUUAACAUGAUUAAUUAGGCACUAUUUCAGAAAGAACACAAAAAUAAUAAACCCUUUUAUUGAUCUUAAAUGUCAAGAAUAAAGUAACAUUUUCUCCUCUUACCGUUUCUUCAGGUUCAUUUCAAAAGUUUGAAGAGAGUUUAUCCAUUCUUCUAAACUAAGAAAAAGAAAAUCAACAUUAUUGCUUUCUUCUAUUCUUGCUUUCUUCAGAUGUUGAAUAAAAAAAAAUAUAUUGUUAAAUAUGUAGGAAAAAAACAAACAAAGUGAGUUAAACAAAUAAAACCUAGGUAAAUUAACUGACGCAACACUGGAAAUCACAACUGAAAAUAUAGGAGGGAAAAGAAAAAUCGAAACAGAAAAUGAAACCCGAGGCCUGCACAGGACAAUUUCCUUAAAACAAAUUUACCACCUACUGAAGUGCUUUAGGUCUGCUGGUAACUGUUUCUCAGGAUACAACGAGCACGAAUUUUCGGUCAAUCACAUACAGGUAAUGUCGGCGAACUACAACAGUGGCAAACUCAAUAAGAAAAAACAAAUGAAAGAAGGAGGAAAGGAAAAUUUUCAAGUGCUCUGUGUGCUGGUUUCAGUGUGUAUAAAAAACAGAAGAGGAUGUGCUUUUUUAUACUCAUGUGAGGAUAUAACAGCAGCAUUGUAUUGAAUUUCGGAAUUCAAUAUAUGCCAUUAAAUAGUUAUAACAGCCAAUUCAAUUCCAUCAACUGAUUUCAAAAUUGAAUUCAAAACCAGUUAAAAAAUAAUUGUUGUGAAGUUGUUACAACAAAAAAUUCAAAGGAAAUUAAAAAUGUGCUAUGCAAGCUUGGAUGAUUUUGGACUGACAUUCGCGUACGCAGGACGCACACGAGUUUAACCAAAUCGGUCUUGGAUUUGCACCCCCUACGCACGCGCGUGUAGAGAGAGUCUCUAUCCUUAUAAUUAUUACUCAUGCAUGGUUAAAUGUUUAUAUAUAAACACUAAUCCUUGGGCUUCUUUUUCUCAUGUGGGAAAAGUUUCAUUUGCUUUCAAAUUUCCAACUUCAAUAGUGAACUUUGAGAGACAAUUUCUCAUUCACCCAAGCACUAUUUUGAGAAAAUAAAAUUAUAUUUUUGAAGUAUUAACAUAAUAGAAUCCAAACCUCACAAGAUUUCUCACUUUCGCUAAGUGAGACCCACUCAAAAUGUGCCCUCAAAAUAUCAUAUAGACAUGCUAUUUUUUCAACAAAAUAAGGAGGAAAUUAGAAUGUAUCUACCUUUGCUAACCUAAAAUAAAAGAAAUUAAUCUCUCUUUUAUUACUAAAGUACACUAUUUUUUUAAUAAUUGUAUUGACAAUGACAACAUGUAUCAUCGAUUAUAUUCUUGUUGUGUUGAAAUAAGAUAUAAAAAAUCUUGGAUCAAGAGGAAUUCGACUCAUUUGUUAAAGGUACAUAUUUUAUAUACUAAAAACAAAAAUUAACAUAACACGAUUAUUACACUAAAGUGAAAUGAAAGCCAGUACCCACCAGUUCACCAACAGUAAUUUAGCAAACUUUGCAUUCUCGUGUUUGAGGAAAUGGACAUUGGUGAAUUAACCAAAGGACCAAUGAAAGAAUUGUAAAUAACAAAAUGGAGAUUACACUUUUUUUCCAUAUAAUUGUUCAGGCAAUGAAACUAAUUUUGAGACAUUUUCAAAUAAACUUAUUUUCAAAAGCAAUACAAAAUGAUUUCGUUUUAUUUUGAAACAUUUCAUGGAAUCAAGUAGUAGUAAAAUAAAUAGAAAAGUGGUAAUUCCCUCAUUUUAUUAUUUUCUUUUUUAAAAGGAGAUGAUGGGGUUGGGUUGUUCACAAAAUUAUUGGUGCGGGGUCUGUUUGUUUUUGUUUUAACUUUAUUAAUUAAUUAGCGAAGCAAACAUGUAAUGAUUUGUAAAAGGAUUACUAGCAUCAGAUUAUUGGGAGGCAUUAUGGAGAAGUCACGCUUAGUAUUUACAAUUCAUGUAAGAUAAAUUUGUAGAUUUAUUAAGUUACUUGAGAUAUAUUUAUUAAUUGUGGAGAUUAAUUUAUUUAACUUGUCAUGAUUUUCAAUUAAGAAUGAAGUUCAGUCAAUUUAUGGAAAGAAGGAUAAUUUUGUUUUCAGAUUUUUAAUUCUUAGGAUUUGAUUUCACUUUGUUUCGAUUGUCGAUGUUGCUGAAGAGGCAGUGAAAGUUUGCUGAAUGCCAUCAAAUGCUUGCAUCUUAUCUCACAAAAUGUCAAUAUCAGUCUGUUUCCCUAUAGGCGCAACCAUCACGAAUUUAAAGUAACAACAUGAUGAGCAUAUAACAUAUACAUAUUUUACCAUUAAUUAUAUAAUUGUUAGUUAUUUUUAUUUAUUAUUUUUAAUUAAUUAAAUUAUUUUAUUAAAUAAGAAAUUAAUUGGAGAUUAUGGAUAAAAAGGACAUGAAAAAGUUUAAUUUGGGAAGCAAUAAAAAUUAAAUUGAAAGACAAAAAUACAGACAAGGAUUAAUAGAAUCCGUGCCGAAAAAAUCAAAGCACAAUGUUUUUCUUAAUGUCAUUAUUUAGGCAAGUGUUUUGAUGCACUGGAAGUUUAAGAGAAUAAAAUCUGAAGAAUUUAUUAAGAGAAUCAAAUAGAAAGUUUUGAUGCAGCGAAAAAAAUCUGAAGUUUGAAUUUUGCUCAUAUAGAUAGUAAGAGAAUCAAAUUAUUGUUAAAUUAAAUUAAUGAAAAAAAUUAUCUGAUAUCUAAAACAGCAUAUCAACAAAAUUGAAUUAAAAGAAAAUUGAAGAGAAAAACCAUUGAGAAAUUUCGAUAACUUCACUUAUUAAAACUUGGUUAUUUCAUUUUCAUUGAUAAUCAUUUUGACACCGGUCAAAUUUAAAAGUUUAAAUAAUGGGGGCGAUAUUUCUUUCCAGCUAUGCCCAUCGACUAAUUAAAAUACUGCCGAAACAAUUCAGGGAUAGUAUAGUAAUUUCAUUUAACAGUUUUCGUGCUUCAAAUCAUCAAAUCAAACUCACGGUUUCCGACUUGUAAUGGGUGCAACUCAUGUUUUUCAAACAUUAAUGUGUUUCAAACAUUAAGAUCUUUAGCCAUUCUGUUACUAUCCCGUGGUUAUUUAAGUUACAAGAGACAGUAAAAAAUAUCAUCAUAUUUUAACGUCCCUCGAAUAUUUGAAGAAGUUAAAAUUUAGGCGGUUUUAUAUAAGAUGUAAUAUAAAUUGAUAUCAGUAAUUAUAUGAUUGUAAAUAUCAUGAUCAAUAGUCUCUUAUAAAAAAAAAAAAAGAACAAGUGUCAUGAGCCCAUUUAGAUUAACUUAUAUUUGAGGGGGAAAUCUUUGUACACCAUGGUAUAUAUUAUAUAUAUAGACAUUGAUGAAUUCGCACAGUACAACUAAGUAUUUUUUUUUUUUGAAUACUGGUUACACACCAGAUUACUGGCAAUUGCUAUUAUAGCAGACAUUACACUGAUAUUUACAAUCAAAUAUACAUAAUUGAGACUUAUAUUAUUACAUUAAAUUCUAUGAAGUACAUUUCCAAACAAAUAACCCUUAUAGAGCAGAGAUGUCCUUGCUCCACUCGCAUUUCGCAGGGAGAAGAACUUAUAAAAAUUUAGCCCCCACAAUACUUUUGUGGAGGGUUGAACCGCUGCUCUCACGCUUGUGAGGGCAGCAGUCCAACCCGCAGACCAAGGGCCCAAUGGCGUACAACUAAGUAAUUGCAUGCGCCAUUUGUGCCAAUGUGUAUAUAAAUAUAUAUAUAUAUAUAUACACCCUGCUUGCAUUGCAUUAACUACGUCCCUAGUCACCCACGUCCGCUACUUGUAUGAAUGUGCAUAUAAAUAUACAUAUCCGCAGUGUUAGGAAUUUAGAUCUAUUAGAAAUAGAUAUAGGUAAUUAAAAAACCAAAAAUUAAGAACUUCAUUUUUUUUGGAAGUACUAUUCACGGUUACUGUUCACGACUACUGUUCAUCAUCAUAAAAAAUAUUAAUUUUCAAAAACAUAAUAAAAUGCAGAAAAUAAAUGACACAGAGAUUUUUACGUGGUUCGAAUUAACCAAUCAUACAUCCAUGAGGCCACGCCCAGAUGAAAAGCAAUUCAUUAAGUUGAGAUGUUACAACCUAUGGAUUUACCAAACUUAAGACUCUCAUUUACAGUUUAUCACCAUACAGUUUACUCAACCUUAGAAUGAAUCUGCUUCUCUUGAAUAAUCACUACCCCUCUUGAUCCGCGAUCUUCAAGGCACUUCGCAAAGUGAUCAAUAGCAAUUCUUCAAUUCUUCAAUGUCUAGUGAUACAAGAUACACAUAGACUCUCCAUAGAGAUUAACAGAAGAUGAGAAAAAAAAUCAACACAACAUGAUGCGCCAGAUCCGGAUUCUUUGGGGAGGAGGCCGAAUCUUACUUCUCUGCUUUAUGCUCUGCGUUAUAUGAUCUUCAAUUGUGAAAUACCUCUCUUUAUAUAGGCACUAGAGUUUUACCAAAAUAGCAAGUCUUAAAAGACUUGGAUUCUUUCCAAAUAAGAGUUGCAUUCCUCUUAUAAUUCCCAUGAAUCUGAAUAGGAAUAAAUCUAACCUUCUUACCUUGCUUGUCUCCUAAGAAAUAUUUAGAGCAUUUAAUGAACUCUCUGUUUGAACCAACUUCUUGCUCUAAAUAGAUCUCAUGCGCUAAAUAUAAAAUCUCACCAUUAAUUAACUUGCUAAAUUAAACAUCUAAUUAAAUUAAGAAACAAAUAUUCCUAAUACUAAAUUAGUGAAUUAAUAAAUUAAUCCAUAUUACAAUAUAUGCAAUAAAUAAAUUUUCAAUUUAACUAGACUUGCCAUAAAAUAUCAACUUUAUAAAUAUUGGACUUAACACGCAGCAUAUUAUCAAACCAGAAUCAGAAGCAACUUAAGUUUUGAUUACGGUUCACCGGAAGUCACAGCUAGCAAGUGAUCCUUGCAUCAUUUUACUAAAUAUACAAUGAAAUUAACCCCCGCAAUUUCGGCCUUUGCCAUAGUCGUUUUGUUUAUUAGGUUUAUGUUUAUCAACAUGAUUGUCAACCAUAAUCACAAUCAAGUUGUUAAUUAUUUUUAAAUAAUGUGAAGGAACAAGAUUUUGGUCUUUGAAUGUGGAGUUAGAAAUAUCUCACCUCAAUAUACGGUAUUGUGCUCUCAUCAUCUUAACAUUAUUUGUUAAAAAUUAUGUCAAAGAGGAAAGCAGAUUCAAACAUUACUUCAAUUUUCUUUAAGAGCAUCAAAAAAUCGUUAAUAGGCUACUGUUAUUUGAUAGUACGAUUUCACAAAAGGAAGCUGGAGGAAGAUGAAGCUUUCAAGUCAUGUGUGCAUCAAAGUAAGAAACAGAGCUAACGAGAGAUGGACAAGUAUUAACCACUGUUAUCAGAAAUUAAAUAUAUCAGCAUUUUGUUAUAUCAGCAGAGACGCGUGUACGUAUUGCUUGUGACAAAUCUCACCCAUGGAGAACUUUGUGGACGGCAUUUGAAUGUGUGGCCUCAUUUAAUGAACGAAACGAUAACUUUAAAAGAAAGUAUGUACUGUGUUAAUUAUUAGGCUUUAGCUUAAUGAUUGCAAUUAGUUUGUCUUGUAAUUAAAUUAUUGCCGACAAACACUAUCACGACCGACGUCCACUACUUGCGUGAAUGUGUGUAUAAAUAUCCACAGCAUAUUAUCAAACCUGAAGCGUGAUCAUCUUUAAGUUUUGGUUACGGUUUAUCAGACGUUAGAAAAUAUCUUUUCUAAUUUGAAGAAGAUGGAAACUCCUUAUCCAGGUUCUUAGGUCAUGUUCAGUUGAAUGUUAUUUAUAAUUUUUAUUUUAACAUUAUGUAUUUAUAAAUAUAAUUAUUAUUAUGAUUUUUUCAGGUAAGAAUGGAUGGUCUGAAAGUAACCCAAUAAUUAUGUACAAUAUUAUUAAUGAUGCGAGCGUGAAUAAAAAUUUGGAUUUUAUUCUCGUCCCUCAAUACGGAAGAAAUCUUGACCAUAGAGGCUAAGUGUUAUGUAACUCUUUCGUAUGUAUUAUGUUUAAUUAAUAAUAAAAUGAUGGGUUAUUAUUAUGUCAAUUAUGUGAGUGUCUUUGUUUGGUUUAGUUCAACUUAUAAAAUCUCUUGAGAUAUUUUCUUUAUUUAAUUUUGUGUACCGUGUCUUCUUGUAAAAAGAAAUUAAUAAAAAAAAUAUCAUUGUGUAUAAUGUAUUAACUAAGUUAGUGUAUUCAUGUUAGGUUAAUUGUGCUCUCUCUUCUUCAUAUUUUUUUUUUUUAAAAAAAAACUCCACAUAUUGUUGGUUAGCUAAUUCUUGCAGCUAGCAAGUGAUCAUUUUCUUUCCCCUACUGCCGUAGCAUCAAAUCCUUGCAAUUACAUAUCAAGUGGUAUUCGAGCCGUCAAAUGAUCCAUGGAAACAAGCAACAAAUCAAAUGGUGAAUUUUGCGAAGAGAUUCACGAAAUCCUUGCUAUACAUGAGUCUAGUUUUGACCCAGUUCACAUCACCCAUCAGCUGCGGGUUUGAAUGGUACCUAGUGGAUAUUUUGUGAGUCCCCACGUAUAAAAUCACACUUGCAACAAAACCUAAAAACUUAAAUUACGUAAUUCAAAUUAUAAAUUUAUAAUCAUAGCCUAAAAAACCACACAAAAUACUUAAUUCUAGAUUUUAUCAAUGUAAAUGAAAAAUGAAAGUUUUAAUAUUAAAAUAAACUCACAAAAUAUAUCAAUUUAACACAAAUUUUCAAAGUUAAUUACUAAAUACAUAAGUCUAUCGCAACUCAAAGUGCUUUCAAUUGAAAACGAAAAAAGAGAAAGAGAAUAAAAAAUAAAGAACUACAAAUCAAAGUAGCAGCCAUGUCUCAUUUUGCAGUCUCAUUCAAUACCACUAGCACCCAUCCAACACGAUUUUUCUAAACAAAGUAUCAAGUACAAAAUUACAAUAAGCAUAUCAUACUCCAUGCUUUAAGUUAAAGAUCCUUAUAUAUUUUUAUGAAUAAUUUUUUAAUGAAAUUUUAUGAUUAAAAUUAAAAAUACAAACAUUCAAAUAAGAAUGUCGGACACUUGCACAACUAUUUACCAAAUUUUUUCUCUAUAAAAAUCGACCUGCAACUUUCAAUAGGUUUAAAUUUUAUAAUACCAAACCUGAUUGCAGCUCGCAAAAAUUAUCCGUUGCGGCCAAGACUUUGGAUUUGCGAUGAUUUUGCCACCCUAAGUGUAGUUAGUAUUGUAUAUCAUGUGGCUCUUAUAAAAAGCUUAGAAGUUGUUUGAAUAACGGGGGAGACACAUAUCUCCCAAAGAUUUUCUCUUUUUCAAAUUAUUAUUUUUUCUCUAUUAUUGUAACUUCGAAUCCUUAUAAAUUACAGAUUGGAAACAUGAACACAAUGUUUUGACAUAGUAGACUUUUGGCUUGUCCAGAGAAAUUUAGGAUAGAUUUUUACGCACUAAGGUGGCGUUUGUUUUUUUGUCUGAAAUCUGAAUAGACUUGAAUUAGUCUGAAUUCUGAACAGGUCUGAAUGUUUGAAUCUGAAUAAUAUGUUUGUUUUUUCAUCUGAAUCUUGAAAAAUAAGUAUUAAGUUGUUUGUUUUUUUCAACUUAAAAAGCUAAAAAUAUGUACUUUUACAUUUGUAUCCUUAUUAAAUUUAAAUGUCAAAUAAAUAAUAUAUUAAAUACCACAAUAUUUUAACAUUUAUAAGUAAAACUAUAUUCAAGUGAAUACAUAAUUAUUUUAAAAUUUUAAUAUAUAAAAUACCAUAAAUUUCAAAUUUUAUCGUAUAUAAUAUAAGAAAGAAAAAACAGGGAUAUUUUUAUGUGGGGUAAAUAUCUAUGGGUGAGUUUUGGGAUAGACAUGAAAAAUAAAUUAUAAAACAGGGAUAUUUUUGACAUUAGCAAGUAAUUGACUUAAUUCAGAUUUCUCCAUUAAGUAAAAAGCUAAAAAAAAUUAGCUUAUUUUAUUAAGUCAAAAUUAUCUAAAAAGUCUCAUUAAGUUAUAAAAACAAACACCUCUAAUUAACUUAAUUAAUUAAGUUAAGUCACUUUAAGUCAUUAAGUUAAAAAACAAACGCCACCUAAGACUCUAUUUACUUUUGAGGUUUUAGAACUUUUAAGCAACACUAGAAAUUUGUAUUGUUUUGAUAGAGUUGUAGUCUUUGAUAUGUGAUUGGUAUUAAUCAAGUGUUAUGUUUACAAUAGUUAAAACACAUAUUGAAUCAAAAUCCACUUCUAAGGGCUUGAUUGAGUGAUUGUAAAGUAGGUUUUUAGUUUGCUAGCCACUCAAGUUCAAAUAUUGGAACCACAUCGCUUUAUAGCCAAGUGAGAGAACUUGUGCCCUAAAAAUUGAGGGGUGCAUAUCGAGUUUUACCACCAAUAAAAGUUGGUGUUAAAACUUUAAUUUCUCUCCUAUUGUGGAUAGGGGUAAUUAGGAGUUUACAUCCCCUCCUAUUAAUAGAUAGGGGUUAUUAGGAAUAUUAAAAAAAAGUUCAAAUAUUGAAAAUAUAGGUAUGUGUUAUAAAAUUCAUAAUAUAAAGACACAAAAUCAAGAUAAAUAUUUAAAAAUUUAGAACCAUAAGAGCGUGACUUGUAAGUUUCAAAAAAGUAUGUGCAAAUAUAUGCAUUAUUGAUACCCCAAUUAAGGGUGGGCAUUAAGAAAAAAAAUCCCAAAAAAUUAAAACUAACCCUAACUAAAAUAUUCGACGGCGGCCUCCUCGUUUUCUUUUCUUCUUCUUCCUCCUCUUGCUCACCCUCAAUGCCCAUUCAUGGAAAUCCAACAGCUCCAAACGCGUUUCAGCCGCUCGCACGUGUGAGAAAUUUUCCUUCUCAUAGGAUUAUUCGUUUCCUUCGCUUGCAUGCCAGCAGAAUAUUCAGGCCGAGGAUUUUUCCGGGCCUAGCCCAACUAUAAGCUCUCCCAAAACCCAAUCAUAAAGUUCAUAACGUUUAGCGUUUGCUUUUACUAUAAUUUUUUUUAACCAAUUUUCACAUUCAUCAACAUAGGCAGACAGAUUUUGUAGAAAAUAAAAUUAAAUAAAAAUACAAGAUCACGAAAAUUCCUUUUCCGAUGUGGGAAUCUAUCUACACCUUUCACGUACCUUUUUUUUUUUUUUUUGUGGUGGGGGAUUCACUUGCUUUUGUUUGCAUUGCCUUAUUGGAUAAAAGUUUGUAGAACAUCGUCUGUUUGGUUAAAGCCGAGCAUGAGUGAAGAAAAAUUAAAAAUAAACAAUUUUCCAUUAAUUUGCAACAAGUAUUAAUAAAGUGCAUGAGAAAAGACACCAGGAUAUGUCUUUUUUCAAAUGAAAAUAAAUGUGUUAAUUAGUCAAUUUAAAUGGUAUGACAUUUUGAAAUGACAGAAGUGAUCUAAAGUUUAAAUCUUACUCACAAUUACUUUAGGGUUGGGGAUUAAUUGACCUAAUAUAUAAUAACGAAUUCGAAAGACAAUUAAAAAUUAAAAGAAAAUAAAAAAGUACUUUCUUUUUUAUGAUGGUAAUUUGUUUAGAUGAUGAAAACUCUUAGAGUGGUAUUAUCAUUACAUAGUUUCGAGCGUUGCCAACGUGAAUAAUAUUUAAUUUCGUUUAUAUAGUUAUAUCUCAACUAACAUUUAAACAGAAGUAAGCUGUAAAAAAAAAAUGAACCAUUGAGAUUUGAGAGAACGAAAAACUAAAAAAAAAAGUUAAAAAAUUAGAUCUCAAUAAAUUUACUUGAGAACUACUUUACUUAUUAGUGACGAGAAAACACAAAGAAUAAUGAUGUAUCUCAAUUAAUAAGACAGUUUUUGUAUUUUUCAUUUAUUCAAGAAUCACGAAACUUCAUUGAAAUUUGUUAUUUCAUUGAUAAUAUAUUAAUAUUGAACAAUUAAUGUAGGAGACAUUCCUUUUCAAUUAUACCCAUAUAUUAAUUAAAGACUACCAAAAAGUUCAGGGAUACUAUAGUAAUUUAAGUUAACAAUUUCUGUGCUUGAAAUCAGCCGAUCAAACUCACUUUAAAAUAAACUGAGAAAUCAAAAUCACAUUCUCCGAUUCUACGAUUUCAAUUCAUCUUAUUUCUUCAACUGAAAAAUUGGUUAUAUUUCGUUUUAUUUUAUUUUUAUUUUUAUAUAAAGAUAAAUAUAAAAUAUUUUUUUGAUUACAUGAGACUAUUGCUCAAAUUACAACUCAUAUUACAUGAGAAUAUAACUGAUAUGUACAAAUCAGACUAUAAUUAGGACCAACAUACAUCAAAUCUAAUGGAGCGUUGCCCAAAUUUUAACCCUCUCAAAUAUUCGAGGGAUGUCUACUUCUCGCACUGAGACAAAAAAAUAGACUGCCUUCACUCAAUUUUAUUUAAGAAAAGAAAUACUCCCACAUACAUUGUGGGGGCUCGAACUGUUGCUCUCCAACUUGGAGAGCAGCAGCUCUCACCACUCGGCCAAAGGCCGAGUGGCUGAUUUAUAUUUUGGCCGAGUGGCUGAUAAAUAUAAAAUAUAAAUGAAGAGGAAACUGUUAAAGUAAAAUCAAAAGAAGGACACGAGUUUUAUUGAAAAUGACUCUUUUCAUCAUUUUACCGGAUUGAAUGUAUCUACAUAUAAACUAAAGAAGCACAUUUGUUUCCGACUCUACGCUUUAAAUUUAGCUUCAUUUCUUCAACUGAAGAAUCGGUCGUCUCUCAUUUUUUAUUUAUUAUAUAAAGAUAAAUAUCUAAAUUUAAAUGGCGAGAAGAGCGGACGAGGAAUACGAUUACUUGUUCAAAGUGGUAUCAAUCGGCGAUUCGGGAGUCGGCAAAUCGAACUUACUCUCCCGAUUUACUCGUAACGAGUUCUGUUUGGAGUCGAAAUCCACUAUUGGCGUCGAAUUCGCCACCCGCACUCUUCAAGUAACUAACUUUUCCUCUUUCACUUCUCUUCAUUUUUAUUAGUUAAUUAAGAUCCAGCUAAUGUAAUUAAUUUUAUUUAAUCUUUUAAAUAAAGUUCUAGAUUAGGCUAACUUAGAUUCAUGUGAAGUUGAAGUGAUUUACUUUCGAUCUCUUUUUCGUCCUAUGUUUAUUUGUACUUACUAUUACUUUUUUUUGGGUUUAAAUUUUCGUUUUUGAAGUGUUUACUGAAUAAAUUUCUGAGCUUUAUUUGUGUAUGCUGAUUGAUUUGUGAUUUUAAUUUUGUGACUUUUUUUUUGGAAUUUAAAUUUGAAUGCUUUUUAAGUUGAAUCUGAUUGUGUUGGGCUGCGAUUUAAUUAAGUCAUCUGUGAGCGCCAAGUUGUGAUAGCUAUAUAUUGGGGUGAAAAUUUGGGAUUUAAAGUUAUGUAUUUAAGAUGCAGUUAAUUCGCAAGUGAAAAUUAUGGGCCGGCAGAUUUUGUCAUUGGAAGACUGUUCUCCACAUGUUGAAGUUAGUGAUGCAAGUUGAAACCAAUCUGUUUAAGCUUGGGGUUUCAUGUCUUGAAUCAAGGCUGUGACUUGGGGUGGGUUGAAAGUAUUAUAGCUUUAGCUAUUCCUGAAGUGAUCUGUUUAGACUCACCGUGAUGAGACCGAGUGCUGUACAGUAAAAUGAAAGGAAGUUGGAAAAUAUUUACUUAGCAUUUCGCGUUACUAAUGUUGAACUAAUAAAACCUAGCCCCUAUCCUAGUGAAUUUAUGUUAAAAAGCUAUGCACGCAUUAAGUUAGUGCGAGAGUCUGCUGAAGCAUAUGCCAGCUGUGUGUUUGGAGCUGAGUAUUCUUCAUUCCACAUUUUGGGUUUUGGUUGACCUCCAGCAUGACUCAACCCACUUGAGUUAAAAGCCCUAGAGUUACAUUCUACCCAUGAUAUUUGAGUUUAUCAAGUCACCUUAUUUUAAUACUUCUCUGGAAAACAAAUAUAUAUGUUAAAUCAGGUAGGAAAAAUAAAAAGUUAAUUAUUGAGUUGUAAUGGUGCAACUAAGGUUUUGAAACAUUAAGAUCUUUAGCCAUUAUGUUACUAUCCCGUAGUUAUUUAAGUUACAAGAGAUAGUAAAAAAUAACAUCAUAUUUUAAUUACUUACACUAAUCCUACAAGUGCUGAUGGUCUAAAGUUGCUGCUGCUUGCACUGAAUCAGUGGUCAUGGGCCAGCCAAGGUUAGGUGAGGCCAACUCAUUAGCUUGUGAAACUUAAAGAAGUCUUAGGUUUGGAAAAGAUGGGGCACAGGUUACAAAAUUUUUUUUGAGUUUUGGAUUGAAGGAACAAAAUUGUUGAUGUCUAGUUCACAAUAUUUGAAGUCACUCUGUGCUUCAUCAUGUAAAAUGGAUUGAAUUGCUGUAUGAUCAGGUCAAAUUAAAAUGUUUAAACUCAUUUUUAAGAAACGAAUUCUCAAUUGGACCAGCCUUUCACAGAAGCUGAUAUCACAGAAGCUUUGAGUCAGAUGCAUCCAACCAAAGCCCCUGGCCCAGAUGGUCUCCCAGCAGUAUUUUUCCAAAAGCUUUAGAAUUCAGUAAGCGAAGGAGUUAUAGCCACUUGUCUGCAUAUCCUCAAUGAUGGAGGUAAUAUUGCUCCUUUGAAUCAUACAUACAUUGCUUUAAUCCCCAAGAUAGCAAAACCUAGGACUCUGAUGGAGUAUAGACCAAUCAGCAUAUGUAAUGUAAUUUAUAGGAUCAUUGCAAAGACUAUAGCGAAUAGGCUGAGGCUAAUCUUAGAUCAUGUUAUUUCGCCAACUCAGAGUGCUUUUAUGCCAAAUAGGCUCAUAACUGAUAAUAUAAUUAUUGGGCAUGAGUGUCUUCAUAAGUGGACAAAGCUAAGUUCCAGAGGUGAGAUAGGAAAUUCUCCCGCACGACACAGCAGAAACAAACUUUCCCUUUCAUUUUCUUUUCUCUUUCUCGCUCUCCAAACAGAGCAAAAGGACUGUCGCAAGAUUCUUCACUUCCAUCCAAAAUCAUGAGCAACGAAUGGUGAGCCUCCCUGUUUCCUUCCUUUUUUUGAUAUUAACCUUGUUAACAUAUACUCAUUUUAAUUUGACAAUACUUCAACUUUUUUUAAUUUUUUGCCUUUUCAUUUUUUUUGUUGAAGCAAUUAUCUGUUCAAGCUGUUGCUUAUCGGAGACUCGUCCGUCGGAAAGUCCUGCCUGCUGCUCCGAUUUGCUGUCUGUUGACUUUUCCUUUCCCUUCUUAUUUUCUUUUUUUAUAUUAAUUACUUUCUAUUUUAGCUUUUUGUUCUCUUAAUUUGUGUUAUUAAAAUGAUAAUUUAGAUAAUAAAUAAUUGUUAUUCUUGUAAAUUUCUGUUUUCAUUACGUUAAUUGUUAGCUUUUAGGUUUAUUAAUGUAAUUUUUUUUUUUCAAUUUUUCAGGAUGAUUCUUAUGUCACAGCUACAUCAGUACCAUUGGAGUUGAUUUUGUGAGUCUCUCUUCUAUAUAUAUGUAUAUAUGUGUAUAAGUUAUAAUAUGAGUCUAUGUACGUGUAUGUAUGUAUGUGUAUGCAUAUGUGGAAAGAAAUGUUGGCAGACUUCAGCAUUUUACUCUUUUCUUUUUUUGGCAGAAAAUAAGAACUGUGGAGCUGGAUGGGAAGACGAUCAAACUGCAGAUUGUGAGUCAAAAUUUCCUUUUAUCUUGUAUUGAGAGAAAUUCGAUUUGUCUUAUUUUCUUUGUUUGAAGAGUGAUAUGUUGAAAUGAGUGUAUUUGUCUUAUAAACAUCAUUUAGGUAAUGUCUUCUGUUUGAUUGUUUUUCAUCUGUUUAGUGGGACACUGCUGGACAGGAGCGAUUCAGGACUAUAACUAGCAGUUAUUACCAAGGAGCCCAUGGAAUCAUAGUAAGGAGCCUUCCCGGUUCUUGGUUUAAAUCAGAAAGUUUGUGAUUUACAUGUGACAUCUUAACAGCAUUGUAUGUGUUUAUUAACUUAUUUUUCAUCUUUCAUUAAGCAGUACACUUUCUAUUAAAUCUGUAUACAAGAUGAUGUAGUCCAAGAAUGGGAGCCAUAAUAUGAUGCAAAUUGUCUAAUAAAUUCUUAUGACAUAUGAUGUUGUCGGAAGUAAAAGUCUUGCAAUGCUGUAUUCUCUUUUAAGAAAGAAUAAGUGGUAAUUUUGUUUUUCCAAUUUUUUAAUUGAGCAACUGUAUGAGAUUAAUUAAAUGUGUUGGGAUUUCAACAGAUUGUUUAUGAUGUAACUGGGAUGGAGAGCUUCAAUAAUGUCAAGCAGUGGUUGAAUGAGAUUGACAGAUACGCAAAUGACAGUGUAUGCAAGCUUCUAGUUGGGAACAAAUGCGAUUUAGUUGUGAACAAGGUUGUGGACACACAGACAGCCAUGGUAUAUUCAUGACUUUUGUCGCCUGAACUUUGAAUAUAAUUUUAAACUCUUCUCAAGUGCAUUUGCUUGGUAAGUUUCUGCAUACCCAGGACACUCAAACUUUGGACAGUCUGUAUCUCGAGUUGGAAUCUUUUCUGUCAAUACGACUUGUUAAAAUAAGGGUUGUUAUCGUUUGAAUCAUUCAAGAAUUGCCAUAAAUCUAAAGUCCAUAAAAAAUAUGAUUCCAUCAUUUUACUAUUAUAUCUAGACAAAACCCAUUAUUUUACUACAUUUCAUUGGCACCGAUAGUUGACCUGUUGGCUGACUGAUAAAAUAUCAAUUUUGCACUUUAUAUUAAUUCUUUUUUGGUUAAAAAAUAACACACAAAGUAUUACAAUAUUAUAAAUUCAAAAUAUAAAGUAGUUACAAAUAAUUCCUAUUAGCCUAUGAAUAUAAUAUUUGAUACCUCUAUUUGUGUAAUUUUUUUCCAAUGGUGAAAUUGUUAUUUUUUUUGUACUAACGGAAAUAUAGUAAAAUCAUAAGUUUUGUAAAGAUAUAGUAGUAAAAUGAUAGACUAAAAUACUUCUUGUAGUUGUUUGAUAUAUUGUAAUUCUUAAAGUAGUCAAUUGAUAAUAUCCCCUAAAAUAAAUGUUCGUAAUAUGUUCUCAUUUUAAUGCAACUGAUUGUUUAAUAAAAUUGUAUUUCUUUGUUAAUCUUUUAUCAUGUGCAUGCUCAGUGAGAAUUUGACUUGCUAGAACACAAGUUUGACUCUUCAUUUAAAUGUCUCUUGUAUCAUAUCCUUCAAUGUUGAGUGUGAUUCCAAUAAAAUUGAGUAGGGAGAUCCUUAAAUACCUUUUCCUUUUUUCCAAGGGCCUGCCAAAUUGCUCUAAGUGGUUCUACCCUUUAUCAAUGAAUAAUGAAAAUAAAAUUUUUAUUAAAGCAUUCUGUUCCUUAAAUGGUGACUAAUAGUACCCCCUUUUUUUUUGGAGAGGAAAGCCAAACGCCCAAAGAGGAUCAUUUACUUUCCUCUAAUGUAUUUUCUAAUUCGUUUUGAGCCUUGAAUGUCUGUUUUGGUGCGUAUUCUCAUUCCAUGUCGAAUCUUAUCCAUAUGGACAACCCCACUUACAAAAAAGUCUAAUGAAUCUAUUGAAGUUCAUAUGAGGUUUGUGCUUUAGAUUUAGACCUCUCUCUCUCUCUCUCUCCACUUACAUGUCUUUCACUUACCUGUUUGCAUGCAUGCCCAUGCACACACUUUCAAGAUAAUACACGGUCACUCGUACUUGUGUUUUGGUUGAAUUACUGGCUGCUAACCUCUGUAAUUCAGUUUGAAACUUGCCACCCUUAGUGCUUCACUCAAAUGGUUGGUUAGGGUGAGAUCUGUAUCGUUUUCCUGGUCUCUUUCCAAGGUUAUCUAAAGGGAUUUGGCAGUCUGAUUCUUUAGGGAAUAUCAUUGCAUAAGAUAUCUAUUGUUUGUUAAUGAAUAAUUUCUAUUUAACUAGUUAUCUAUAUAAAUUGGUAAAUUUUAACUGCAUAAUUUGCAUGCAAUAAGAUUUUAUAAGAAUCUUGUUUUCAACUCAUGACUUAGACUAAUGUGAUACGUUGAGCAUUAAGCUACAAGAUCUGCACAUCAAAGUGCUUCACCAUGUUAAGGAGAAAGCAUCGUUUUCUGCUUCUUCAUGUGAUUUAAAGUUUCCAAGGUACUUAUCCAAUAAAAUGUCUUUCAAGACUUUGGAAAUGCUUUUAUGUAUGACUGAGAGAAACUUGUUGGGUUGGUUUUUAGCAACAGACGGAGUUAUGGACUUUGUGUUGACUUGUUAUUGAUUAAGACAGUACAUCGGCUGAUCUAUUGGCAUCAAGCAGCAGAUGCAGAAAUUAUGGGUGGCAUACCAUUGUAUCCAAAUAACAUACUACAUUGAUUUUUCUGACUUUCUGUUGGUCUCCGAGUGAAAUGCAGGCAUUUGCAGAUGAACUGGGGAUUCCUUUCCUGGAGACGAGUGCCAAAGAUGCAAUCAAUGUGGAGCAGGCUUUCUUGACCAUGGCCGGCGAGAUUAAGAAAAAGUAAAAUCACUUAACUCUUUCCUUCUUUCCGACUGUUCUUAUUCAACAAUCACCAUUAUUGCUGGUUAUGUGCAUUGUGAUGAAAAUUCUGCAAUGAAUAACUUUUUACCUAAUGUUUUCUGUUGGAACAAAUUACUCUGGUAGAAAAGCCCUACAGGGUUUGAGAAAUCCCAUGAUGUGAUGAUUGUGAGCAUUUUAGACACCGUGUAUGGGUUUAUUUUGUGACUAUAAAAUGUUAAGAUAUUUCUAGUUUUGGUUUGUAGUGCAUAAAAGGAUUCAAAAUUUGACAUCUGUCUAAAUCAGAUUACUAACAUGACAAUGUACAUAUGCAAGAUGUGAGGAAUUGUUUUAUCUCACCCCUAAACUUUAAGAAAUUGAAACAUUAUUAUUCAAAAUAUUUAACAUUUCCAGAAUUGAUAGUUGUCUAUUUGAGCAGUGACUGGUGGUUAUCAUGAACUGAUGUGUGGUUGUGGUUUCAAAUCUUGGUGAAACCUGUUGUCAUAUGCUGAUUAACAUAGCUAGUCUCUGAAACAAUUUGUUGAUUCACUAAUUAUGAGUUCAAAUUUGAUGCAGAAUGGGCAACCAGCCUACUGCAAACAAAUCUUCUGGAACAGUUCAGAUGAAGGGAUAGCCAAUCCAGCAAAACAGCAACCGCUGUGGUUAGCCGAGCAUCUUAUUUUACUUCUACAUGUUAGCUGACUGAUUGUAGACAGUUUUAACUAUGUUGACUGCAUUAUCUUAUGAAUCUUUUAAUCUGUCAAAUAUUUAUUUCCUGCUUUAAGUUCUUUCCCGUUUAUAACAAAUUUGAUUUCUUGCUCUAUAGCAUUCCAAAUUCCUGUUAAUUUACGAGGGAAAAAGAAAAGAGACGAAAUGGGAGAAAAUGGUCAAAUUUGUUAGGGGGGGAGAGCUGUUGAAGUAGUUUUUGUUCUCGUUUAUCAUCGUGACCCUCUUGUCGCUUAUCUACGACCUGGAAGUCCGGUCAUAUCGGAUGGGUAAAGUUACCGAAACGGCAUCAUUUUGGGUGAAAUAUCAUGUUUAUGUAACACUUUUGAUAAUAUUUUUAUGCAACAAAAAAAUGUUUGCAGUACCCUUCUCACAUUGUGAAGCGCAUGAUCGGAUGAGAGCAGUCUGGAUUCUGGCAUCACAAGCUAAUGCUUUGAUUUGCUUAGUUUGUUUUUUGUUUCUGAUAUUUUCUCGGCAUAGUGUAAAUGUAUGAAGAUGAAAUUGCUGGGUUGGUUUUGUUAUGGAAUUUGGUUUAGUUCACUAACCAUUAAUGCGCAAAACCUCCUAAGACCCUAAAAAAUCCCGUACAUAAUUAAAGAAUUUCAAUUUUAUAUGUACAUAAAUAAAUAACUCUCAAAUAUAUUAUUUGAUAAUCCCAAAAACAACAACUCACUCUAAUAAAUCUCGUAGUCAAUACAUGGUCUAUAUUGCAAGUGUUUUCGAGACUAAUUCAAAAAGAAAAUACGAAGGAUAUAUAAUUGACUUUUACUUGUUAUAAAGAACUCUAAAUAAAUUUAUAUACGCAUCACAGCUAAUUACAGUCUUGGUACUUCAUUAGGUUUUUGUUAAUUUUCUAUACAGUUGUGUUGUGCAUUAAAGCUUUGUUAAAUGAAAUCGGUAGUGAGAAUUAAUUAAUUAAUUAAUUAAUUAAGAUCCAGUUAAUGUAAUUAAUUUUAUUUGAUUUUUUUAAUUCGAGUUCUAAAUUAAUCAAUUAAUUUAGAUUCAUGUGAAAUUGAAGUGAAUUAGUUUCGAACUGUUUUUCAUUCUAUGUUUGUCUGUGUUUACUCUUACUGUUUUUUUUGUUUAAACUUUUGUUUUCUUAUUGUUUACUGAAUAAAUUUCUGAGCUUUGUUUGAGUAUGAUGAUUGAUUUGUGAUUUUAAUCUAAUGUGUUGGGCUGCGAUUUAAUUGAGUGAUGUGUGAGCGCCAAAUUGUGAGCGCCAAGUAGUAAUUAUAAAAUAUUUCAGUCGUCCACUGUUCAGUCACCAAAAACCAAUUUCUAAUCUAUUUCAAAACAAUUUUUGCCAAAGUCCUCCUGGGCUAAUUAAUUCAUACAUUAAUACAGUCCUCCUCUGCUGAAUAAUGCAAACCCGUUACGUUAUUCUACCAUUUCUUAAAUUUAAAGCAUUCCACCAUUUAAUAAAAAAAUUCGAAAACCCAUUAUAUACAAUACAAAAAGCCCACCGACACCAAACCAUAUUAAUUUAAAAUAGUUUUCAAUUGAGAUUUGAAUUUUAAAAUUACAUACACAAACACACCCGAUUUUAAAAAAUAAUAAUAAUCCUAACAAUAAAAUAUUUCAGCCGUCCUCUGUUCAGUCACCGAAAACGGAUUUCCAAUCUAUUAGAACAACCGGUAUAUGGGUUUCCAACCAAUAUUGUCCUCCAUCCUUUCUGCACUUCUCUUCUAUCAACGGACAGCCCACGAUGUAUAAUCGCAAAAGUGAGGAAGGCAGGCCCUUCUCCGGAAAGUAUUUGAGCUUGGGACAAUCCGCGAGAUACAAUUCAGUGAGGUUUUGAAGAUCAACAAUUGAAGAAGAUAGGCGUUCCAGAUUUGGAAAAUUAGAAAUCCCCAGAGAUGUUAGAGAGGCAGGAAGAGGAAGCGUGGUCCCUAAUCUUUUGUCCUCUAGUGGAAAUGACACCAUGUCGUCAUCGCAUCUGCUGAUUGUAAGACGUCGCAGAGAGGAGAAUCUGUGAAAUCCCCGUCCCCGCUCAAUCAUUGACUUCCAAAUCUCCAUAUUACCCCAAAUAUUAAGUGACUGAAGGUUGGUGGGAAGGUCAUCUUCUUCUUCAAGGCUUGGAAGCGCACCUCCUAUUCCUAUUGUUAAUUGUUGAAGAGAGGUCAGAUUGUGCAAUCCCUUGGGUAAGGCCUCUAGUCUCUUACAAUUAGAUAUCGCCAGCGUCCUGAGUUUCGCACAAGGCAAUCCCCCUUCGGGAAAGGACACCAGAUUUUUACAACUAUCUAUACUGAUUGUUUCAAGAGAUGUGUUGUUGUCCAACCUUUCUGCUAUUGACUCCAGCUUUGAACAUCCACCAACACGAAUGGACUUAAGAGACGGAGGUAGAUUGCCAACUUCAAGGGACUCAAGCGUGGCAGGUAACUCGUUUUUUGAAAAUAUACACGUCAGAGAAUCACAACAGUAAAUAUGCAAUUCCUCAAGAAAAGAUGAGGUGUACCUUCUGCCGCUGCUACACUGGAUGCCCUCUUCCACUGUCAAAGUCCUUAUAUUAUCGCAACGGCAGAUCUGCAACUUCUUAAGGCUCGAUGGUAGCUGGACAGCAGCAAUAUAUGUCAACGAACGGCAACCCUCAAUAUUCAAGAUCUCGAGAGACGAAUUGGUGUCGCACAUCCAUGCCUCUGGUAACGAUUUCAGUGCAUCACAAUACCUAAUCUCAAUUUUCCUCAACUUGGAAGGCAGAGCAACCUCAGGAAAGGAAACAAGGGAAUGACAAUCGCAGAUUUCUAUCUCUCUCAAGGAACUGAGGCUGAGCGAUGAUUGUGGCAGCUUCACAAGGCCUUUGCAUUCGCUCAAUCUUAGAUAUUCGAGUCUGCAUGACAACUCGCAGAGCUGCUGUUGUUGGUCUUUCUCUUCCUCCGCCACCAAGGAUUGAAUUUUGGGACACCGUCUAAUCGUCAGUCUUUUGAGAGAGCAAAUGUCUUGCAGUAAUUCGUUAUGACUCUUCCAUAUAUGUGUUUCAUUUUUCAUAUUAUUUAUCCCCAAUUCUUCCAGUUUUGGUAUUCGCGGCUUCAAUGGCUCUGUGAAAAACACUUGAUUUGAUGUAUCUCUACAAACCACUGAAUUCUGUGAGCCGAGAUGAUCAGUUGCACUUCUCCACACAACCUUUUUACAUCCACCAAUUUCAAAUUUGCAAAGAGCUGGAAGACUUGCAACUGAAACUAGCAAUUCUUCACAUCCUUCAAUUGCAAGCAUCUCCAAUGCAGGAAGGUGUUCUGGAAAUGUUCCUUGCAGCUUAGAACACCUUAUAAUAUGAAGCUCUCUCAAUUUAGGAAACCAUUCAACUCCCUGACCAGUUCUAAGAGGAAUCCAGUCUUCCCAUUCUUGCAUGUUUUCAAAACGAAGAGUUUCCAAGCAUGGAAAAGGAAUCGGGGAAUCAUUCCCAUAGAACUCUGAACCCAAACUCUUUACUCUACUCAUUCCACGCACUGCAAGAUGCUUUAGAGAGGGUAGUUGCCCGACUGACGGCAAGGUAGUACACACGCUGCAAUCUUCAAAAUUUAAGGUCGCUAAAUUUGAGAAUGAGGAAUCUCCCAACCAAGUUGGAAAUUGUUUACCUUCAUAGCCACUGAUACAAAAUUGUUCCAGAUUUUCAUGAGGUUUUAGCAUGACGAGCACAUCCUUUUCAGUUUCUGCCUCCCUUGAAGACAAACCAUUGGUACUCUGUGUCCAUUGAAACUUUAACACUUUAAGAUUCUUCUUUCCAUCCAAUUGAGCCUCCUUCGCAUCACCAAUGUCUUUUACGUUCUCCAAUUUUGAAAUGUUAAGUGUCCCACGAAGAUGCGUCAACAAUUUUAGCUCUCGUAUCCCGGAACCACUGUCUUUUCCCACAACAAAAUUACACAGCGUCUGAAGGAAAGUCAACUUACCAAUUCCUAGUGGCAUCUCCUCCAAUGAAUCUGUCUUUGAAUUAUCGAGAUGAUGCAAUUUGAUGAGGUUUCCCAUGUCUGCACACAACUUCUUCAGUCGCCGACAGCCCUCCAGCAGAAGAGUGUGCAAAUUGUAAAGCUUGUUGACUGAUUCAGGCAGAGUUCUAAUCUCAGUUAGAGAUAGGUUAAGGUACCUUAAAUACCUCAAAUCACCAAUUGAAUCCGGUAGCUCAGAGAUGUGAUAUCCACGCAAAGAGAAGACCCUCAACCGUUGGAGUUUGAACAACUUAGGAAGAAUGCUAUGAGCCAAGUAGCCGGGCCGGCUACUUAACAACGUUACUGGUAAAAGAGUUCGCAAAUGUUGGAUAUCGUACAACUCCUCAAACCUUUUAACACCAUCGUAAUCUCCACGAAUGUACGACAGAUGACGAAGAUUUCUUGGAAAACUUUGUUGCUUGUCAACCUCUGAGAUAUACUCCAUUCUGAAGUACAUUUCCCCAGCAGCCCAUUGAGCAAGAUCAUUGAUGAGGUCGUGCAUCACAAAUCGUGAUAUACUGUUGCUUGAUUGCUGGAAAAAAGAUCUUGAACGUAGCUCUUGAAAGAACUUUCGACCUAGAUCUUCACUGGGAUUCCCACUCUCUCCGUGAUCCAAGAAACCCGAAGCACACCAUAAUAAAAUUAUCUCCUCCUCUUCAAAUUCAUAAUCCUUUGGAAACAAUGAGCAGUAUGCAAAGCAUUGUUUCAAAGGUGCCGAAAGAUAAUAGUAGCUCACUCUAAGCGCCGGUAUAAUGUCACAUCUCUCUUCUGGUAAAUCCCAUAUCUUGCAACUGAGCACACCUUCCCAAUGACUCCGGUCAAGUUUACCACGCAAGAGACCACCAAGAGUUUUCGCAGCUAAGGGCAAGCCGUUGCAUUUGAUCACUAUCUUCUUGCCAAUUUCCUCCAAUGACUUGUUUGAACUGAUAUCUCUUGCCCCUAAAGAGUGUUGAGCGAACACAGACAGACAAUCAUCAUUUGACAGCUUUUUCAAAUGAUAAGCCCGAGCAGUCCCCAUGAUGGCUGCAACCUCUUGAUUACGAGCUGUGACAAUAAUCUUACUCCCCGGUGCGCCAGCUUCAAAUGGACGGCUCAUGUCAACCCAGUCAUUGUAAUUCUCAUUCCAAACAUCGUCUAAAACAAGCAAAAAUUUCUUUUGAGAUAACUUCUUCUUCAGCUCCUCUUGAAGCAAAUUUAAAUCACUGUCAUCAGUAGUCUGCUUAGUAAUGGAUCUUAGAAUUGUUUUUGUUAGCCUGAUAACAUCAAAAUCAUCAGAGACACAAGUCCAUGCCUUGAGAUCAAAAUGACCCUGCACUCGAGCAUCAUUAUAGACAAGCUGAGCGAGAGUGGUUUUGCCCAGCCCGCCCAUACCUAUAAUAGGAAUAACAGAGAAUUCACCAUCAUUUCUCAAAUCAUCCCUCAACAGCAAUUCAACAAUUUCAUUCUUUUCUGUUUCCCUCCCAUAUACCUUGGCUUCAGUCACUAAAGAGGUUGUGGGUAGUCUUUGCCUGUCUUUUCUGGACCUCCCAGCUGAACUUACGUUCAAACCGAGCGAGUCUUUCUGUGUUACAAUAUCUUGAAAUCUGUAGUUGAUCUCUUUGAUUUUGGACAUUAUGGCGUAAUCGAACUGAAUCGAUUGUGGGGUAAAAGUGGUGCAGCAAGUAGGAAUGAGCUUCUGAAACUUACUUGUUCUUGUACGACUGCUACUGGGUUGAUCCUGAGCCGCAGCUGGAUCUCCAUUUCCAAGCAGCACCUUCCUCCGGAAAGCCCCAGUUUGAAACUCAUCCAACAAGUCUUCAACAUCAAAAGCCAAGUUCUGAAGCUCGCCAAGCCACAACUUCACAAUCUCAUCAGUCUUCUUUUCCUCAGCAUCAGCAAGCACCGCCUUGACCUUCAAAAGCAUCGUCUUCCACUUCAUUAGAUCGGCCCGGAUUUGAUCUUGGCGUGGAAACAACCGAAUCCCCACUGAAGCUAACUUAUAGACCAACAACUCAACGGACGCCGUCAGGAUUGCCUCUCCGAUGAUUGACAUUUUUUUCUUUUUUUUGUUUUGCAAAGAAAGAAACAGAAUUUUGAGUUUUGAGAAGCAAAAUGAGAAAAUUGAACAGUAAGUGUGGAGGGUCAAGCAAAAUGCGCGUAUCAAGUCUUCCACUUGUUGUUUAUUCCAGUAAAGUGAAAAAAAAAUAGAGACCACGACCCUUUAAUAAUUUAGCAAUUCACCGGUCACGAGUCACCACCACUCGUUACCAUGAAUAUAAUAAAUUGCACCUAGAUAUUUGCAGGGUCCAGCAACAUUGACCCAGUGUCCGGGUAAAUGCUGAAUAACGAGGAAAAUGGAAUGUAUCAACUACGAACCUUCGCUUUACAAGUCUUCAAACUCAUAAACCAAGUUAAAUCAAAACGUUUAUCUCUCUCACCCUUUUUGCCAUAUAAUUACUUUAUUUAUUGAAUUAAUUUCCAUGCUAAAACGAAGACUUAAAAGUGCACUACAAUUUUUUAUAAUCACAAUGGUAAUUCCUACUAUCAUGUUAUCUUAAUGUCGUGUCAAAAUAAAUUAUAAUAAAAUUUUUUUUAUAUGAACAUUUUUUUUAUUUAUGAAUUUCUUAAUUUUUAAUAUUUUUCUUACUCUUUAGUCUUAAUAUUUGUAUUUCUCUCUUCAAACUUUCUUUAUUAUUUAAUUUUUAAAGAAAAAUAUAAAAAAAGUAAGAAAAAUAUUAUACUUAAAAAAUAGUGAAUAUUUUAUGGGUCUAAUACAAGCCUGUAUUAUUUUUGACAAUGAAAGAGCACGCGAAAAAUCUCACUCAUAGAAAACUUUGUGAAAGGCAUUUGAAUGUGUGGCCACAUUUACCGAACGAAACGAUAAGGCUUUAGCCCUAUAAUUGCAAUUAGUUUGUCUUGUAACUAAAUUAUUGCCGACAAGCAGCCAUGCAUGUAAUUAGUCACAAGUUGCUUUGAAAUAAAUAGGUACUUGACAUUUGGCUCACUGAUUAUGUGUGCAAUAUUCCCGUAUUUCCCAUUACUUCCCGUACUUUAUGCAUUAUUGUUUUGUAUGUCUUUCGGUGUUUACGGUGUAGUUAGGGAUGGUAGCGGGUAGGGUCUGGUACGGGUUUGACAUCACCAAACCCGCAUCUACAAAAAAUUUUAAUUACGUAAUUCAAAUUAUAAAUUUAUAAAUAUUGCCUAAAAAAAAAUCACAUAAAAUACUUAAUUCUAGAUUUUAUCAAUGUAAAUGAAAAAUGAAAAUAUCAACAUUAAAAUAAAUACACAAAAUAUAUCAAUUUAACACGAAUUCUCAAAUUCAAUUAGCAAAUAAAUAAGUCUAUCACAACUCGAAGUGUUUUCAACUGAAAAAGAAAAAAAAGAGAAAGAGAAAAAAACAAAGAACUACAAAUCAAAGUAGCACCCAUAACCUAUUUCAUAGGCUCAUUCAACACCAAGAUUCAUUCAUUACCACUAGCACCCAUUCAACGUGGUUUUUCUAAACAAAAUAUAAAGUACAAAAUUACAAUAAGCAUAUCAUACUCCAUGCUUUAAGUUAAAGAUCCUUAUAUAAUUUUAUGAAUAAAUUUUUAGUGAAAUUUUAUGAUUAAAAUUAAAAAUACAAAUAUUAAAAUAAGAAUGUUGGACAUCUGCGCAACUAUUUGCUAUUUUUUUUUCUCUAUAAAAAUUCACCUGCAACUUACAGCAGAUUUAAAUUUAUAAUAUCAAACUUGAUUGUAGCUUGCAAAAUUUUUGGAUGUACGAUAAUUUUGCCACCCUAAGUGUAGUUAGUGUGUUUCCAAUUGGCUCCUAUAAAAAGCCUAGAAGUUGUUUGAAUAAUGAGGGAGGCAAAUAUUUCCCAAAGAUAUUCUCUUUUUCAAAUUCUUUUCUUUUCUCUAUUAUUGUAACUUCAAAUCCUUGAAAUUACAUAUUUCAAAUCCUUGACAUGAACACAAUGUUUUGACAUAGUGGCUUUUGGCUUGUCCAGAGAAAUUUAGGAUAGAUUUUGAUGUAUUAAGGCUCGUUUUACUAUUGAGAUUUUGGAACUUUUGAGCUACACUUGAAAUUUGUAUUAUUCUAAUAGAGUUGUACCCUUCGAUAUGUGAAUGGUAUUAAUCAGGUGUUAUGUUUACAGCAGUUAAAGGCAUAUUGAAUCAAAGUCCACUUUUGAUUGAGAUUUUAAAGUAGGUUUUUAAUUUGAUAGCUACUCAAGUUCAAAUAUUGGAACCACAGUGCUUUAUAACCAAGUGGGAGAACUUCUGUCCUGAAAGUUGAAGGCUGCAUACCGAGUUUUACUACCAACAAAAAUUGGUGUUAAGACUUUAGUUGCCCUCCUACUUAUAGAUAAGGGUAAUUAGGACUUUACAUCCCCUCCUGCUAAUAGAUAGGGGUUACUAGGAAUAUUAAAAAAAUGUUCAAAUAUUGAAAAAAUAGGUAUGGGUUAUAAAAUUCAUAAUACAAGAACAGUAAAUCAAGAUAAAAUUUAAAAAUUUAGAACCAUGAAAGCGUAACUUGUAAGUUUCAAAGAAGCAUGUGAAAACAUAUGCGUAUCGAUACCCAUUAAGGGUGGGCAUUAAGAUCGGGUUAACUCGAACCGAACCUUAAAUUUAUUUUGGGUUCAAUUUGAUUUUGGUUGAACCUUUCAACUGAGUUGAAAACUUAUAAACGAUUGGGGUNNNNNNNNNNNNNNNNNNNNNNNNNNNNNNNNNNNNNNNNNNNNNNNNNNNNNNNNNNNNNNNNNNNNNNNNNNNNNNNNNNNNNNNNNNNNNNNNNNNNNNNNNNNNNNNNNNNNNNNNNNNNNNNNNNNNNNNNNNNNNNNNNNNNNNNNNNNNNNNNNNNNNNNNNNNNNNNNNNNNNNNNNNNNNNNNNNNNNNNNNNNNNNNNNNNNNNNNNNNNNNNNNNNNNNNNNNNNNNNNNNNNNNNNNNNNNNNNNNNNNNNNNNNNNNNNNNNNNNNNNNNNNNNNNNNNNNNNNNNNNNNNNNNNNNNNNNNNNNNNNNNNNNNNNNNNNNNNNNNNNNNNNNNNNNNNNNNNNNNNNNNNNNNNNNNNNNNNNNNNNNNNNNNNNNNNNNNNNNNNNNNNNNNNNNNNNNNNNNNNNNNNNNNNNNNNNNNNNNNNNNNNNNNNNNNNNNNNNNNNNNNNNNNNNNNNNNNNNNNNNNNNNNNNNNNNNNNNNNNNNNNNNNNNNNNNNNNNNNNNNNNNNNNNNNNNNNNNNNNNNNNNNNNNNNNNNNNNNNNNNNNNNNNNNNNNNNNNNNNNNAGAUAUCAAAAUCACAUUCUUCAAUUCUACAAUUUCAAUUCAUCUUCAUAACUUCAACUGAAGAAUUGAUUGUAUCUCGUUUUAAUUUUUUUUUAUGUAAAGAUAAAUAUAAAAUAUAAAUGGUGAGGAGACUGAAAAAGUAAAAUCAAAAGAAGAGCACGAGUUUUAUUGAAAAUUACUUUUUUUUCAUCAUUUUGCCAGAGUGAAUGUAUCUACAUUUAAACGAAAGAAGCACAUUUGUUUGUAUUAGCUUUUUUAUUGUAUUUUUAAUAAUAAGUAAUUUUCAAUUAACUUAUAUCAUUUUUUACGAAAAUAAUAGGUGUUAGUUAGUUGAUUCAAAUGGCAAGACCUCUUGGGAUAGAGUUUGUAAUUUAGUGGCUUAUCAAUUGUUUAAAUAGGGCAUUAUUAGAGCCAAAUUAUUGUAUUUGGUUAAAAAACUCCUACUUUGCUUACAACUUUAUUAUCCUAUUAUGUUUAUUAAUAAAUAACAAUUUUAUUGAAAAAAAAACAAGAUAUGUUGAAAUGAUACAAAAAAUUUGGGUUGUAAAUCUUACUCGAAUUUAGCUUGAGAUUGGCAUUGUUAGCAUAAUAUUUGAAGAUAUAUUUUUUAAAUUAAAAAAAAAAAGAAAUUGGGUUCACACUAGUUAGUUUUAACUCAUAGUGAGAUUUAAACAAAAUCGGAAUAAUAAAUCUUGAUAUCCUAACUCAUGGAUAACAUCUACAUAAAAUAAUAAAAUCUAUUGUGUCGAAAAUAAGGGGUCUAAAGUUUGAAUUUCACUCACAUAGGUAGCAAGAGAAUCAAAUUAUUGUUAGAUUAAAUUAAUUAAAAAAAUUAUCUGAUAUACAAAACACAGCAUAUCAAAAAAAUUGAAAUAAAAGAAAAUUGAAAAGCAAAACGAUUGAGAGAACGAAAAACUAACACAAGAAAAUGCCGAUAAUUAAUUGCCUCAGCGGGCACCAACUUAAUUAUGCUUAUUAAAGCCUGGUUUAUUGUUAGAGUGCAAUUUAUGCACUAGUUUUGCAUUAUUUACUUCCCUUAAUAUCAAUGUUUUGCACUUAAUAAUAGUGAUUUACUUGUGUUUUACUUUUGUAGGUGCAAUUCUAUUAAUUGGUGAUAAAAUUAAGCUAAAAGAUGAUGUUUAAGGAGGAUUGUUCUCUUGGAGAAAUUAUGAGCGUCGAAGAACUUUGUUGAUAAGGCAUGGGCACGUGCUGUCAACUGCGGACCUGCAGUUUUUAGUUUAAACGUGUUUUGUAUUUUUGGCUAUUUUUGUAAUUACGAAUUUAAUAUUUCAGAUAUUAGUAUUUUAUUUUAAAUAGAACUCUAAAAGAGAAGAGAGAGAGAGAGUAUUUAAGAGAGGAAUCUAUUGUGAAAAAUGUAUUUACGCUUUAAUUUUUAUGUGAGCUUUGAUUAUCUUACAUUAGGGACAAUGUAAGUUCUUGGUGUGGGGGAGGGAUUUUUGCAUUAUUGAUGUCUGGAAGUAUUAUUUUCACUCUACUCAUCUAUUUUCAUUCUACUCAUCCUUAAAUGAUUUUGGAGUUAGUAUGCUUCAUAUAUUAUUAAUUUUCUUUUCUUUUCUUUCUCACUACUCUUUUCCCAUCUAUUUUUUUUACUACAUACAUCUUUCUCGCUUAUUAUCCUUUUUACCUUUCCUUUUAUUUCUCACUCAUACCUUCUUCUCAUUCUAUACCACUAUUGAUGGUUGAUUCAUUUGAAGAGUGUACAUGAUUUGAUAACAAAUUUACCAACUUUGUGAGGAUUUGAGCCUAUGAGCAACCACUUUGCUCUAAUAUUUUUGUUAUGUGAAUAUCAAUCUUAGUUUUUUUAUUCUAGAACUUGCUUUGUUAUGCAUGUUGAAGCCGCAUUACGGGAUUUUAUGCAUUAAAAUGAUAAGGGCAAACCCUUUUCCAUUUUUCUAUUCUCGCAUUUUUUUUCUCUACCCGAAGACCUUUAUUUGCUAUCUUUGUUUGAGCCUUAACCAUUACCCAUCUAAUCCUCUCCGUCUACUUAACCAUUUUUCUUCUUUUUGAGCCUCAAUUUAAGGAGAUUUUUGGACUCAUUGUGUGGAUAUAUUUUGUGUUUUUUUUACCUUGUAUUAAAGUUUCUCAAUUAGAUCAACAAGCAUUAUGCUUGAAUUAAAUUGUGCAAGGUUCGUUUCUUUUGUUUGAUUAAAAAAAACAAAAAAUAAAAAACAAAAAAAAGGAAAAAGAAAAAAAAGAAAAAGAAAAAAAAUCGAAAAAAAAUCGAAAAAAAAAAUUAAAAGUUUACAUUCUUGGUGACUUGAGUAGAAAUAAGCAUUUUGAUAUCAUAAGUUCAUUCAAUGAGUUCAUUCUUCUCAUUUUGAUAUCUUUUUCUCUUUCAUGGACCUUUCUUUUUCAUUUAACCUAUUUAACCCCAUUGCAACCCUUUUAAGACCCUUAGAUUUUUGCAUUUUAUUCAUGUUGUGGAUUGAGAUGUGAUAUAUGAGCAAGCUUAUGGUAAUAGCAUUCUUUGAUUUGAUUUGAGUGAAUAAAUGACACCCUAAACACUUUGAGUGCAUGGAGUGAAGUCAUUGAGAGGGCUAUUAAAUCUUGUUGCACUUGAAUUUUGAAUGUAUCUUCUUGGUGGUUGAAUGUUCUUAUUCUAUCUUAUGAGAUUCUAUGCUUUAAAAUCCUUGUCUCUCGAAUGUUGAUCGACUUAAUUUCUUGAGGUAUGGUUGCUUAGAAUUAUUUAUGGAUGAGUUGAGAUGAGAAUUGAGUGGAGAUUUGGGAUUAGUCUUGAGUUAUAUGCUUGAGGACAAGCAUCAUCUUGGUGUGGGGGAAUUUGUUAGAGUGCAAUUUAUGCACUAGUUUUUAAUUAUUUACUUCCCUUAAUAUCGAUGUUUUGCACUUAAUAAUAGUGAUUUACUUGUGUUUUACUUUUGUAGGUGCAAUUCUAUUGAUUGGUGAUAAAAUUGAGCUAAAAGAUGAUGUUUAAGGAGGAUUGUUCUCUUGGAGAAAUUAUGAGCAUCAGAAGAACUUUGUUGAUAAGGCGUGGGCGCGUGCUGUCAACUGCGGACCUGCAGUUUUUAGUUUAAACGUGUUUUGUAUUUUUGGCUAUUUUUGUAAUUACGAAUUUAAUAUUUCAGAUAUUAGUAUUUUAUUUUAAAUAGAACUCUAAAAGAGAAGAGAGAGAGAGAGUAUUUAAGAGAGGAAUCUAUUGUGAAAAAAAUGGGGAUUUUAGAUUGAAGAAAAGAAAGAAACCCUAGAUCUAAUUUUUCUCUUCUCUCUAUGAAGAACUAAACUUAUUUUUCUGGUUGAAGGUUAAUGAAGCUUUGAUUCAUCACUACUGUGAGAUCUUUCUUAUGCUUUAAUUGUUUUAUUACUCUUUGGGUAUUUGUUUAUUCUCUGAAUUAGUUUCAUGAUUAUGUUUGUUAAUUAGGUAAUUGGCCACUAUUUAAUUAUCAACUUAAUCUAUUGUCAAUUAAAGGAUUCAUCGUAUGAAGAAUUUAAUGUUUGUGACAAAUAACAUAGCAGAGAGUUGUGUUGUGAGAAUAAACAAUCUAAUUUAAAUGAAUCAUCAUAUGUGUUGAUUAGGAUUUGGGUCUCUUUGGUUUUUCAGGCUGUCAAUUGAUUAAAUCCUAUGAUCGUAUCUAGGAUUGUCUAUUGAUUAGGGAAAUAACCAACGGUCGUACCUUGGUUAUCGACUAGUUAAGGAGAGAUUGGCUAUUAGAGGGUCUCAGUAGUUAUAACCGGUCUAUUCAUAAGUAAUAAUAAUCUAUAUUUGAAUCAAUGAUCAGUAGUCGAAUCAAGCUGAGUUAAUUCCUUCAACCAGAGCUUUCUCCAAUUUGAAUCACAACUUUAAUUUACAUUCUCGUUAUUUUAAUUUAAUUUUUAUUAUUGUCAACAAAACCCCCAUUUUAUGUUUUACGUUUUAAAAGGAUUUAAAUAAUUACCGAUCUCUGUGGACACGACCCUGCUCAAUCACUAUACACAAUUUAUUUAGAGUAAAAAUUUAUUUUUGUUGGCUUCGACACCCACCAGUUAUUUCAUUUUCAUUGAUAAUCAUUUUGACACCGGUCAAAUUUAAAAGUUUAAAUAAUGGGGGCCAUUUUUCUUUCCAGCUAUGCCCAUUAGCUAAUAAAAGAACCGCCGAAAGGGUUCGGGGAUAAUAUAGUAAUAUGAUUGAUAAUCAUUUUGGAGCUGAGUAUUCUUCGUUCCACAUUUUGGGUUUUGGUUGACCAUAUUUUAAUACUUUUUCUGGAAAACAAAUAUAUAUUUAGUGACUUGUAAUGGGUGCAACUCAUGUUUUUGAAACAUUAACAUCUUUACUUACUUACACUAAUGCGGCAACUGCUGCUUGCUUUUUUUUUUUUCCUUUUGCUUUUGGUUAAUAAUAAUAAUAAUAAUAAUAAUAAUAAUAAUAAUAAUAAUAAUAAUAAUAAUAAUAAUAAUAAUAAUAACAACUUUUUAAUUUAAUAUAUUAUUAAAUAAUAUUUUUAUUUUUAUUUUUACAUUAUAAUUUAUUAUAACUAAUAAUAAAUAUUUAAUUUUGAAUAAUAUUAAUUUAAAAUUAAUAAUAUUAUAAAUAAUAAUAUAAACUAUUAAUACAAUUUAAAUAUAUCAAUAUAAUAUAAUAUUUAAUUUAAAUUAAUCACAAAAAAUUAAUACAAUAUAUUAUAAUACCAAAUAUUAUACAAUAUUACUAUAAUACAAUUAUGAUACAAUUUGAGGGAGAUUGUCAGCUUUUUCGGAUUAAAAAUAAUAUAUACCACUUACUCUAUUGUUUUUAUAAUGUUCAACAAUCCCCUUGAGAAAAAAAAAAAACGAAAAGAAGGAAUAAAUAGAUGAUUUGCUUGAUAUUGUAUCUUAGAAAUAUAAAAUAUAUAUUUAUUAUUAAAAGUAUUUAAAAAUAAUAAAGAGUACAUAAAAAAUAUCUUAUCCUCAACAACAAGAUCAGACGACGUCAAUUCAGCAAAAUGACUUGUACAAUUUGAAAGUCCAGCAACGGUCACCUCUUAAUGUUAUUUUUACUAUAUUAUAUUGAUAUUUUGUUUUGUUAAUCAUAUAAGUCAAUCAAUAAUUAUUUAAUCAUUAGAAUUAAAACUAAUGUAUUAAUUAAAAUUCAAAAUCUAUUAUAAAAAUAGUAAAUAUUAAUACAAAGAGAUGGACAUAUUACAAAAUACAUUCACCAAAAGUUCUAUUAUACUUAAAAUUCUCAUUCACAAAAAAAUAAUAAUAGUUGAAUACAUGUACAAAAAAAGGGGAUAAAUAAAAAAUAAUAAUAAUAAAUAAUAAAAGGAUAGUUUAUAUAAUAAAAAAUAAAUUUAUUGAAUAGGGAUGUUAAUAAUAAAGAAUAAUAGCCGAUCAAACUCACUUUACAAUAAACUGAGAAAUCAAAAUCACAUUCUCCGAUUCUACGAUUGACUCUUUUUCAUCAUUUUACUGGAGUGAAUGUAUCUAUAUGUAUUGGGGACCAUAAUGGAAACUGAUAGAACCUACAAGGGCUAAAAUUAGAACAACGAACGAUAUCUCAAAGUCGCCGAAACGUAAGUAAUUAAUCUUAUCUUUCAAUUGAUUUUUUGUGGAGACAGAGACAAACCCGAACAGCAAAUAGCCAUAAAUGAUAGGACAAUUAAAUUGGAACUCUCCGCGGACCCACGAUUUAAUAUCUUUAGAUUGUAACGGUUUAACCAAAAAAAAAACAAUUUUAGUAAAAUAUUUCUUAAAAAAUGAAAAAAAAUGUUGAAAAGAAGAACAAAAUUGUGGUCCACGUGUCAUUUCAAAAUAGGUUGCUGGCAUAAACAACCGUCCCCAUCUCGGACAGAUGUUAUUUGAGUGGUUGGUGCGCGUUUCCACUUUUUUGUUUUAGAUGCAACGACUCAUGCACUAUAUAUAUAUAUAUAUACGUAAUUUCUAUCUUAUAUAUGUAUAAGAUACAUUCUUUAUCUUUUAUCUCCCUUAUAGAAUAAUAUAUGUGUGGAAUUUAUAUAUAUUGUUCAUAUGAAAAAAAUAUAUCUUAUAUGCAUGAUAGAAUAAUCCAUGAAUCUAAUGUUAUUAGUUUAAAUAAUGGGUGCAACUCAUGUUUUUGAAACAUUAAGAUCUUUAGUCAUUCUGUUACUAUCCCGUGGUUAUUUAAGUUACAAGAGACAGUAAAAAAACAACGUCAUAUUUUAAUUACUUACACUAAAUAAAUUACUCACACUGAUGCCGCGUCUGCCGCUUACUUUUUUUCUUUUUUUUUAUCCUUUUGCUUUUGUUUUUAACUUUUACUUUUACUUUUUGACUUUUGCUUUUGGUUUAUUAUAAUAAUAAUAAUAAUAAUAAUAAUAACUAUUUUUUAAUUUAAUAUAAUAUUAAAUAAUAUUUUAUUUUUAAUUUUACAUUAUAAUUAUUAAUAUAUAAUUUAUUAUUCAAUAUUAUUAUAUUAUGUUUUUUAUUUUUAAUUAUAAUUUAUUAAUAAAUUUAUAAUUUAUUAUAACUAAUAAUAAAUAUUUAAAUUUAAAUAAUAUUAAUUUAAAAUUAAUAAUAAUAUAAAAUAUUAAUACAAUUUAAAUAUAAAUUAAUAUUUAAUUUAAAUUAAUCACAAAAAAUUAAUACAAUAUAGUAUAGCACCAAAUAUUAUAUAUUAUUAUUAUAAUACAGUACUAAUACAACAUAAUAUAAUAUAAUACAUUAAUAUUAAAAUAAUAUAAUACAGUAUGCGAAAUGAACCGAAAUGGUAUUACUUUGUUUGUCUUGUUAUUUACAAUUAUUUAAUCUGUAGACCCACUCAUGCUCCUUCUAUGCAACAUAGAUACAAUUUGAGGAAGAUUAUCAAUUUUUUCUGAGAAAAAAUAAUAUAUACCACUUACUCUUUAUUGUUUUUAUAAUGUUCAACAAUCCGUUUGAGAUGAAAAUAAAUAAAUAAAAAGAAGGAGUAAAUAGACGAUUUGCUUGAUGUUGUAUCUUAGAAAUAUAAAAUAUAUAUUUAUUAUUAAAAAUAUUUAAAAAUAAUAGAGAGUUCAUAAAAAAUAUCUUAUCCUCAACAACAAGAUCAGACGACGUCAAUUCAGCAAAAUGACUUGAACAAUUUGAAAGUCCAGCGACGGUCACCUCUUGGCACACAUACGGCAACGUGUGUAGCAUUGGCAAGAGGUCUCCCAGAAGGACGAUUAAGGAAAGAUUGCAAGACAAAAUCAUGAAAAUAGUAGUACAGAUAUGCAAUAUGCUAAAUUGUCCUCGAUUGAGUCAAUCGCAAUCAAGUCUUAGAAAUCGCACCCCUGUAUUAAUUUCCAGAAAUAUGUUUGUUCCAUAUUUAUCGUGCACGUAUACAUUGUAUGUAUUGGGAAUAGAAAGAGUGUAUGAAAAAAAAUUCUUCAUUCAUCGAUUAAAACUUAAAUUAUGUACGAGGGUUAAGCGCAGCGUUUUUAAAUUUAAAAAGCACAAGUGUCAAUCCACUAAGGUUUGGUCCAAUGGCUAGAGUCACUCCCUCGCGAAAUGAUUAGAGCUCCCACAAAUGUAUUGUACAAGUUUAAUUUAAAUUUUCUUCCUCAAAACUUAAGUGAAGACAUUAUUUUUCAUAGAAGUAGAGUUUUUCUAGGAGUUUGACAUCCCUCAAAUAUUAAAAGAAUUAAAAUCUGAACGAUACUAUAUAAAAUAUAAUUUAAACUGAUCUUAAUAAUUAUAUAAUUAUAAAUAUAAUGAGCAACAGUCUCGUUAAAAAAACAGAUCAAGUGUCAUGAGCCCAUUUAAAUUAACUAAUAUUUGAGGGGGAAAUCUCUGUAUACCAUAGUAUAUAUUCUAUAUCCAGUCAUGGGACCCAUACACGGAUGGUUCCACGUAAUUCGCAGAGUUGAACUGGAGACACUGAUUAGUUCGUUGUCUACUUACCAACUUAUGUACAACUAAGUAAUUGCAUGCACCAUUUGCGACUUAUCUAUCCACCCUGCUUGCAUUGCAUUAACUACGUCACCAAUCACCCACGUCCGCUACUUGUGUGAACGUGUAUAUAAAUACAUAUAUCCGCAGCAUAUUAUCAAACCAGAAUCAGAAGCAACUUAAGUUUUGUUCAUUAGGUUUAUGUUUAUCAACAUGAUAUAUUGUCAAUCAUAAUCGCAAUCAAGUUGUUAAUUAUUUUUUAAAUAAUGUGAAGGAACAAGAUUUUGGCCUUUGAGUGUCUGGUUAAAAAUAUCUCACCUCAAUGUACGGUGUUGUGCUCUCAUCAUCGUACUAUUAUUUGUUAAAAGUAUGUCAAAGAGGAAAGCAGAUUCAAACAUUACUUCAAUUUUAUUUAAGAGAAUAAAAAAAUCGUUAAUAGGCUACUGUUAUUUGUUAGUACGAUUUCACAAAAAAAUCGGUUUCUUAAACAACUCCAACUACAAUUUUUUUUUUACAAAUUUUUGAAUUAUUAAAUCAUAUGUGUGUGUAUAAAUUGAAUAGAAUUAAAAGUGGACUCAAAUGGCUAUUAUGUAAUUUUUUUAUAAUUAAAGAAAAGUUUAGAAUGUAAAAGUGUGUGUGAGAAAACAAAAAAUAUAAAUCACCUUUGAUGUAGUUGUACGGUUGUAAAGAGUUAGAUGGAGAAAUAUAGUAUAUAAUUAAAUUUAUUUUGUUCCUUAAAACGGGUAGGUUUUAUAAGAAUUUUCCAGAGGAGUGCUAAUAUUUCAACUUUUUUUCAAAUGAAGUGAUGUCCUGGAAUAAAAUCACUACUCUAUCAUUGCUAUUAGUUUGUCUUGUAUUUCAAUAAUUGUCGACAAGUAUUAAUUGUGAAUAUUAUUGUUUUAAAAAUUUUAUUAUUAUUAUCGUCGUUAUUCUUAACAGUAAUGACUAGAAUUAUAAUAAAAACAAUAACGUUAAUACAAUAAUAUAACAACAUAAUAAUAUUUUAAUUGAGAGGAUAAGAAUGAAAUUAUGAAAUUUAGGUUGGGUAAAAAUGAUGAGUAUGAGGAAAUUAAAUUACCAUUUUUUAAGCUAAACAAUUCAUAAAUUCCACAUAUUUCAUUCGUAUUUCUCUUAUAUUUUAACAAGUAAACAUUAUCAAUAAUUUUAAUAUUUUAAUUAAUAAACACGGCGUUAACUACGGAACUAAAAGAUCAAAAAAAAAAAAAAAAACAGAGACGCGUGUAUGUAUUGCUUGUGACAAAUCUCACCCGUGGAAAACUUUGUGAAAGGCAUUUGAAUGUGAGGCCACAUUUAAUGAACGAAACGAUAACUUUAAAAGAGAGUAUGUACUGUGUUAAUUAUUAGGCUUUAGCUUAAUGAUUGCAAUUAGUUUGUCUUGUAAUUAAAUUAUUGCCGACAAACACUAUCACGACCCACGUCCGCUACUUGUGUGAGUGCGUGUAUAAAUAUCCGCAGCAUAUUAUCAAACCUGAAGCGUACUAAUAAAGUAUUGGUUCCACUACAAUAGAGUCUCCUUAAGUGGUUUUGAUUGGGUUUGCUCCUCAGUUCGAGUCGCAGAAAAGUCACCUUUGUUGGGAGAACCUGUGCCUCUCAGUUCGAGCGGGGAUUUCUAGUCUGGAUUGUGAUACAGGCUUAAAGGUGCCUCCCACAGUUGGGGCCCUCCCCAGAAUACCUCGUUGUCAAAACCAAAAAAAAAAAAAAAAUCAAACCUGAAGCGUGAUCAUCUUUAAGUUUUGGUUAGGGUUGAUCAGACGUUGGAAGAUAUCUUUCCUAAUUUAAAGAAGAUGGAAACUCCUUAUCCAGGUUCUUAGGCCAUGUUCAGUUGAAUGUCAUUUAUAAUUUUUAUUUUAACAUUAUGUAUUUAUGAAUACAAUUAUUGUUUAUUUUAACAUUAUGUAUUUAUGAAUACAAUUAUUGUUAUGAUUUUUUCAGGUAAGAAUGGGUGGUCUGAGGGUAACCCAAUAACUAUGUACAAUAUUAUUAAUGAUGAGAGUGUGAAUGACAAUUUGGAUUUUAUUCUCGUCCCUCAAUACAGAAGAAAUCUUGACCAUAGCGGUUAAUUGCUAUGUAACUCUUUCGUAUUAUGUUUAAUUAAUAAUAAAAUGAUGGGUUAUUAUUACCUGUCAAUUAUGUGAGUGUCUCUGCUUGAUUUAGUUCACUUAUAAAAUAUCUUAAGAUAUACAAGAGAUUUUCUUUAUUUACUUUCAUGUACCGCGUCUUCUUGUAAAAAGAAACUAAUAAAAAAAUAUCAUUGUGUGCAAUGUAUUGACUAAGUUAGUGUAUUCAUGUUAGCUUAAUUGUGCUCUCUCUUCUUGAUUUUUUUGUUUUUUUUGGUUAAAACAAACUCCACAUAUUGUUGGUUAGCUAAUUCUUGCAGCUAGCAAGUGAUCCUUUUCUUUCCCCUACUGCCUGCCGUAGCAUCAAAUCCUGACAAUUAUAUAUCAAGUGGUAUUCGAGCCGUCAAAUGAUCCUUGGAAACACGCAACAAAUCAAAUGCUGAAUUUUGCCAAGAGAUUCACGAAAUCCUUGCUAGACAUGUCUUUUGUCCAGUUUAUUUCAAACUACGCGAGCAAUGUUCCCGUUACUGUUUAGUAUGUCUUUUGUUGUUUGCAAUGUAGUUAGGGAUGUUAGCGGGUAGGGUUUGGUACGGAUUUGACAUUACCAAAAGCCGGAUCUGUAAAAAAAAUUUAAUUAUCAAAUUCAUUGUGGGUUUUAUUUAUUCAUUUUUUUCCUCUUAACAAAGCCCAUCAGCUGCGGGUUUGAAUGGUACCUAGUGUAUAUUUUUGUGAGUUCCCACGUAUAAAAUCACACUUGCAACAAAACCUAAAAGUUAAAAUUAUGUAAUUCAAAUUAUAAAUUUAUAAUCGUAGCCUAAAAAACCACAUAAAAUACUUAAUUUUAGAUUUUAUUAAUGUAAAUGAGAAAUGAAAGUAAAACAUUAAAAUAAAUACACAAAAUAUAUCAAUUUAACAAAAAUUUUAAAUUUUAAUUACCAAAUACAUAAGUCUAUCGCAACUUAAAGUGCUUUCAAUUGAAAACGAAAAAAGAGAAAGAGAAAAAAAAAGAACUACAAAUCAAAGUAGCACCCGUGACCCAUUUCCCAGUCUCAUUCAAUACCACUAGCACCCAUCCAACGUGAUUUUUCUAAACAAAGUAUAAAGUACAAAAUUACAAUAAGCAUAUCAUACUCCAUGCUUUAAGUUAAAGAUCCUUAUAUAUUUUUAUGAAUAAUUUUUUCAUGAAAUUUUAUGAUUAAAAUUAAAAAUACAAACAUUCAAAUAAGAAUGUCGGACACUUGCGCAACUAUUUACCAAAAUUUUUCUCUAUAAAAAUCGACCUGCAACUUUCAAUAGGUUUAAAUUUAUAAUAUCAAACCUAAUUGCAGCUCGCAAAAAUUAUCUGUUGCGGCCAAGACUUUGGAUUUGCGAUGAUUUUGCCACCCUAAGUGUAGUUAGUAUUGUAUAUCAUGUGGCUCUUAUAAAAAGCCUAGAAGUUGUUUGAAUAAUGGGGGAGACACAUAUCUCCCAAAGAUUUUCUCUUUUUCAAAUUAUUAUUUCUUCUCUAUUAUUGUAACUUCGAAUCCUUAUAAAUUACAGAUUGGAGACAUGAACACAAUGUUUUGACAUAGUGGACUUUUGACUUAUCCAGAGAAAUUUAGGAUAGAUUUUUAUACACUAAGGUUCUAUUUACUAUUGAGGU